This 101309-nucleotide long non-coding RNA is filed under the name Ananas comosus (pineapple). RNAcentral describes it as "long non-coding RNA (ACOM_LNC012673)". The record is from RNAcentral. Lineage: Eukaryota; Viridiplantae; Streptophyta; Magnoliopsida; Poales; Bromeliaceae.
UAAUCAAAAAAAUUCCUUCCCUUUUUUUUCUCUUUUCAAAAAUAAACUAAGUUUUUCUUCGUAUACUAAGUUAAAGCUUUUACUAAAAUACAUAUAUAGAUAUAGGGCCCGUUUGCCCUAAAUUCUGAAAAAGUAAUUUCUGCAGAAUUAAAUUUGAUUUUGAAAAUUAAUUUUGCUUAAAAAUUGUAAAGGGUCUGGCUAAGUUUAGAUAGAAAUCAUUUUUUCUAAAAAAAUUUUAUAAAUCUAUUUGGUAAAUUUUUCUUUUUUUCUGUUUGCGAAUAAUCGGAUAGAAGAGUUUAUGCAUCUAACACAAUAGGGCGGACGAGGACUACAUCUAGGAUAGAAGAGUAGCUCUCAGUUUUAUGUCUUAAUUAAUUUGUUGGCUUCAUGACCAUUCAAUUCAUCACGAUGUUAAAGAAAGUUACAAUUCAAGAAACUCAUGCGAAGUAGACAUGUAGUUGAAUCUCUUUGCUUGCAACGAGAAUGUAAUUUCCAUCUUUAGGUAAGAUCUUUAAAUCUGGGCCUAAAAUUAAUCAUAACCAAACCAAUUUAAAACCAUUUGGAAUCAAAAUCUAAGUUACUUAAUUUCAAAACAGAAAGGGAAGCAUACUCAUAACUAUGUGCCAACACCCGCGGAGUGCACUUCAGCUGAAGCACGGAGCCGAGAUUGAUUCCGUACUCGGCCAGGGUUUUCUGCUUCUCCAAUUCCAAGUCAUUGAAACAAAGCCUCGGCUCUGGCGCUUGCGCUGCCCUGUUGAGGCCGAGAAUCUCGACCAGCACAUCCUCGACGGUGUUAUCGCCGUCCGCUAGAAGAACAUAGUUAUGGACGGCGCCCAACUGCACAACGAUCUCCAUCUCGCUUGCGAAUUCAGGUUCCCCGACGGAGUCCCAUGGUUGCAUGUUGGAAUUCGACAGUUCCGCGACGGAGGCCGGCAACUCUACAGAAUCCGCCAUCUCCAGCGUUCCUAUAUAUAUAUAUAUACGACUAAACCAAUUAAGCAACAACAAUUGCAAUAUCAUGUUCGCAUGCAAACAUUGUAAAUCACUGUGAUAAUAAUAGUAGUUAGUACCUUCUACGAGGAAGAAGAAGAAUAGUCGUGUGAUGUUCCAAUAGUUUAACACACAAAAGAAAUUGCAUACGGAACUCACAUUAUGUGUAAUUGGGGUCCGACACGUUUACUUGGCUCGCUGUUACAAUUCUCUCGCUGAAGCUUCCUUCUCUCUGGCAUGCGACUAUUCUAUUUUCUGCACGUGGAAGGUUAGGAUAAAUUUAGAUCGAGUCCACGGAGUAGCGUAGGUUUGGACAAAAUUAGAUAAGAGUCUGACUUAGAAUUUGGUGAAAUGCAAAUAUGAAUGUCAAAAUUUAGCAUUUUUCAAUAUAUAUUUGUACUCGAAUUCAUAUUCAAAAAAAUAUAUAAAUAUGGAUACACCCUAUGAAAUAAUUAUUUAUUUUAGUAAAAUUAUAGCUGCGAGAAUUAUAUAAUAUAUAUUAAGUAAAUCUGUAAAGAGAGAUAAUAUAUUUAAAUCUUGAAGUUAAAGUAUCGUUGAUUGACUCAAAUCAAACAAAGUUAAAAAUACGUUGGAUAAUAAAAUCAAAUUUUUGAAAGAUUGAUUAACCAAAUGAAAAUGGUUCAUAGUUCAGACAAAUUUUUAUAUUAAUUUUGUAAGUAAAAAUAUACGAAACUUAUCUAAAUUGUAGAUUAUUUUGAGUUGGUUUACCCAAUCUUUCAAAAUUUUAAUUUUACUAUCUAAUAUUUCAAUUUGUUAGAUUUGAGUCACUAAUAGUAUUUUAAUUUCAAAAUUUGAAUGUAUUAUUUAUCUUUAUAAGUUUAGUUGGUAUAUCUCAUACAAUUUUUACAAUUAUAAAUUUAUUAAAGUAAAUAAUUAGCUUAAAUUUUGAAGUCAAAAGGCCGUUGAUUGGCUCACAUUAAGCAAAUUAAGAGAUUUGAUAGUAAAAUUUAAACUUUAAAAAGGUUAGAUAGUCGAUUUAAAAUAAUAUAUAAUUUAGACAAAUUUCGUUUGUUUUUAUCUUUUUUUUGUCUAUACUUCAUCCAAGGAUAACAAUGGAACGGUGCAGUGUUGUCAACGGAAAUAAAAAUGGAGUGCUAUUGAUUGUGAGAAGUGGGCCUUAGAUGGCUCAGUGAAGUUUCUCGUUAAGACCUUGGAGAUGUGGGUUGAGUGUAGACCUGGCAACGGGCGGAUUGGGUAACCCGUGGACGAGUUAUUAUAUCCGCUGGUUACUUGUAAAAUUUACUCGCAAAUUUUUGAAUAGCCAACAUCUUUAUCCAUACUCACCCACGGGUGGGCGGGUGGGUAUACGGGUUAUCCACAAUUUUUUUUUUUUGCUUUUAUUUUUUUAAAAUGCAAAAUAUAUAUAUUAGUUUAAAAAGCGUAAUAUAAUCUCAUUAUUUGAAAUAUCAUAACAUACAAUAAAAAUAUUUAAAGUCUUAAAGCAAAAAUAUUUUAUAAUAUAAAAGAUACGCAAUAAGAAUUUGGAUUAGAAUUUUUAGGAUAGGUAAAUAAAAAAUAUAUAUUAAUUAAGAAAAUAUAUUUUGUAAUUAAAAAAUAUAUGUGCGGGUACCCAUGGGUACCCGCGGGUUACGCAAAAUGCCCACUGCUUAAUGGAUACCCACCUGUUUUACCCGUAAUUUUUUGGGUUGGAAAAGUUGGUAUCCAUACCCAUAAAUUUAUGGGUAACCUGCAGGUACCUGUGGGUUUUGGUCAAAAUUGCCAGGUCUAGUUGAGUGAAUAGGAGCUCUCAACAAGUCCUUUUGAAGGUGUCCAAUUUACGAAGAACUUAAAAGAGUCGGAUUCUCUUUGAUAGUGUUUGGUUCGGGAACAAGGGGGGGAAUAAGCCCUUGUUCCCCCCUUUGUUCCCAAACGCAAUGUUUGGUUCCCGGAAGCUUAAAUUUUCUUCUUUUUUUUUUUUUUUUUUCCUCUAGCCAUCUUAUUGAGCUGAUAUUCGGUUUCUGAUAGAAAUAAUCAAAAAAAUUCCUCCCCCGCACCCCCUCCUUUUUCUUUUUUUCCACUUUUCAAGAAAUAAGACAAAGUUUCUCUUCAUACUAAGUUAAAAGCCUUUUACUAAGAUACAUAUAUCGAUAUAGGGCCGUUUGUCCUAAAUUCUGAAAAAUUAAUUUUACAAAAUUAAUUUUGAUUUUGAGAAUUAAUUUUGCUUAAAGUUGUAGAGGGUCUGGCUAAGUUUAGAUAAAAAGUAAUUUUUUUAAAAUGAUUUUGUAAAUCUAUUUGAUAAUUUUUUUUUUCUAUUUGCAAAUAAUAGGAUAGAAAAGUUUAUGCAUCUAACACAAUAGGACGGACGAGGACUACAUCUAGGAUAGAAGAACGCAACUAAAGUUUACCCAAAUUUAACCAAACCAAUACUAAUUAAAAUCCGGGUCUAAAUUUCUAGAAUGGAUUUCUCCCUUUAAUGUAAGAGCAACGUUCGUUUCUCUAAGUUGAUGUACAGAUGAAGCGUACUCAAAGAACUUAACAUUGAAAGAAAUUGUAUAACUUACCAGUACUUCGGUUGUUUAAUUAACUCUGUAUUUAUUUUGACUCUCGAUGAGAAGAUAGGAUCUACAUCAGGAGCAGGCAGGAUAACACAAUCUACGUAUUUGAAAAGAUAGGAUAAUNUGUUCCUUGGCGACAAUAACGAAGGCGGGGCCGUCUCCUCUUCCUCCGCCUCUGUCACAUCCCGGGCCCAAGUGGAAGCUUAUCCGGCACGUGUACAGACCCGUUGUGCGCACAAGGCACCCCUGGUGCACACAAUGCGUCUAUCACAAAACAUAUAACAGAGAAGGAAUGAGAGAGAUAAUAAGGAAAUAAACCUAUCAUGGUAAUCAGAGCAUAAGUACUAACAAAACACUAAAGCAACAAUCCAAUAGAGGAAAUAACGAGUUACUACAACAAAAGGGUACAACUAUUAUAAGAUAUACAUAAGUUGAUAAAAGAAGAAAUACAUCUCAGAACAUAUGGUAGUUUCUAUACAAAAUGGUCGGGUACACCCUUCGGGACAAAACAAAGAAAGGUGACCACCUAAGCAAAAAACUUCCAAAAAGGCUCUAGCUAGUCGCAACUCCCUUACCGCGGUCCUUACACAUGUGCUACAGGAAGCUGAAAACAAGAUUCACCUUACACGAGAGCGACUGAUCUCGGCUCAGAGUAGACAAAAAAGCUAUGCUGAUAAGUGUCGGCGAGAAUUGGAAUUCCUAAUAAGAGAUCAUGCCUUUUUGAAGGUCUCACCGACGAAAGGGAUUAAGAGAUUUGGUAUUCGAGGAAAGUUAAGUUCUCGAUUUGUUGGACCUUUUCAGAUCUUGGAGCAUGUAGACCCAGUAGCAUAUCGGCUUGCUUUGCUGCCGAACCUAUCGGGAAUACAUAAUGUGUUUCAUGUUUCCACGCUUUAGAAGUACUUUUUGACCUAGCUCACAUUUUGAACUCCACUCUAUUAGAGUUGACGAGGACUUGAGCUUUGAGGAGCAUCCUGUGAUGAUUUUGGCUCAUGAGGUGAAGAAACUUCAUAAUCAUGAAAUUCCCUAUGUGAAGGUAAUUUGGAGCAACCAUAACAAGCGCGAGGCUACUUAGGAGUUGGAGAGUGUGCUGUAGGAGCGUUAUCCCCAUCUUUUCCAGAUAGAUUCUUAGGUACUCAACUUUUAGUUUCGCGGAGGAAGCUCCUUUUUAGGAGAGUAGAGUGUAGCACACCGAACUUUAGUAAAUUGCAAUGUUCCAGUGUAGGAAUAGUGCUUUGAGCUAUUCUGAAAGUUUUGAAGGUUGUUUGGAAUGUUUUGGGCUGUUUUCGGAGCUAGUUAGGCACGAGAACAGGUUCCCGACAUCAAAACUUGCAUAUUGCAGAUUUUGGUGUUGAGUACCGGUACUGGAUUGAGGUACCGGAACUCAGUAGAGUGCCGAAAUGGACAGCUCUCGGAUUUUGCAGAAUCUAGCUGUGUGUACCGGUACUCAAUGCUGCAAAACCUAAUUUCGUGCAGUAUACUAUUUUUGGGUUUUUGAGGGGCCUGAUGAAAAUUGUUACAUUAUGUAGUAUAACCCCUCAUCCCCCUCACUUGUUCACUUUUGGGCUGAGGUUAGAGAAAGGAGAAGGUGAGUGCUCUCUCUCUUGGAUUUCUUCCUCCUAAUCCCUAAAAUCCUUGGAUUUGAUCUCUUCUUCUCAAUCUUCUAUAUUGAAGUUUGCUGCUUGGACCUUGAAGGGAGCUUGGGAGUGAAGAAAGGAGCCUGUUUGAGCAUUCAACUCCAACCUAGCAUUUUUAGCUUGGUUGGAGUUUUUGUUGAGAUUAGUAGUCUUUUUAAAUCCUCUAAUUGUGAGUUUUGUAAGAAUUUUGGAAUAAAACCUAGUUUUAAGGAAACUAUGAUUUAUUUUGGGAUUUCUUGAUUUGAAUUUUUUAGGUUAAAUUGCUGGGUGUUGAACCCUUUCUUAAGUUGGAUUUGAAGCCUUCUGACUUUGGUUUGGAUCUUGGACAAGUUCUACUUGAUCAAAGGUAUUUUUCACCUAUUUUUCUAUUGAAUUUUUGGUGAAUUUCGUUGUAAACUUUUUAGAACCUUGUAAUCCUUUGAAAAUUUUUCUUAGGAUGUUAGGAGUCUAAGAGAUAACUUCGUUUGGUGAAACGAAUAAGUAUCGAAUAAUAUCCGGUGAGUUUGACCUUACCGAAAUGGAUAAACUCUUCCUAUAUCUCCUAUAUUGCUAUAGGAUUUAAAUUGAUGCAUAUUCAUGCUAUUCAUGACUAGGGGUGUAAACGAGCCGAACACAAGCGAGCUGGGGUCGGCUCGUGUUCGGCUCGUUUAUUAAAUGAGCCGAACACGAGCUGACUCGUUAAAGUAUCGAGCCGAAAAAUCCAGCUCGUGUUAACUGGCCCACGAGCUGGCCAACAAACUUUGAUAAAUUAAAAAGAAUGAAAUCGAAAAGAUAUAAAAAAUAAAUUUAUAAAAACUUCAAGUCAUAUAGAUCAUGAUCUAACAGUGAAAAUCGUACAUAUGAAAGCUCAAUUUUUCGAAAACAAAUGGCUCGCAUACAGAUGCCUAGUUUGCUAAAAAUAAAAUAAUAAAAAAACACAUUAUAUAUAAUUAUUUAUUUAUAUAUAAAAAUAUAAAUUAAAUAAAUUAUAUAAAUAUAAAAUAUAUGUAUUCGAGUUAUUAUCGAGCCGAAUAGGAGCGAGCUGACCCCGGCUCGUGUUCGGCUCGUUUACUAAACGAGCGAUUCGAUCUCGAGCUCAUUUCGAGCCGAACACGAGCUGGCUUGCGAACACGCGAGCUGGAUUGCCACCCCUACUUAAUUCCAAACAAAAAGGGAACAAAAAGGGAAUAAAUCAUACUCAUAGGUGUGUGCCAACACCCGCGGCGUGCACUUCAGAUGAAGCAUGCAGCCGAGUUCGAUUCCGUAUUCGGCCAGGGUUUUCUGCUUCUGCAACUCCAGGUCAUUGAAAAAAAGCCGCGGCUCCGGCGCUCGGCCCGCCCUGUCGCUGCCGAGAAUCUUGACCAGCACGUCCUCAACAGUGUUACGGCAGCACACUAGGAGAUGGUAGUUGUGGGUAGCGUCGGACUGCACAGUGAUCUUCAUCUCACUGGCGAACUGAUCAGGUUCCCCGGCGGAGUCCCACUUGGAGUUCCACAGUUCCGCGACGGAGGCCGGCAGCUCUGCAGUAUAUAAAUGACUAAACCAAUUAAGCAACAACAAUUGCAAUAUCAUGAUGUUCACAUGCAAACAUUGUAAAUCGCUGUAAUAAUAAUAAUAGUAGUUAGUACCUUCUUAUAUAUGGAUCAAUUAAUUAAUUACAGCGAGUCAAAGUAUCACAGGCCACAGCAACUCCGAGAGAGAAAGAGAGAUACACAAAAAUAAUAGAAAGAAGAGGGAGGAUUUAUAGAAAUAAGAGGACUUAGUGAGAAAGAAGAAGAAUAGUUGUGACGUUCCAAGAAAUUGUUCGUACGGAUCUCACAAUGUGUGUAAUUGGGCCCGACGAAAACGCGUUUACUUGAUUCACUGUUAUUUCUCUCUCUGGAAGCUUCCCACCUCUUUCUGGAGUACUACUUUUUUCUUUUCUUUUCUUUUCUUUUCUUUUCUUUUCUUUUCUUUUCUUUUCUUUUCUUUUCUUUUCUUUUCUUUUUUUUUUUAAAAAAAAAAUAGCAAACCAACAAAAACAACAAAAACGUACAGAGAAAAAAAGACAGCAACUCCGAGAGAGCUGACAUUCACUGUUAUUUCUCUCUCUAAAAGCAGCAUGAGCUUGAGAACAGAGCCAGAAAAACACGAAACAAAACAAAACAACAAAAACAGAGAGAAAAAGAAGAGUAGAGGAACAGAGAGAAAGGAGAGAAGGAGCAGGAGGAUAAAUUUUCUUUUUUUCUUUUUUUUUUUCAGCAAGUGGUAGUCGUAGGUUGGAAUAAAUUUAGAUCGAGUCCACACGGAGGCGUAGGUUAGGAUAAAAUUAGAUGAGUCUGAAGUAGAAUUUGAUGGAAUGCAAAUAUGGAUGCCAAUAUGGGGACUCAUCUGUAAAAAAUUAGGAAGCUCCUAUUUAAUUUACCUUUUUCUAUAAUCUCUUGUUAAAUAUAAAAAUAUUUAAACACCGUUCUCUAACAGUUUAAGCUUUUAGAGUACAACGAUUGUUUCACAUGGUAUCAGAGCAGGAGAUCCUGAGUUCGAGUCACGCCAGGCUCCUAGCAUAUUAAUUUCCUCCCAUUUAAUUCAAGCCCACGUCAUGGGACCCAGACGUGAGGGGGAGUGUUAAAUAUAAAAAUAUUUAAACACUAUUCUCUAACAGCUUAACCUUUUAGAGUACAACGGUUGUUUCACAUCUCUCUCCAAGAUACCCGAUCGCAUAAGAUGUUUACGCACCAUAUAAAUUCUAUAAAUCUACUAUUCUAUACAUAACCUUAUCGUGCGGACGCAUUCGUAUACGGAUGAAUUAUGAUUAGAUGAAUUAUGGUUAGAAAAUUAUUUAUGUACUUAUAUCAAGAUCAGUACUGUUGAUCUUAAUUUGAAGUAUUCUAUUUUCUUUUUUUAUAAGGUUUUUAAAUUUGAACCAUUCAUUUUGUGGCAGCAUGACGCACUUGACAAUGAUAUUAUAAAAAAAAAUUAUGAACUUUCAAUUCCUAACAACUUAGAAAAUCUUAGAUUACGCUUAAUGGUGUGAAUUACUGAUUCAAAAGUUCUAUUAUCGAAAAUAAGACUAUAACACAAAAUACUUUGUGCCGUUAAUAUAACGCUAGCUUAGCUUUAUGCUUUAAUUUUCAAAACUUUUGAGAGAAUUCACAUCUUCAAAGUCCACUAAUAAAAGAAGAAUUUUAAAAAUUCAUCAAGUAAAUUCAAGAUAUUAAUCAUUUUCCAGGACCAAAGGGCCAAUCAUCUCUUCGAAUAAAAAACAACUAAAGAAGAAACAAAUCCUUCACAUAACUAUGCUCCAUCAAAAUAAUUAACAAACACUAAUUUAACUUGAAAACUUAAUAUAAAUUUUUUGCUUAUAUUAUUCUUUGAAGAGUGCCUCUUUAAUCAUGGUUACAAUAUGUGAACUAUGGUAUGUACAAUAUAUUUGUGAUAUGAUUUGAUAUAGCAACCUACUAAGUUUUUUUUUUGAGAAAGAGGUAGCGAGCUAUCUGCUUCAUUCAUCAAGCAAAAUGAACUAAGCGUACAUGAUGAAAGCAGCUAAGGCCUCCUAUGAAGCGGAAAAAAAUAGAAAAUGAACAAGGAAGGAAAAAUAGAGCUAUAGGAGAAAGCUAUAGAGCUAGGACAGGUGAUGCGGAAACACAAAAGAGAGAUAUCCGGAAGAAAAAGAAAGGGAUCACAGGUCGUUCCCGGCAUUCAUCAAGGCAAGAACGUCCAGUCGUUCGUCAUCAAGCAACCUACUAAGUUACAAUCCAUUUGGAUGUAUAUGGUGGCUAAUAACAUAAUCAUAAUAGGACCAUCAGAUAACAUCAUAUAGUAGGUACUAAGAUGAUGCACAAUUAAAUUAAUGAGAAAUGACAUUCAAUAAAGUUGAAAUCAUUCUCAUGUUUACUUUGUGUGCAUAAUAGUCAAGUAACACAUUUUCAAAUAAUUGUUUGCUUUAUUACAGUUACAAUGCACAUUCAGAGUUUGUAGAUGACAAUGAACAAAAUGUAUGAAAAUAUAGUGUUGUUGUUCUUCUCCAAAAAGCUCUGCUUCGGGUUUUGCCUGCGCGAAUGCCCAAAUAGUUUGAAUCAAUUCAAGUAUAAAAAAGGAUCGAUAGUGUUGGAUAAAGAAUAAUAAUAAUAAUAAAUACGGUUAGUAUACCUUAAUAUAUCAAUUCCAUUCAUUAUCUGUAGCAAUUACUACGUGACGUUGGUAAUCCCACCUACGUGUUGGUUGUUGCUCGAUGUUGUUCACCGUUUCAUAUUCGGUUGUGUAAAAGCUCAACCGGUCUUUCAAAUCUUCAACUUCAUAAUUCGACGCUGUUGCCUUGCUGAAUCUAGCCACUAUGUUAUGCAAAGCAUCCAUUUUAAAGCCUUACCCGUCUCUCCCGCCAUUAUGCACAUGUUUUACCAUCAAAUCAAGCAGUGCUUUGGGGUAGCGUUCUUCAGCCAAAUUGCUAAAAGGUUGGUUUCCUCUUUUGAUGGUUAAUUCAUUGUAGUAUUAUUUUUGUCAGCUCUCUAUUCUGCAAGUGAAAUAAAACAAGAAUAUCCUAGAAAUACUUUUAGGGUGCGUUUGGUUCGCAUUAUGAAAGAUUACUAGGAAGGAAAAGAUGUCCGAGAAUCUUAUUCCUAUUCAUCAUAUUACUAAGAAUGUGGAAUUCCUGUGUUUGGUUCGCAUGGUCAUAUUAUUUAGCCAUGUUAUUUAAGAUUACAAAAAAUAUACAAUUAAUUAAUUUAUUUUUUAAAUUAAUUUUAGAUAAUCUACCAAAAAUUUCAACAUUUUUUUAGAAAAAAGGAAGAGAGAGCAUAGGUUAGAAAGAGAGAGCAUAAUUAAAAAAAUAGUAAGAGAAAUAGAGUCGAAAUUAGAGGGAGUGAGAGAGUUGAGAUUUUAGAAAAAGAGGGAGAGAGAAAGCUUAGUAAGAGAGAAAAAGAGUUAAAUUUUAGAGAGAAAGAUAAGUUUAGAGAGAGAUGUGAGAUUAUAGUAUGAAGAAAAAUAAUACCAAUUAGCCGACGGAUAGGGAGAAAGAAAGAGAUUAGACAUAUUAUGAUUACCCCAAUCCAUAUUAUAGGAUACCCACCCUUUCUCAAGAGAAUGAGAUUAGUACUUUGGGAUGAAUCUUAUUCCCAAGUAAAUCCAAUAUUACUAACUAGAUUACUUAGUGCGUUUAACCAAACACCGUCAUAUUUUUUUAUUCCUAUUGGAUUACUAGGAAUCUUUAAAAGAUAGCGCGAAUCAAACGCACCCUUAAACUAAAAUAACAGAGAAUAAUGAUGAUUGAAAAUAGUAGAAAAUCGUAAUCAUAGAACAUCAUUGUGGACGGCGUUUCGACUGCAUGCACAGUGAUCUCCAUCUCACUGGCAAAGUCAAGUUCCACAACGGAGUCCGGCGGCUCUACACAAUCCAUCUCCACCAACUCUAUAUGGACACAUUGUGUUGUUCAAAUAAUCACAUUCAAUAUAGAAAAUCUAGUGACUUACGAAAUCAUUGAGGGAGCAUUAAUAUAAGCUUACACUAAUGAUAGAUGCUAACAUAAAUACAUAUUUAAAUAGAUCAGAAGUGGCAUGCGCAAAAUAUAGUGUAACAAUGUUUGCCUCGGUCAAGAGGCGAGAUUAUUGUGAGAAUGUUGAGAUCUCAUAGCUAGAGAACGAAGAGAUUACAACACUAUUUUUAUUUCAAGAGAGUCACUCAUAGGAAAUCACGAUAUUUUAUUUUUUUUUCUCGACAAACACACUUUCAUAUAAAUUAAUAUACGGUACUUUUCUGCUUCGAUAGUCCUUCGCACUAGGAUUUUCCUGUGAAAAAGGAGAAAGGUUUGAAUAAAUUGGAAUUAAGUACUAAACACUUCGAAAAGCAAUGUGGUAGUAUACCUGAAUAUACUUAUUCCAUGCAGCAUCUGUGGCAAUUACUACUUGAUGUUGAUGAUCCCACCUAAACUCCGGACGAUUCUUGAUUUUUCCCACUAUUCCAUAUUCACGUUUAUAAAUCUCGAAGCGAGCAUGCAAAUGUUUUUCUUCAUAUUUCAUGCCUGUUGCUUUAUUGAACUCGGUUACUAUAUCACGCCAGGAAUUAUUUUUAUAGUCUAGUAUUUUUCUCCCUCUUGAUUGAAUUUGCUUUACCAAUAAAUCAAGCAGUAUUAGAUCAUGCUUUUCUUCCCAUAUUACUGAAGGGCGAUACGUUAUUUUAAAGUAUCUCCAAAUUGGCUAUCGUACAAUUGUCACUUCCCCCCCACUCGCCGCGACCUCUUCGCCAGCCAAGGCGGCCGCCUUGUCCGUUGAAUAUUCUGCGGCCCCUCCCCUCGCCGCAUCCGCCUCUUUGGCCGGCGAACGGGUGUCCGUUGACGUCUCGGGUGGCGGGUCGUUUAAAUUUUCAAACCUCUCCGCUGUCCCCGCAUCCCUAGACAACGGUGACAUCAGGGCUGCAGACUGCCGCCUUCAGCUUUCACGCCCCCCUUUCGCCAGCUGUUUUGCUAACGCCUUUUUGGCCCCUGUACCCGCGAAGGGAAGCUUCGUAUCUCUAUCCCAGGGAUCCCUUCUGGCAGAAUUAGACAAAAGGAGCUCUGGGGGGAUUUUCUUCUCCCUCGGGAACCGGCGGAGUUUCUUCCUACGAUUCUCUACAUCCUUCUCGUUUUCUGUGCGGCCCCCCUCCAAACUAGUUGUCGGAUCUCUCGGAUCCCUCCUUCUGCAUGCUUCCUUCGGGUCGGAUGUGUGGUUCGGAUCCGCAAACCUUCUCUCCUGCCACCUGGGACCCAAUUGGACCCUUAUCCGGCGCCCUGGGCCAGACCUAAGCUCGGGCGGGCUUUCUGCGUCCACUAAUGCCCCAUGCUGGCUCCCACCCUCCUGGUGCUUGGGCUUGGGCCGCGGCUCGGGCCCGGGCUCGGCCACGGGCGGCCUGGACGCAGGCAUCGUAAUGGACUUGGGCGUGGGCUUCGGUGUCGACUUGGGUGCCGGGUCGGGUGCGGCCCUGCGCUCAGGCUCGGACGUGGGCUUGGAGGAGGGCUUCGACGAGGUCUUGUCUGCGGGCCUGGAACCGGACCGGGGCGAGGGCUUGGGUGCAGGCCCAGACGAGGAUUUGGAGACACGACUGGGCGCGAGCUCGGCCGACGACUUGGGCGCGGGAUCACCCACGGGCCUGGGCGCCUUUAAGGCUCCAAGCGACCUUGCGGGAGGUUUUGGACCGGUCGAGCUCGAGCGCCCUGAGGUGGCGCGCGGGGACAGCGGAGGCAGCGGAGGGGCGGCGUCGGAAGGCGGAGGCAGAGGAAGCGGUGGGGGUGAGGGUGUUCUUGGAGGCGGCGAAGAAGACGGAGAGAGGAGAAUGGGGGCUAUGGGUUUUACGGUUCGGGACGGAGGGGUGCGGGGUCUUGUAGUUGGAGACGUCGCGGAAGAUGUGGCCGCAGCCUGGGCCGUCGGGUCGGGCGUAGAGGGAGCAAGCUUCGCCAUGGGCAUGGGCGCAGACUGCGGCGCCGGGUCGGGCUCGGCCUUGGGAGCGGGCUCGGCCUCCAUCGUGGACUCGGGCGCAGAGUUUGGCGCCGGCUUGGGCGUGGCGUCGGGCUUCGAGGCGGGCCGGGGCGCGGCCUUGGCCGUGGGCUUGGGCGCAGACUUGGGCGCCGGCUUGGGCCAAGCCUUCAAGCCCAAGGGACCUUGCGGGCCGGGGCGCUUGGGGGCGGGCUCGGCCGACGGCCUAGGCGCGGGCUCGCCUGCGGGCCUGGGCACAGGCUUUCCAACCUGCAGCACCCACCUGGCCUUGAUUUCCACUUGCAGCCACCCUCCCAACUUGGACCGUCCCACCUCGGAUCCACCCAGAUCUAGCGGAAGAGUCCGCAGCCAGUUUCCUGGCUCUGUUUUACGCAAGGCCAUGCUCAGAAAGGCGCAACUACUCGAAGGCGACCCAGCUAUUCCCAGUCACUCUACGCGCAAAUGGUCCAAGAAAAAAGUUAAGGCGAAAGGUCUUCGCUGCGGGGUGGACCUUCAUGAAGAGGCCGUUAAGGACUUCCUUGAGUUCCUGAGUGGGAAGGCCUAGGAGCGGCUGGAGGAGCCGCGGGUGUUGUGUUUCGUGUGUCUUUCCUUUCUGAUGUUUAACAUUUUGUGUUGGAAUGUUCGGGGUCUCAACGACCCCUCUAAGCGCCGUUGUGUCAAGUCUGUUGUCUCCAGUCGUGUUCGUUCUGUCAUCUGUCUCCAAGAAUCUAAAGUGGAUAGUGUGUCUCGCUCUUUUCUUCGCUCUUGCUGCGGAUCUGCUUUUGAUAGAAGCCACUUUAUUCCUGCAUCUGGGGCUUCUGGUGGGCUCAUCACUUGUUGGAGCUCCAAAUUCUUCUCUUGUAGCGAGGUUAUCGUGAGAAAGCACUCUCUCACUCUCCAUCUAUCUUGUCUCAAGAGUAAAAAGCAUUUCUUCCUCACGAACGUCUACGGGCCAUCUACCUGGGACGGCAAGGAUGAAUUCUGUCUCGAGCUUCUCUCUUUACGCGGGGUUUGCACUUCCAACUGGGUGAUCUGCGGAGAUUUUAACUUUACCAAAAAUCAAUCUUAACGAAAGGGAAACCUCUGGAGCUCUAAGGCGAUGGCUAUGUUCUCUGAUCUGAUUUCCAACUUAGCGGUCAUAGAUCUCCCUCUGUCCAACCAAAGCUUCACUUGGUCGAACAUGCAACGCAGACCCACACUGGCAAAACUAGACAGGUUCCUCGUUUCAACUGAAUGGGACCAAUCUUUUCCUCACAGCAAGGUCAAAGCCCUCCCUAGGAUCACUUCCGAUCACGCACCGAUCAUCUUAUCCACCGAAGCGCAACUCAUACCCAGACGAUUCCGAUUCGAAAGGGUUUGGCUCACUAAAGAAGAUUUCCACUCGAAGGUGCCAAUCUGGUGGAAUGAAAUUGCUGACAAGAAUUCGGGUAUCCUCACAAUUACUGCCAAACUCAGACACUGCCGAACCAGAAUUAAAGAAUGGUGUAAGACGAGUUUCUAUAGCAUAUCGCUCUCGAAGAAGAUUUUAGAGGACGAACUGCAUGACAUUGAUCUCUUAGAAGAACAACACGACCUCCCCCAAGAUCUAAUAGACAAGCGAGCCAAUCUCAAACGUCAUCUACUCUCUAUCUUGGGGGAGGAAGAAAUCCUUUGGAAAACUAGGGCCAAACAACAAUGGCUAAAGGAAGGCGACUCCAACACUAAAUUUUUUCAUGCAGUGGCUAACGGGCGAAAACGCUCCAACUCGAUUGAUGUGAUUGAAGACAACUACGGGAGAGAAAUCACCAACGAAGCUACCAAACGGUCAUUCUUCCUGCAAGCUUUUAAACAACGGUUUGGACAAGCAGACGACAGAGCGAUAUCUUAUGGGGAUUGGAGUAACCUUUACCUCUCUAAUAGACUGCACAAUGCUGACUCCCUUACGUCCCCCUUCACAAUCGAGGAAAUCAAAACCGCCACCUUCCAACUUGGAAGCGACAAGGCCCCGGGACCAGACGGCUUCCCCCUCUCCUUCUUCCAAACUUUCUGGGAGACUGUCAAAACGGAUAUUUUAAAAGUUUUCACUGACUUGCAAGAUAAUAAUCUCUUCACCGGCCCCUCAGACUACUCACUUCUUUGCCUAAUCCCGAAGAAAGAAGGAGCACGCAAGGCCAACGACUUUCGUCCAAUUAGCCUUAUCAAUAGCAUUCAAAAAAUCAUUUCCAAAGUCCUGGCUAACAGACUAGCCCCCACCCUGUCAUCUAUUAUCUCACCAACUCAAUCGGCUUUUCUCAAAGACCGGUUGCUGAUGGACUCGUUCGUAACAGCAAGUGAACUAAUUAACUGGUGUUCGAAGACUGGAAAGGAAUGUGUAUGCAUUAAAGCGGACUUUGAAAAGGCCUUUGACAACGUACGCUGGGACUUCCUGAAAAGCAUUUUGCACUGGCUUGGUUUCAACGACAAAUGGUGGGCAUGGGUUGAGCAGUGCAUCUGCAACGCCAAAGUAGCCAUUUUAGUCAACGACACCCCGACUGAUUGGUUUAAGAUGAGAAAGGGUCUUAGACAGGGCGACCCCCUCUCGCCCUACCUCUUUAUUUUGGUGGCUGACUGCUUAGCUAGAUUGACUGAUACUGCAAGGAAUAACAACCUUCUCCGUGGUAUUGGACCGUCCACUGAUUGUCAAACUACGCUGAUUCAAUACGCGGACGACACAAUUUUCUUCUCCGAGCCUAGAAAACACUUAAUGCGAAACCUACAGUUUAUUUGGUAUAUCUUCGAGUGGGCUUCAGGUCUGAAAAUCAACAUGGACAAAUCAGACCUGUAUUAUCUGGGCCCUAACCCCCAAAGAGCCAACAGACUUGCUAACAUCCUUGGAUGUAAAGUUGGGAAACUCCCGUUCCGCUACCUCGGUCUACCGCUUUAUAAUAAACACCUACGAACGGAAGAUUGGGCUCCGGUCAUUGAUCGCAUAUCAGCAAGAAUCGAGGGGUGGAAAGCCAAACUCCUAUCCUAUGGGGGUAGACUCACGCUCGUCAACUCGGUUCUCACUAACUUGCCGCUAUUUUAUUUCUCCAUCUACAAAGCGCCGCAAUGGGUUUUACACAGGAUCGAAUCACUUAGAAGAUCUUUCUUCUGGAAAGGCUGCGCUAGCAUCUCUGGAGGAGCCUGUCUUGUCAGUUGGAAGUCCAUCUGUAAAAGUAAGAAAGAAGGUGGGUUAGGGAUCAAAGAUUUGGAGGGAAUGAAUCUGGCGCUGCUAUCUAAAUGGUGGUGGCGCUUCUUCAACGAACCACAAUUACUGUGGCCCAAAUUGAUUUCAUGCCUCUAUUAUGUCAGAAGAAGACCUUUACAUGAGGGAAGAAGUUUUGUACCCCACUCGCAGUGGUGGAAAGGUGUUCUGCAAUGCCGCGACGCCUUCAAAUGCGGUUUAUCUUUUGAGCUUGGCGAUGGUCGGAACAUCAGGUUGUGGUCCGAUAUUUGGAUUGGUGAAACAUCUUUGAGCACCUUGUUUCCAGACAUCUACGCUCAAAUCGCGAACAAGAAAGCUCGGAUAUCUCAAUGCUGGAACCAUAAUGGAUGGAGAUGGCGUUUUAUCACUAGAGGCUUCGCGGCGCCCCGAUUGGCCCACAGUGGUAGACAGCUGCAAUUACUCAAAGACACACUUACAAGCAGACACCCGUGCAGCAGAGAAGANCAACGGCCGAAAACUCAAUAGUACCAAGGACUAGAUAUAUAUAUAUAUAUAUAUAUAUAUAUAUAUAUAUAUAUAUAUAUAUAUAUAUAUAUAUAACUAUCAGCAUAUAUUGAUAAAAUACAUCGAAAAUGAAUUCUUCAUUUAAUGUAUAAUAAAAUAUCAAAGCAUAAAUGCAUGUGACUAAUUAAUAUGUCCUGAUUACAUACCGCCCCAAAUGCAAUUAACAAAAGAUUUAGUGGUUGGUGUCCGAGCCUUCAUGUUUGAAUUCUAGUUGAUUCACAUUUUUCGAAUAGCAUGCUAUCUUUCUCUUAUAUAUAUAGAGUGAGGCUAUUAUGCUAUUGAUAGCACAACCUCACUCAUGCUAGUGAUUUUUCUAUCAUUGGAUUGCUUUGAGAUCCGUGAUAUAACUUAAUGGGAGAUUAACGGAGAGGGAGCCGUUAAGUUUCUCUCACGCUCUCUCUCCCCUCUCUCGAUCUUCCUGUCUCUUACUCCCCCCCCUCUCUCUCUCUCUCUCUCUCUCUCUCUCUCUCUCUCUCUACGCCUUGGUCCAGACCGAGCUUCGCCGCACGCCCCCGUCGCUCCCUGGCGCUGCCCCCCGCAUGCCGCCGUCGCUCCCUGGCGCGCGCACUUAAACGAGGUAUGAUUUUUUUUUUUUGUUAUUACAACUAAAAAAUAGAUCUACAACUUUAUAUUUGUUUAUUUGAUUGGUUUGAUUUGUUUUUUUUUUUCCUGAUUUUGUUUGUUUGUUUGAUUUUUUUUUUUACAUUUAACCUCUCAUAAAAAAAAUUUAAUUUUGACUUUUUUUUUCAGAUUUUUUUUUUGACAUUUCGUUUGAUUUUUCAGAUUUUGUUUAUUUGGUUUUCAGACUUUAAAAGUUCAAAAAUCUGAAAAUCUGAAAGGAAAAAAAAAAAUCUGAAAUGGUUAGCUUUUUAUAGUUAUAGUUAGUUUUUUAUAGUUAUAGUUUUAAAGGUAUUUCUUUUAAUUUGAUCUCUCAAAAAGAAAAUUCUGAAAAACACUAGCAGAGGAGGCUUUCUUUAAAAAAAAAAAACCGAGAGUUUCCAACAGAAUGCCAACAGAAUGCACAUAUAUUCGAAUUUUGAACAUUCAAAGUAAACACUAGUAAGGAAGGCAUUUUUAAAAAAUUCAUUUAAAUGCUUAAACUAUUAUAUAAAAAUGCUUUUAAUAUUAUAUUUAUAUUUAUAUUUAACAUGUGUUUGUGCGGAUGCAUUUUUUUUUAGUAAAAAUGUCCGGAGAAACCAACUGUACCUAGUGCAGUUUGCUGAGGGGAUGAUGAUUGCUACUGAAGAUUCCAAGUAAGAAGUCUAAUUGAUUUAGAUUUCUAAUUAAAUUCAUUUCUAAAGAAAUAAACAAAGCACUCAAGCUUCCUUUUUCUCCACAAAAAAAAAAAAAAAAAAAAAAAAAAAAAAAAACAAACAAGGAGAACCCCUAACUUAUAGGCUAAAUAUUCCACUCCGCCCCUUCUACUUUAGUCAAAAAAUAAUUAAGAGUUUUUAUCAAACUGAUUGAUGAAUUUAUUAAAAUAAUAAUUUACAUCAUUUUUUUAGAGAAUAGAACUAGACAAAUUAACAAAAAAUAGAGUGAAUAAAUUUGAUAAAAAAUAUUUUUCUAAUUAGGAGCUGUUUGGUUCUACGGAAAAGAAUGGAAAAAGUUUUUAGAUUAAAUUUUUUUAUGGAAAAUCUCGUUUAAAGUUUUCCACAUGUUUGGUUCUAAGGAAAAAAAACUUUUUUGAAAGGAUUUUUUUUCCUAAAUUUUAUAAAGAAUUAGUAUUUUUGUUUCCUGAAAUUUUUUAGAAAAAUAGAAACACUUACUUUUCAUAAAAUCUGAAAUUUUUUUUUUUCAAAAAAGCUAUUCUUUUAGAAUCAAACAGGAGAAAAUUAGAAAAGUAGUUUCUUAUAAAGAAUCUUUUUCUUGAAAAAUAAUUUUCUAUACUUUUUGGAGGAAUCAAAUAGCCCCUUAAAUAUAACCCAAGAAAAAAAAAGAUGAAGUUGAGGGGAUGUCAAUUAAAAAAAAAAAAAAAAAAAUUUUAGUUUUUAUAACUAACAUUAUUUAAUUUUAAAAUUUAGAAGUUGAGGGGUCUCAAUCAAGGGAAAAAAAAAAAAAAAAAAGAGUUAAGGAGUCUAUUUUAGAAUCGCCAAAAUUUUCUCUAUUUGGUUGAACAAUUGUUUUUCUCCACCUAUUUGUUUUGAUUAUCUAUCCUAUCAUCAAUUAAUAAACAUCUUUAAUAGCUAUGCAAUGUUUGCUUGAUGCUAUAUGCCUUAAGAGCUAUGCAAUGUUUUGUUUUGUUUUUCUUUUUUUUUUUCCAACACACAGGGGAUUGAAUCACUGACCUCCUCCACCCUUCACUCCUCUCCCCAAAACAAUACACAUCAUCUACACUAGCACAUCUACACUAGCAGCUGGGUGUAGCUAUGUAAUGCUUUAAUUUGGGGAGUUAGUUUGCAGUAGAAGGAAAAUUUUGUCUUACGUUUUUUGCUUUUUAUCUUCUUAUUUUCUUCUUUUUUAUUUUGGGUAAAUUGUAUAGAACUUGCUUGGACUGUGGAUCAUUCUGGAUUGGUUAUACAACCUUCAAAAUUAUCUUCUGUGAAUAAAUUAUCUUUUACAAAGUAAGCUCCUUAAAUUGAGGGGCUUCUAUAUUCCUGAAUAAAUUAUAUUCUUGAAUAAUAUCGUAUAUGUGAAACAAUAAAAGAUUGGUUAACAAAAGUGUAUCCGCACAAAGAGAGAGAGAAGAAACAGAGAGAUGUAUCCAGAGAGAGAGAGAGAGAGAGAGAGAGAGAGAGAGAGAGAGAGAGAGAGAACUUUGGUAGGUGAUGCUAGUAACAGGCUAGCAACACUUUUGGAAUAGAAUGAAUUUGUUGAAUUUGAUAAAAUAACAACACCUUUCUAUUCCUUUUUCUUUCUCAUAUUCAUCAAGUGUUUUUUUUUUUGUUUUUUUUUUGGUUCAUACACAACUGUUCUUCAUUUUCAAUCCACAUUGGUGAGUCAAGGUUCAUUACAAAUUUUUGUUCACUGAAUUAUAGGGUGACAUACAUACCUCAAUCUGCAAUACAACAAUGGAAGCCAUAGAAGGGAUGGCCCGUCUAGAAGUGCCUCUAAUUUCUGUUGCUGAUGAUGUUGGCACAUCUAGUGAAAAGGUCAAUAGCGGAAUUGCUGAGGAGGCUACUAGUUCAGUCACCGAAUCGAGUAUGAAUGUGGAUUGUUGGAUUAAAGAGGUGGAGAAAAAAUGCAAGGGCGCAUCCGAAGGUUUGCUAUGGCAGUCCAAGAUGCCCGACGAUAAAGGAGAGCAGUUAUCUCAACAAAGGGCAGUGGCGAUAGGGCCAUUUAAUAGGGACAAGAGCACACAUAUUACUGAUAAAGAAAAAUAUUUGAUUGUCCACCUGAUGAAUAAUCUAUACGAUCAUCUUGACUUGGAAGGCUGCUUCAAAAUGAUAAAAAAUCAAGUAGUAGAUGCUCGCAAAUGGUACUCCGAUUCAGAUAUGCCUGAAAGCUUUGGCUCUACAAAUGACAACACAUUUGCAGAGAUGCUGCUGCUAGAUAGCUGCUUCAUCUUGUUUAUGUUGACGUCCAUCAGUGAGAUUCAUAGUAAAGUGACUCGUGAGGGAGUGAUUCUACAUAGACAUUAUUGUUCAAAGAGCCUAAAGAUUAUGCCGGGUAAGCUGUUUGGAGCCGAUUCUUCAAAGAAGCAGGAGAUUAAGCUGGCUCUAGACGUCGUGCCUAGAUUUGCCGGCAUAUUACGUCACAAAGACAUGAUCAUGGUGGAUUUGCUGACCCUCCAAAACCAAAUCCCUUUCUUUGUGAUCGAGGAGCUAUUUAAGAAGCUCCAGUUGGAGAAUCCACUCCAUAAAUAUGCCCUCAAGUUCUUCAAGACAGUCCAUCCAAGGUCCACGCAAGGUUGCAAGGGCAAAAAUAGUCCUCCCAAAUUCCUACAUUUGCUCCAUCUUUUCCACUGGUCUCGAGUCCCAAAGAAUAAGUGUGAUGUACUUAGAUCAUGGCGUCCCCAGCUAGAUGAUUUUUACUGGGAUUGCAAAACUCCGAGUGUGAUGGAACUUGGAAAAUCCGCCACAGGGUUCAGAAAGAAAACAUCAGGCAGCUCACUGGAUAUCUCAUUUGGGAGGGGUAGGCUUCUACCCAUUGUCCCGGUGCUCAACAUCCCACGCUUACACAUCCGUGAAUAUAGCAGCCGCAUCUUCCGUAACCUCAUUGCUUUUGAGAUGCAACGUCCAAGAUCGGAUCGCCGCACCAUGGCUUUUUCUGUAAUUAUGCAGAACUUGCUGCAAAGCGAGGAAGAUGUGAAGCUGUUUCGGCAAUGUGGCAUUUUGGCGAACACAUGCAUGACCGACAACAAAAUCGUUAAUUUUUUCAAAAGCUUGAGUCUAUCGAUCGGAAAGGAUGAUAUGCCAAUCGAUGUGUAUGUCUUUUGUCAUCAGGUCCUGUCUUACCACAAUGGUCGAAUCAGUUGAUUCCGUGCCAACGCCAUUCUCAAGUACUUCCCCAACUGGUGACUUUUUCUGUGUUCCCAGCUCCCAUGCUUGUUGUUCUUACCCUCCAGCAAACCCUAUAUUCUAUGCUCAGCUUCUAUAUAUCAUUGUUGAAUGCCCCAAAUUCUACUCAGUAUGAUGGUAAUGCAUGCAUAUAUAUAUUAUCGAACUAAAAAACAUUUUGUACCAAUGUUUAUGGACCACCAUCUUGGGAUGGAAAAGAAGAGUUCUGUGAUGAGCUCCUUGCUUUGGGAGCGGUUUGUUCCAACUAUAAAUGGGCUAUUUGUGGAGAUUUCAAUUUUACCAGAAACCAGGCUGAACGCACCGGGAACCGGGGGAGCAAUAAAGCGAUGUCAAUGUUUUCAGACCUCAUUUCAAAUCUCGAAGCCAUCGAUCUGCCUAUUGCCAACCAAAAUUUUACUUGGUCGAACAUGCAAAGCGCACCGACCCUGGCCAAACUGGAUAGAUUUCUUGUCUCGACGGAGUGGGAUCAAGCUUUUCCGCUUACCAGGAUUUCCGCACUACCUAGAAUUACCUCAGAUCACACCCCUUUAAUACUCGAUACUGGAAACUCGAGCACUCAGAGGAGAUUUCGGUUUGAGAGAGUAUGGCUUACUAGGUCGGACUUCACAAAUUUCGUACCAAUCUGGUGGAACGAAGUAUCUGGUCAGAGGUCUGCCAUCCUUACGCUGACGGCGAAGUUAAGACAUUGCAGAAACAGGAUGAAGGAAUGGUGUAAGACGAAAUUUCAUAGCAUAUCCAUCGCGAUAAGAUCUUUACAGGAAGAAAUUCGGAGCAUUGAUCUUUUGGAGGAAAGGAACAUCUUGACCCAGGAAGUACGGGAUAAACGAGUUGACCUUAAAGCGCAGCUCCAACUCAUCUUAAAGGAAGAAGAAAUCCUGUGGAAAACGAGAGCUAAACAGCACUGGCUAAAGGAAGGAGACAGCAAUACAAAGUUUUUUCAUGCAGUGGCCAACGGGCGGAAGCGUUGUAAUGAGAUUCACUCUAUUGAAGAUGAGGACGGAAGACAAUUCAGUAACGAAGAGCUUAAGAAAUCCUGUUUCUUUCAAUCCUUUAAACGUCUUUUCGAAAGUGUGGAAGAUGACCCGCCGUCUUUCGGCGACUGGGCCGACCUGUAUCGUGGAGACGUCUCACUUGACACGGAUUCCCUCACAAGCCCCUUCACUAUAGAUGAAAUUAAAAAGGCGACUUUUCAACUGGGAAGUGACAAGGCGCCUGGUCCCGACGGCUUCCCGCUAAUUUUCUUCCAACACUUCUGGGAAACAGUAAAGGAUAACAUUCUUGAUAUAUUCAGAGACCUUCAUAGCGCGAAUCUCUUUACGGCACCGGUCGACUACACGUACGUAUGCCUAAUCCCCAAAAAGGAAGGAGCACGCCUGGUUAACGAUUUCAGACCGAUCUGCCUUCUGAACGGAAUACAAAAGAUUAUCUCGAAAGUUCUUGCGAACAGACUUGCGGGGGUAUUACCUUCUAUCAUCUCUCCUUCACAAUCAGCGUUCCUGGAAAAUCGACUAUUAGCUGACUCGUUCGUCACUGCGAGUGAACUUCUCAACUGGUGUGCAAAAACUAAUAGGGAGUGCGUCAGUGUUAAGGUGGAUUUCGAGAAAGCUUAUGACAAAGUCAGCUGGAGGUUCUUGCAAAGUAUAUUACGAUGGCUUGGGUUCAGUGACAAAUGGUGGAACUGGAUUGAACAAUGUAUCGGCAACGCUAAAGUUGCAAUCUUAGUAAACGGCUCGCCGACUAACUGGAUGAAAACAAGGAGGGGACUGAGACAGGGGGAUCCACUAUCCCCCUACUUAUUCAUUUUAGUGGCUGACUGUCUGGCUAGGGUCACGAAAGCAGCAAGGGCUAACAGUUUACUUCAGGGAAUAGGACCCACAGACGAAUGUCAAACAGUAAUUCUGCAGUAUGCGGACGACACUUUAUUCUUCGCAAAGCCCAAGAAGUCUGCUAUGCGCAAUCUACUCUUCAUCUGGAAGAUGUUUGAAUGGGCAUCUGGUCUUAAGGUAAAUAUGAACAAGACGGAGCUUUACCACUUAGGUAUCACCGCUAACAGAGCGAAACGAUAUGCGGAUAUUUUGGGGUGCAGAGUCGGUAGCCUACCGUUCCGCUACUUAGGCCUUCCGCUACAUAUCAACCCCCUUCGUAAGGAAGAGUGGAUGCCGAUCAUCAACCGCAUCGAGACGCGCAUUGAAGGAUGGAAGGCAAAACUCCUCUCUCAAGGGGGGCGACUCAUCUUGGUCAACUCGGUUCUUUCAAAUCUUCCGUUAUUUUACUUCGCAAUCUUCAAAGUACCGCAAUGGGUGCUGAAACGAAUUGAAGCGCUUAGAAGAUCUUUUUUCUGGAAAGGGUGUUCCAAAAUUUCGGGUGGGUCUUGCCUCGUUGGUUGGAAAACGAUUUGUAGGAGCAAAAAAGAAGGAGGUCUAGGGAUAAAAGACAUGGAAGCGACGAAUAAGGCGCUUUUAGCAAAAUGGUGGUGGCGCUUAUUCAACGAGAAAGGUCUGUUAUGGGGGAAGUUGAUCAAUGCAUUAUAUUACACCAGAAGAAGGCCGCUAUGUGAAGGCAGAUCCUUCAGACCGUACUCUCAGUGGUGGAGAAGUGUGAUGAACUGUCGAGACGUGUUCAAGUGCGGUGUUUCAUAUGUCCUCGGUGAUGGGAAAAAUAUCAGGUGGUGGUCGGAUAUUUGGAUCGAUGAAACCCCUCUCAGUACCCGAUUUCCACGAAUCUUCAGCAGUAUCAUACAUCAGGAAGCCACGGUCUCACAAUGUUGGAACGGAAGAGGAUGGAGAUGGCGCUACUUAACCAGAGGCUAUGAUACUCGUACCAUUGGUCAGAACUGCCAACAGACGGCGUUGCUCAAAAACCUUCUCUCUCACUUUAGCCCAUCAGAUGCACAGGACAAACUAAAGUGGCGGUGGACUACCAACCAAAUUUUUACCGUCAAAUCUCUCUAUGAAUUCAUCACCGACGGAGGACAGACUGAUACCUCGUACGACCACCUAUGGGGCUUAAAAAUCCCACUCAAACACAAAGUUUUCAUUUGGAUUCUACUACGAAAGAGAUUACCUACGGCAGACAGAUUGCUUCGCCGAGGAUGCAUCGUGGAUCAGCAAUGCAGGUUUUGUGUGUCACUAACUGAAACCGUCGACCACCUAUUCCACGACUGUAUCGUUGCCAGAUUUUUUCGUUUUAAAGCAAGAGUUCUAGAGGAGGAGAUUUCGGAAGUGGGGGAUGUUUGCCACCUGUGGACACUGAUCUCGGACAUACCCGUGGCCGUUACAAGAUCAAAAUUGUUAACCAAGCUGGCGGCAAUUUGGUGGGUCGUUUGGACGGAGCGCAACGGCAUAUGCUUCCGCGACGUGGCCUUUAAUGUUUCCAGGGCUCUCGAACGUGUCGCCGUUUUGACCGAAGCCUGGAACGAAGCACUUUGAUUAUCCUCCGGGCUGGGUGCCCUGCCCGUGUCUCCCCUUUGCUGAUUUUGGUUUGCUCGUGUCUACUGGGUCUCACGGACCUGGUUUUUUUCUCUUAUUUAUCUCCUUUCUUCCUUUCUCUUGUUCCCUCGGUUCGGAGGCCCUAGCUGCUUCCAAUUUGUAUGCUAAAUUCAUUUUGCUUAAUGAAUGAAGCAGGUAGCUUGCUACCUUUUUCUCAAAAAAAAAAAAACAAAGUGUCUUUGAUAAACGAAAAGCCAGUGAACUCCGUAGGGAACAUUUGAUCACAUGGGAGAGCACGCUCUAAUCAAAUCAUCUUCCCCGGCCAAAUGUUUCUCCAGCUAAAUAUUUUCAUCUUUUUUUUAAAAAAAGAAAAGAAAAGAAAAUUGAUAGAUGAAUGGGCAAGUAAGGUCAUUCCUUGUGAAAUUCUCUCGACAUAAAAAUUUGAUGAGAUCGAUGGAGAAAACAAUAAGAACGAUAAGAAAUUUAUUGGUUCGGCAAAUCCUUUCAAGGAACUCUCUCUCAGGGAUCUCUCUUUUCUCUCCGACGACAAUUUCACAUGGAGGUUGUAAGUUGUGGAAUCUAAAACAAUGGUUUCGAAACAUAACACUCCAUAACAAGUUUCAGCAUGCAUGCCAUGUUCUGGAACUUAAGUUGUUAGUUCCGGAACAAAGCUCACAUUCUUGAACAUGAAUGAGACGUUCUUGAACAUGAGUUCUCAGACUAGCCUCCAACGCCUUCGGAUUCCACGAACCGUUGCCUCAUAUUCCCAAACACACUUUAUACGAUUUCGAAACAUGAAUCUUGUGACCUGAACACUCGACUCUUGAUCAAUAUUGAAUCGACUCGAAACGUGACUUCACCUCGAUCUAACAAGAUCAUUCCUAAGAAUGAUCAUUCUUACUAUAAAUUUACUAGUAUCUCUAAUCACUGUACUUCCAACUACGUCUGUUUUAGUAUGAAUUGAAAUGCAUUUAGCUACAAAUAUAGCAAACCUAACCCACUCCUCUUUAAAUAUAUAUAUCUCAACACUUUGGAAGCUUAACAAGCCUUAACUAUGGUGUAUGAUUUUGAGGGUUACAGUUAAUGACAACUUGUUAGCUCGAGUGGCGUGAGCCAAUGGCUCAAGUUGCAUUAGAAAAACAAUGAUAAAGGUCCCAAGUGCAUUGCACCUUCAAAAUAAGACACCCCCCUGCGGGAAAACAUAUGCGCAUUUUCGCAUUAAUUGUUGUACUCUUCUGACACGAAUAUUGUGGCGUUGAUUGUUUCCGUGUACGUAAGAGAUCAUGUAAGUAAUAUCAAUCAGUAAUCUGUAACGUGCAGAUGAUUAAAUUAUUCGACAUUUGUAUCGGUUGCAGUUUAAAUUUCGAGUAUUCUUUCCCGUUACGACAGAAAAAUGAAAAGUUCGAUCUUGAGAUUUCCGAAGGCGGAGAAUACUUUCGAUUUAAUCCAUACCACCGUAUAGCUUAAGAUUUCCGUCGAUCCUCCUACGUUGAUUCCUGCACCACUUUAUGUCCAUUUCUUUCUUUGAUGAUUCCUGCAUCUCUUUUAUGUCCAAUUCUUAGUUGUCCCCUUUCCUUGGUACUUACAAGGCAAGAUACACAUGUGCAACAGAGAUAAAGAGAGAUGACACAGAGAAAUCAAGAACGAAACUGGAGGGAUUAAGGUCGAUAGGACGAUCUGUUUGAGCCUCUUUUCACCCCCUCCUCGAAGGCGAAGAGAGCGCAGAUAGGAGGAGCAAGAGAGGAAGGUUUGAUGGCAGGUCAUUUCGGCUCGGAUGCAGUGCUGCUGGUGGUGGUGCUGGCGGCAAUUCUUCUACUGCUCCCUUUGGUGCUUCCUCCGCUGCCGCCGCCACCGUCGCUGCUCCUCUUAGUGCCCGUCGGGAUGGUGCUGCUGCUCGCCUUUCUCGCUUUCGCCCCCUCUCACAACACCUUCGGAAACGCAAACUUUCCGCAAUGAAACAAAACAUCCAUCGGUACGUAUCUCGCGACCGCAAACACCUCUCAUUUGUCUCUUUUCCUCUUUCACCUUUACUUCCAGAAGCAUUAAAGGAAAGGAGAGGAAAGAUGAUAAAAAUGGAAAGCGACUAAAAGACAGAUUCCUUCUUAUCACUUACUGAUUAUUUGUUGGUUCUUCUACAUCAAAUACUAUUUCCAUCAAUGUUGUAUUUGAUUCUUCCCCUCAUAGGAUGAGUGAAUUAUUUUCUGGGAAGAGGCCUUAGGGAGAACUUUUGCUCUGCCCACGGCCAAAGAUCAAACACAAAUUUACAUGUGAAGAGGAAAUAAAUGGGAGAAGGGAACAAAAAGGGAGGCGCCCGUCGGAAGCAGGAUGAAAUAUAACCCCUACCCUUGGAGCAGCUGCGGUGGUUGCGAUUGUUCGGGCGGACUCUGCAGCGGAGUCAAGCAAUAGAGGAAUAAGCCGGCAACGAGAACUGCAGCACCAGCAACGAAGCCCGCUGGGAGCGAUGACGCCACUCCGAUGUAUGGUAAGGGCAGUGUGAAUGCGUAGAUGGACAACGGAACUGCACCACAACCAUCAUCAACAAACUGUUACAUUUUCCACUUAAAAUGUACCUGGUUUUGAAAGGUAGAAGGGAACGGCGGAAGAAAAGAAAACAGAGAAAGACCGGUGCUACUAGUUAGAUUUGUUUUCAUUGACAUUUGCAAAAGUAAUUGAUAUGUUGAUCUUCUGUAACUCCGCAAAUGAUCGUUAUGAACAAAACAAUUCAUAUCUUCCGAAAUCAAAACAAGAGAAGCUAAUUGAUUAUACAAAACGUGCCGAGUAAGACUUCACCAUCAGGUAGCAUAAGGAGCUCGAGAAAAUUAAAGUAUCAUUUUGUCACCCAGGGCAUACCAAUUUAGACUAUUUUAUCUCUGAAAUCAAAUGGAGAAUAACAAACGAAGCUGAUUUAAUUAUUUUUGUCAUAAUAGUAACUAAAAAGGAACCUACGAUGUCAGUGAGUAAAAAUACCCAAGCUUUUACCCGGAUCAGAACCUGAAUGAGGCGGUUUUAACCGAACAUAAUUAGGGACAGUUUCAGUGAUCGGAAAGAAAUUAACAGAUAAGGCAAGGAAAACAGAUAGCAGUUACAUAGAGAGAGAGUAAUGGGAAGACCAGAGAGCUAACCUGAAAAUGUGGAAGCAAGGCAAGAUACCACUGCAGAAGACAUUUUGAGAAGGUGUAGCAAAGAUAUGUUGAAUGCCAUGUUAACUAUUACAAAGAGAAGCGGCAGCAGCGGUGCUCCUUCACAUCCUGCAAGAAACCAUCAUUAUUAGGAACUUUAGUUGGAAAGAAGGAAAAAGAACCCAGCAGAAGCUGAUGUGAAAUAUGAAUUGUGAUAAGUACCAGCCGAUAAUGAUCCUAUAUUGAGAAAACAAGCUGCACCAUCUCUUAUGUAUGUAGGCAGGAGAUGGAAUGGAACUCCCCACAACUUAGACAAAAGGGGUAGAAGAAGACAUAUAAAGAAUGCCUGCAAAAUAUCAUUUUUAAUUGUUAAGAAAGUUCAAAUUCCAAUUGAAAUUUGGGUUUCAAGUUAUUGUCAAAUAUGGUAGGCACCUGGUAAGCAGAUCCGAACGAGUUGACAACAAAAAGAUCAACCGUUCCUCCCUGUGGUAUGCAGAUUUUGCUUGUUAGGAAGCAUUAUAAGUAUAAAACACAAACGAAGAAUUGAAAAGGUAAUAUACUGAUAAGUGAAUAGUGACAAUAUUUUGCUAUCAUAACUUCCGAGAAAGAUGAUUAUGGCCAAGAUUGGGAAUAAUUCUCCCAGUGCAGCAGCUUUGAGUUUUUAAAUCACCAUACAAAUCUGAAAACGCCUGAAAGCUCCAUAUCUUCCUAUGUGCCCAAUAACACCGAAAAUGUGGCUGGACAUUAGAUUGAUAUUAAUACUGGAAGGCUGGAGAUCUAAAUUGCUUUCAGAUUUUUAUGGAGCUCCAAAGUACCCAAAAUGGCUGCUACAGGAGAAGCAAUCAUAAUCAAGUCCUGUAUAGUGCAACACAAAGAGAUCAAUAAUACCAACGAGUGUACCUUCAGCUUCUUUGCAGCAUCCAAGAAUAUUAUCUCCUACAGAUUAACAAUGUUUGACUGCAUCAGAAAAAACUUAUCUUAACAACUUGGGGUAGUGGAUAUAAUUUCUCAUAUCUACUUCGGUAGUUUUGAUACCUUCAAAACUGUGUCGGCAGCUUGAAACAAAAAUGAAGUAAUCAUCAAAAGGGGCCAAAAUAUCCCAGAGCCUUUAAGCGAAACGCUUGCACCAGAUCCACUGCAUAUGUCAAAGUGAAAGUACUAAUAGUAGAAUGACUCAGAAUUAUAGAAAGUAUUUACUAAUUUCUACUCAUAGCAUCAGAACAGGGUAUCUCUAUAGCACUUCCACUUUUCAUCAAACCGGCCGAUUUUAGGGAAGCACUUCCAAACUAGACCUUAAGGUACUAACUAUUUUCUGGUCAUGCUACCAAUUAUGCAUCAUGCAUCAUAUGGAAAUAAUCAUCAAUAUAGAACAACUUACUGCAAGGAAGAGUACAUGUCCCUGCUAGAAGUGCAAUGCAGCUGACAACUGUUUUAGCAUGCUUGCAUAAUAUGGUCCUUGAACUCAUCAUGAGUAAUUAUAGAAAAUCUGGUAAUAGAGUAAGAAUUUCUAUUUAUUGCUUACAAAUAAGUGAAUCAACUUUCAGUAUUUCAGAGGAUGCUUAUAAAUAGUUCAGAAGCUUCUCAUUUACAAAGCCAAUGCGAACAGGGCGAACAGGGCAAUUUCAGUUAUUAUUAUAACAAAAACUCAAGAUUUGAAACAUUUCUUUCUUCUUUGUGCGUUAUACGGUCAAUGAUAUGUUACUGAAUUCAUAUUCGCUGAAUAUACCUUGCUACAGUUAUAAUGACACCAAUAGCAACAAGUAAGCAUCCUAGUAGCUGGUUGGACUUGUAUCGUCUCCUCAGAAAAAUAACCGACAAGAUAAGCUGCCAAACAAGAAAGGUCUGCAAAAAGAAACAUUACAAACUAUUAAUUUUGAAAUACACAUAUACCUGAAAUCAUAAAGGAUGUAAAACAGUGAAAAGUUUAUUCACCUGCGAUAGUAUUGGAAUUGAAGCCCCGGAAAGAACAGCUGCUCCAAGAAAGAGUGAGCAAAUCAAACCAAGUAUGAUAAGUAUUAGAAAUUAAAAUUGAUUCACUUUCACAAAAGAACUCCGAAAAAUGGGGGAGAGGUUAAAAAAGAAAAAGAAAAAAAAUAUACUGAAACUCAUGGGAUCUAACAACUUUGUGUGUGUGUGUGUGUGUGUGUGUGUGUGUGCGCAUGUGACAAUUUGUACAUGGACAAUAGCAGACAAUAAAUUGGCCAGAUAUCACUGUAUACUUUAUAGUGUCAAAUGUCACUAUGAAUUGGAAAGCAGUGCGAUAACAACUUGUACACAUGUCAUAACAUGAAGAAUUAAAAGUGUCAAAUUGAUUUUAUCUACUUUGUGUGCAUCGAAAGCAUUUUGAUUUAGCUUCUAGAAUUUUGUCUACUACAUGUUUACAUGAGGAACAGACAGAUUUACCAGCUCAGUUGUACUGCAGAUGUAUCCUUUUAGAAUAGGAUAAAUGAUGCAUGUAUGAUUGACUACAGAAAACUAAUAAACUUUCAAAAAUGAACUUUACCUCCAGCUGCCAUGCCAGAUGCGGCUCCUAGAGCUUCUAGCAGUCCUACAGCUAGAAACGGCGUCUUUGGUAGAGAAAGCAUUUCAUGGGUUACAAUGCCAGCGUGAUAGCGAAUAUACAGGAUGGAGAAGUACACAACCACAUAUCUGGUAUUCAAAAGUACGCAUGUAGCCAAAUUAGAAAUAUCACUUACCAAAAUGUGAAUAGAUGAAUGAGUUCAAAUUUUGUAGUACAUUGUGAGUGAUAAAAGCAUGCUAACGCUAAGUUUGGUUUUUGGUUAACUAACAGAACAAUAGGUCAUAUACAAACUAAGCGAUACCCCCAAGUUUCAAACCAUCUAGAAACUCGUUAUACUAAACAAUAUUCUUUUUAGCAUAUAAUAACAUGACCAAUUACAUGAUCUAAUUAUCACCCCAGGAUUUCGAUAUCAUUCGAAUGCAGAUCCGGUUCACGAGUUGGUCAAACCGGUUGAUAGAGCCAUUGGGUCGUCGAACCCGAAAGCUAUGGUCGAGAGAGCUGCUACUCAGAGUCUCGGAUCAACCAAUUGGUAAAAUAACUAGUUGCCUAGUUAGGAUCAAUCCCCUGUUAGAAUCAUACCCUUCCAAUUUAAAAUUGUACUCGGAAUGCUCUCUCUCGAGGACAUAGGCUCCAAAACAAAUGUUUAUCCACCACUUUUAUGUCAUGAAUUUAAUGAAUUAUUAAGAAAGAAGAGUAUAGUUCAAUCUAAAGUACAUCUCAAAUUUCUGGAGUUUCAAUGUCCUUUUUCCGCUGGACAAUGUAGAACACAUUUGGCAAGGGCUGCUCUAAUUUUAUAUUUUUCACAAAAAAAUCAAACAAUAUUUUAAGCUUGGAAUUAUAUUUCUAUGAUAAAAAGCAAAGUAAACGUGUUAAGAACACGCUUACGCACAUGUAAAAUUGCAGCAUCCGUGAUAUUUAAGAGGCUACAAUCAGAUGCGCACUAAUAAGCUUUUGAGUGGUACGAGUCCCACAUUAUUUCAACUAAGAAACAACUUGUCUAUGCGUAACAGGAUGGUCAGACUUGUUGCCUGCUGGUGGGUCAUUUGGACGACCAGGAAUGAUGCAAUUUUUAGUAAGACCGAGCCGGACCCCCUACGUGAUGUCUAUAAGAUUAAACAGUUGACGAACCUGUGGGAGCAUCAUAUCACAGCUAAGAAGUAACAACAUAUCACCCUUUUUUUUUCACCCUCCUCAAGACUUCGGAUGCCUCACCCUUGUAAUUUAAUUCAUCCUUUUAAUGAAUGAAGUAACAUGUUAGUUUUCCCUCAAAAAACAAACAACUUAGUCAAUUUUAUGUAUUUUUCUCAAAAGACAAAACAUUUUUUUUCAAUAUUAAUUAAUUGUGCAUUAAUUUAUGAAAGUCAUAGGAAAUGGGAAAUGGGAAAUGGGAAAUGGAAGGUGCGUAACGGCUUUUCGCAGCCGCAACGCGCCACGCCACACGUUCCGUUGCUCGACACAACGACACACGACGAGCUCGAACGUGCCAAACAAAAUGUGGGGCCCAACGACACGUGCUCUUUCUUUUUCUUUUUCUUUUUCUUUUUUCCACUUCUUCAUCUCACGACAAUAUCAGAAAAUUUCUAAAUAUAAAUAAUUAGUUUUAAUAGUAAUUAUAAUCCGCUCUUUUUAUAGAUUUUUGUUUAAUAAUGAUUACAAAAUUGGGGAAAAAAAUUGGACAAAAAAGCGACCACAUACAGUCCUAUCAAGUCGCACGUGGACACGUGUACGAUAACGGAGAUCGACACAGCACUUUUAACCGCCGUUAUUUCCCUCGGGAACAAAUCAACCUACUCUUUCUCACGGUACAGCUACGCCGUUAAUGACACUUCAGACGACAAAAUUAAAAAGAAAAAAAAAAAAACAUUGCACCACGAGUGUCCAAAAUUAAUCCAAAUCUGAUCGAUGUUUUAACAUUUAAACUAAAAUUUCUAAAUAAUUAUUUUUAAAAGUAUUUACUUAAUCAAGAGAAAUUUACACAUUUUAGCAUUAAUAGUUUACAAGAAAAAGAAAGCAAUUUCCAAAACUUAAUUACAGCAAAAUGAGAAAAAUUAGACCGAAUUAUUAUCCAAAUUAAAUUUGAAAAUUAGAAAAAUAAGGAGGAGGAGGAGGAGGAGGAGGAGGAGGGAGUGGUGGAAACACNAAACAUUUUGUACUACCAAAUGUUGGAUAUAUAUAUGUUUACAUUCAGUAUUCUCUAUUACUAACUAAUUUGGUGUUCUUGCGUUAUUAGUGUAGUGGCUUUUUAUUUAUAUGAAAUUUCUUCACACAUGUGACUCUGGAUGAGAUCUGUGAUGCACAUAUAAAUCACAAAUAAGGGUCAGGGGUAUCAAGGAUUUUAGUGCUCGUCACCACAAGCUGUCUCUACUUUAUUAUACUAUGUUGACAAAAUAUUGACACGAUACAAUUUCAUGCCAAAGGCACGUACGGCUCAAACCCUCUUUUUUUUUUUUUUUUGUCACAUUAGCAAAUAGUUAUCUAAACUAGGAAAGAUCAGAUAAAAAUAAAAUUAAAGCAUGAAAUCCUUUAUGCUUCCUUCCUAAAGCUCUCUACCCAACUUGGGAGAGAGCUUCUAGAGAGAGGGAGAGAAAUGAGAGAGGAGUGUAAUAGCUGUGAGAGAGAGAGAGAGAGAGAGAGAGAGAGAGAGAGAGAGGGUGUUGGGAUCUUUUUAUAAGUUGUUACAAUAGCAAAAAGGCCCUCAUUUUUUUUUAUUUACAGCAAACCUAACCUGCUGUUUCGCAGUCGGCAUACCGGUACGCGGGCAAUUUGUCACCGGUACGCUCCCGCGCAGCUGCCGAGAUUCGAGACCUGAUGUUCUCGGUCUGGCGUAGGGUAUCAGUACUCGGGAAAAUAGUCACCGAUCAAUAGCCUUGACGGAGGCUAACCCGAGAGCUGCUACUCUCGGUCAGCUGCUUGGUGCCGGUACUCUUUGAAAUAGUCACCGGUUAACAAUGCUUCAAAAUUUUCGUUUUACAUUAUUUCGACUUUAUUUCGCACCGAGUAAUAUUAAAACCUUUUUAACUCACUUGGAACUCAACUUUGACCCUUCCAACAUUAUUGAAAUGCUAAUUGGAUUUUGUCCAAUUAUUUCUCUCGCACACUUUAGUCGAUUUGACUAAAAUUCGAUAUACACUAUCGAGGCUUCGGUAUAUUACACUGGACGUAAUGUCGUUUAAGCUGCUCCAUCGCCCGAAGGGAGGGCUCGUUGCGGCGACCGUAGGGGCCGAUGGCGACCAUUCGGGGCUUGUACAGCACCGUGUUGCGCUCCCGGAUGAAGGCUGCGACGCGGAAGAAGGUGAAGUUCUUAUCCGCGGCCGUCGGCUCAUCGCUCAAGGCGCGUUGUUUAUGCCUGGCUCUCAGCAGGGACUUGGACUUGGGAAUAUCUAGUGCCACUUCCACUCCUUCCAUCGUCAACCUGUACCAGAGGUUCUCAAACUCUCACGAAUUUAUUGGUGCAGAAAAAAUAGGAUGAAAGAGUCCUCCCUCGGCUUAUCUAUAUCCGCAGCUAUGUUAGUUAACUCACGAAUUAUUCGCGAAUUUUUGAAAAAACAAAUUAAACGGCCGAAUACGUAUUUUUUCGAAAAAUUCGAAAAAAAAGUGAUUUUUUGACUAAAAAAUACGGAUUCGCGUAUUAUAGGGCGAGCCGUAUUAUUCGGCCAAAAGAAACUGCUCACACCCGCGCAGCCCGUGCCUGCCCCCGCCGCUCGUGCCUGCCCGCGCUCCCGCGGGCUCCCGCACGCGCGCAUGGGCCGGCGUGCCCAAAACAGUGAAAUGCCAAAAAAAAAAAAAAAACUCUCCAAACACCUUGCCUAAGACCCAAAAAAAAAAAAUUUUCUUUUCAAAUUUUUACUUAAUUAAUUUAAUUUUAUAGCUAUUUAUUUUUAUAUUUUUUAAAAAAUAUGAAUAUUUAUACUAAUAGCAUAAAUUUUAAAAAAAAAAUAAUUUAAUAGCCGAAUUUUUUAUCCUGAAUUUUUAAUUGGUAAACGUAUAAUAUCCGUAUAAAUCACGUAUCCGAAUAAUUGAUGAAUCUAUUUUUUAGCCAUACUUUUCAACGAAUUUAAAAAUUAGAAAACGAAUUUUAUCCGAAUUAUAUCCGUACCAAAUUUUUACCGAAUCCGAAUUAACUAACUAUGAUCUGCAGACGCAGAGCACCCUGGAUUGGGACAGAAAUUAUUCGGAGAUUUGAAAUUCAAAAAAAUAAAAGUGUAUAUUUGAGCCCGUCGAACAUAUCGCUAUUUGGACGUUAGAUUUCACAUCUCGAGUAAAAAUCUAAUAUAUAUUUAAAAAUCACAAAAAAAUAAAAAAAUUAAAUAGUUUUUUAGAUAAAUUUUUAGUUUCAAAACUUAGUAUCAAAUUAAUUUUCAAACUCUUAAUUUUAAAAUUUUUAAAAUUCUUAAUUAUUUUAUGUUAGAUAUAUUUAUAUAAUUUUUAAUACUAAUCUUUUUUUUUUGAGAAAAAGAUAAUAUAUUAUCCCCUUCGUUCAUUUUUUUUUGAAAAUAAACUUACACAGAAUUAUGAAAUAAUUAGGUUCUAAACUUAGAACUUCAGUUACCAACCGCCAAGUCUUUUGUCAAUUACACUAGAGACCAGCGGUUAUUAGUGGAUUUACAUAAAAAUUAUUAUUAUAUCAAAAGUCUGCAUAAUUAUUUGUCAUUAAGUUUUGAAACUAAAAAUUUCAAAUUUCUUUCUAGUAAUUGUUUUAAUAUAUGUAAAAUUAUUUAAAUUAAUUGGUGCUGAGUGCUGAAAACUAAUUAAAUAAGGUGUCUCGAAAUAUGAGAUUAGUGCACACGGGAAGAUAAAUUUUACAUUCGUAAAUUCAUAAUUUUUUUUCUUCACCCCUUUUUGACUUUUAUUCCCUGUGGUGCUUUCUUUUUUUUUCUUUUUUGUUGAGAGAAAGAUAACAUAUUAAUUAUUUUGUUUAUUUUUUUAAAAUAAAUUUAAUUAAAAAUGUGAAGCAACUAUAAUUGAAAUUUUAAAUUUUGGAUAUCAAUUACUAAACCUUUUGCGCAGCAGCUGGGACGUUUUUAAGCCCUCGGAGCUAUAUUUAGGGAUGUCGAUGGGUAUAGAUACCAAAAAUUUUAUCCGAAUCGACCCAAAUGAAACGGAUAUAUCCGCUGGAUAUGAAUAUGAAUUCGAAUAUAGAUAUGAAAAAUAGAAACCCGACGAAUAUAUAUUCGGAUAUGGAUUUUGAUUGUGCCUGACCUAACCCGAACCCGAUCCCGAUCCCGAUCCGAGACCGAAUUUAUUUUGUAUUAUAUUAUAUAUAUAUAUAUAUAUAUAAAUUUGAUGUUAUAUUUGAAUUUAUAUUUCAAAAAUUUAGAUUUAAUAUAAUAUAUUUUAAAAUAUUGAAAAAAAAAUAAUUGUUUCGGGUUCAAAUUUUAGGGUUCGGGUUCAUGCUCGGGUUUCGAAUUUUUGGUCGGGUUCGAGUUUGGAUAUGAAUAUUUAAAAUCCGUCGGGUUUGAGUUCAGGUUCAGAUUUCGGGUUUGAAAUCGGGUUUGGAUUCGGAUUUUUAAAAAUCCACCCCGAAUCCGAUCCAUUGACAUCUCUAACUAUAUUAGCUGUUGGAGAUCGAUUGGGAAAAAUACACAGUAAUGAUCUUACUCCAAAGUGCAUCUUCUUUUCUUGUGCACGUGUUAUAUGAAAACGAAUAAAAUAUUAUUUAAAAAUAUUUGUAUUUAUAUAUGAUAUUAUUUAUAUUUGGAUAGAAAAUAUUAAAAUAGAAAUGAUUAUGAUUUUAAAAAAAUUAUAAUUAUUCAGAUAUUCAAAAAAUGAAUAUAGAUAUGAAUAACCAAAUAUUUUAAUAGUAUUAUAUUUUAUAGUAAUAAAUUAAAUUAUAAUAUUAUUUGAUUCCUAAUAUGUGUGUGGGAAAUAAAUAUUUAAGAAAAGCAAAGAGAAUUUGAAUUUGUUUAUGCAUAACUUAAUUCCUGUAUAAAUUAGAUUUAUAGAUCACUUGCACAGUUGCACUAGAUCAAAUAUCUUAUUUUGAGACAAACGUAGUACAUCAUCUGCUUCAUUUAUAAAAAAAAAAUACAUUAGGUUAUAACGAGUGAGGUAACUGUGCCUCGAGAUAAAGUGUGAAAUAAUAAUAAUAAAAAAAAAACUACAGUUGUUUUUUUUUUUUUGAGAAUAAGAUAGCAAGCUAUCUGCUUCAUUUAUUAAGCGAAAUGUACUAAGCGUACAAGUUGAAGACAGCUAGGGUCUGCUAAAAGGUCCGAACGGAUACAAGAAAGACCGACAAACAGAUACGAGAAAGGCCCAAAAAAAAAAAAAAAAGUUGAAGGGUCAAGGGAUCUCAGUUGUUGAAAUCAACAUGUUCAUAGCUAGACUGUGCGAUCAUUGGAGUCAGUUCAUCAGUACUCGCCCGCAGUACCCGGAUCUCAUCCCACAACCUCUCUAAACAUCGCAGCCUCUCUAAAUAUCGCAUAUGAAAUAGCAACCGACGAGAAUCAACUCUUUGGCCCUAAAAAUGUCUUUUGUUUUUCUCCAACCACGGGACCCAAUAAGUGGCAGCAAUAACGGAGAACCCCUUUUUCCACCGAGUGGCAGCAAUAAUGGAGAAACCCUUCUUCUUUGUUGUGCCCUCCUUCGAUCUAAACAGCUUCCAGAGCAGCUCCAACCACAGCUCCCGUCACAGGACCCACCAGAUCAAAUAUUACAGUUGCGUACACCAAUUUAAAAUUUGAAUAUACAUAUAUCAAACUUAAAUUUAAAUUUGGAUCUAUUAAUCCUUCUGAAAUCAAAGUUUAUUUCUCUUUCUACGGCUGCAACUAAAUGAGAAUCGAAAUGAAAUCCUUUCAAAUCAAAUAAAGAUAAUAGAAAUCAGUUGUUCUAAUUCCAGAUGAGCAUAAAUCUGACAUAUUUUCCAAUCCAGAGAUCAACAAUUUUACACUGGUCUGAUCACUUGAGCGUACAAGCAGAGUAUCCCCUGAGGCAAACUAAUUCCUAGGAUGGUAGUAAGGGAAGAUGGUGUAGAAGGUCUGCAGGAAGGUGAAAACAAGAACGAAAACUGCUGCGAUCAAGGAAAGGAUGGCCCACGGGUUGCCGAAAUAGUCCCUGACCAGCUUCGCCCUCCACUUGGGCCAAUCGGAAUCGCAGUACUUCCUCACGUCCCGGAACAACCCGGCGAGGUAGUGCUUCUCGAAAUCCAUGGCGGCGCAGUCGGAGAGCUGGUUGAAGAACACCGCCAGCUCCUUGUCGCUCGCCAGCUUGUUCUCCAGGAUCCCGCUCUGGUGGAGUAUCGCGACGUCUGCCGGCGUGUCGAUGAUGCAGUCCAUGAACGUCGCGUAGCUCGUCAUGUACGCCUCCUCCGGCUUGCACCCGCCGCACUGCUCGAAUGCCACGAGGUUCGUGAACCGCGAUAACGUCGAGUUCUCCACCGAGAGGAAUGGGAUCUCGAGCACGCCGUCGUGAAAUGCGACGUCCAGGAACGAACCGGGAUGAUGCUGAUCACUCUCGUUCCUUUUCCUCUUCUCGCCCUUCCUCUUAAACGUCACUCCGGCCUCCUCGAGCUCGGUCGCGGACGGGAUCGUAUUCGGCGAUCGUUUCUUAUCCGCCGGCGCCUGCGAUCGGGAAAUCUUUAUUCGGAGAUAAGAGAGGAGGGAGGCGAAGAUCUUAGUCGGGUUUAACCAUUUGAGAAUAGUACCGCAGAUGGUACUGCCCCUCGGGUCAGUUUGUGGUUUCGUGAUGUAGCAGCGGUAGUAGAGAUGCAACAGGUGGUGGAAAUCUUUGGCUUCGCCGUGCACCGAAACGGCGGCGGAGACGCGACUGGCGAGCAUCUCUUCCUCGGGCCUCUCGACGUUUCUGCUCGCGAGGUAGUUCACGAGAAGCUCCAUCAGGGAGGGUAUCUCCUCGUCGUCCAUGGUGAACGUGACGAGCUCGAACAGCUUCUCGAGCACGAAGAGGGGGAUCUGGUUCUCGAGCAGGAGCAGGUCGCCGCGCACGAGCGGCAAGCUCCAUCCGGCGGUGCAGACGCUGUCGUCGUCCCCCUGGCUCCACUUGAUGAUGAACUCGAGGACGAAGCACCCGUCGAGGAGCAGCAUCUCCACGAACGCAUCGGCGCUGAGGUCGACGGGCUCGAAGUAGCACCGCCGCGCCCGAGGCUCCAGCACCCUGAUCUCGGCUAUGUAGUGAUCGAUGCAGUUGUAGGGGUUGCGGGAGAGGAAGUCCUGCAGGUAGCGCCACUUGUGCUGUUCCAUGGCGCGGAGGACGGGGCCGUCGCCGCGGCCGUAGGGGCCGACGGAGACCAUCCGGGGUUCGUAGAGGUGCGUGUUGCGCUGCCGGACGUGCGCCGGGACGCGGAAGAUGGUGAAGCGCUCCAGCACCAUCGGGUCGCGGUCUAAGGCCUUGAUGUUCGACCUGACGGAGCUCAGCACGGCAUCCUCGAUGUCUACGGCGACCGCCUGUCCCUGAUCCUGUGCCAUCGCCGGCAGCUAUCCUGUGCAGUCAACGAUCGUCCUCGGUAUGUAACCUCCCUCCCUACAUUACCUGUUCCAGAUCCAGUCGGCCGGCACAGGGGGCAAUAAAUUAAGUCCUUCUAAAAAGAGUUGUUUUUCUUUCCCCUAAAAAGCUUGUAGGGGAAAUCGCACGAAAUUUAUUUGAACUGUUCCUUUUUAAAAUGUUACUAAUAUACUAUCUAAUUUUUAGUUUAUUUAAUUAUAAUUAAUUGAUAUUUUUUAAAAAAGAUAGGUUAAACUAUAUUUGUGAGGCAUCACAGUGCUAUGCAGUAUGGAGUCGAUAAUAUUCUGCAAAAUUUACUGCUUUUUUAGGUAGGCAAAGCUUAUUCCUUUUCCUGUCUUUCCGGACGUUUCCCCAUCUCUCCUCAACUUCACUCGGCCUUCGGCCCACUACGCACCGCUCGGAUGCCAAGUAUAGAUUAAUUAUUUAUUAUAAUAAAUUUAUUAUUACGAAAAUUAUAUAAAAUAUAUUAAAUAAAUUUAUAUACAUACAUAAUAUAUUUAAAUUUUGAAAGUUAAAAUAUCGUUCGCUGACUCAAAUCAAAUAAAAUUAAAAAUUGUGUGACAAAAUCAAACUCUUGAAAAAAUUGAUUAACUAAAUUAAAAUAGUUCAUAGACUAGAUAAGUUUUUAUAUUAAUUUUUUAAGUAAAGUAUACGAAAUUUAUCUGAACUAUAGAUUGUUUUGACUUGGUUUACUCAACCUUUUAAAAUUUUAAUUUUACUAUCUAAUAUUUCAAUUUGUUUGAUUUUGAGUCGGCUAACAGUAUUUUGAUUUCAAAUUUGAAUGUAUUAUUUAUUUUUAUAGGUUUAGUUAGUAUACUUUAUAUAAUUCUCAUAAUUAUAAAUUUAUUAAAUUAAAUAGUUAACUUAAAUUUUGAAGUUAAAAAAUCGUUGAUUGACUCAAAUUAAUGAAAUUAAAAGAUUAGAUAGUAAAAUUUAAAAUUUAAAAAUUUAGAUAGUCGAUUUAAAAUAAUGUAUAAUUUAGAUAAAUUUUGUAUUCUUUUAUCUUUUUUAUGCAUAUGUUUCAACUGAAAUAAAAGCAAGUAAAUGACUAGAGUGCCAUUGUCCAUUGAUUGUAAGAAGUGGGCCCUAGAUGGCUCAGUGUAGUUUCUGGUAAGACCUUAGAGUUGUAGGUUGGGUGAAUAGGAGCUCUCAAUAGGUCCUUUUGAAUGUGGUCGAUAAUCAUAAUACUUAAAAAAGUUGGAUUCCUUUCGGAAUUUCAAGUUCUCCAUCUGUUCGACUCUUAAAUGGUUCAAUUCUAAUGGUAGAGGAGACAUCUUUUUCUUUACUAUCGGUGGUUUCAUGACCAUUGAUUCAAGAAACUCGUGUUAACAGAUUUGAGUUGAAUUUUCCAUUUGGAAUGAAUGGGACUAUAUUGGAUUCACUUCUUUUAUUUUUUCCAAGAGGAAAUGGGUUUAGCCCCUAUUGGAUUCAUUUCACCAACAGAAAAGUUAUAAGAAACAUAUACCACUAGAAUUCCAAUCUCAAGUUAUCGGAUUCAUAAAUAAAAUCCACACAAAUCUGGUGAAAUCAAUCCUAAUCAUGAAGGUUCUAAAAAAAGAAAUCAAUGAUAAUUGAAUUGGAAUUAAUAAAUUGAAGGUACUCUAUGUAGAAAGUGUAAAUUAACACAGAGCAACCUAUAUUCAAGCUACAGAAACAUCAAAUUUAAAUACAAAAAAAAUGAAGGACCAAGAACGGGGUAGCUACGUAGACUAUAAUUUAUCAGUUUGUGCACUCAAGGUAAAGUAUGGACCCAUCUAUAAAAAAUUGUGUGAAAGAGAAUAGCUUUUUACAUAAGGCCAUGUUUGGUUCGACGUAAAAGUGGACCGAAAAAAAUUUUUCUCCGAAAAACAACUUAGUAGCGUGUUUGGUUGGAAGUAAAAAAUUUUUCUGGAAAAACUUAUUUUACAUAUGUUAGGAAAAACUUACUUUUCGUUUUCCGCAUAAGAGCCGCGGAAAACGAAAAGGCAGCGGCUAGCAAAACAGUAGUAGCCACAGAUACGAUUCUCAAUCAAAAAGGACAAAAUGUAAUAUGUGUUUAUGUAGCUAUCGGUCAAAAACCAUCUUCUGUGGCUCAGGUAGUGACUACUUUCCAGGAGCGAGGGGCCAUGGAAUACACUAUUGUUGUAGCUGAAACGGCGGAUUCACCUGCUACAUUACAAUACCUCGCCCCUUAUACGGGAGCAGCUUUGGCUGAAUAUUUUAUGUAACCGUCCCAAUGGUUUGGACUUGAGUAGCUGAAAAAAGAUAUACAACCUUGGCAAGAACGACGUUCAGCAAGAAUUAUGACUCAUGCUCCUUUAGGUUCUUUAAAUUCCGUGGUGGCGUAGCUACCGAGAUCAAUGCAGUCAAUUAUGUCUCUCCUAGAAGUUGGUUAGCUACCCACAUUUUGUUCUAGGAUUCUUCUUUUUGUGGGGCAUUUGUGGCAUGCGGAAGGGCCGCGCAGCUGCUGCAGGGUUUGAAAAAGGAAUCGAUCGUGAUUUGGAACCGCGCUCAUGGGAGGCAAAACAUUGCGCGUCCCCGAGGCCCUUUGGCCUUGUGGACUGUGCGAGAGGGAGGUCCACAGGGUUCAUGUGGACCUCUCUCUCAUUAUAUAUUAUAUAUAUAUAUAAUAUAUAUAUAUAUAAAUUUUAUUAUAAAUAAUAUUUUAUUAUAUAUAUAAUUUAUUUUUAUAAUAAAAAUAUUAUUAUAUAAUAUUUAUUUAUAAACUUGUAAUUAUUUAUUAUAUCUCUUAAAUAUAUAAUUAUGUAAAUGUUUAUUUAUAAUUUUAAAUAUAUUUAAUCUAUAAUAAAAAUUAUAUAAUAAUAUAUUAAGAUAAUAAUUAUUAUAUAUUAAUAAUAUAUAAAAUAAAAAAUAUUAAAUUAUUUUAUUUACUUUUUUUCCUUUCACAAAAAUCAAUCGUCAUGAAAACUAUUUUUCUUUUUUACAAACCAAACACAAACGACGUAAAACUUUUUCCCACCGAAAAUUUUUUUCCAUCGAAAAUUUGUUUUCCACAGUUUUACGUGGAACCAAACACACCCUAAUUAACAAAAGGAAAAUUCAAAAAAGAACCUAAUGCUCAGAUAAUCAAUUCAAAGUAGAAUAUCUAAGGACUUAACUUUGAAAUUAUUACAGUAGCAUUAAUUAUGACUUACAUCACAAGCUAAUAGGUAUUUUAACACAUACACAUUUAACACAAUACAUAUUUAAACUAAUGAGAAAUGACAUGUGAAAAAUACACAAUAGUAAUAUUCGCUCCAUCAGGGACGAGAUUGUUACCGAUCGUUCCUAGAGCAAUGGCAAAGGCUUGGUGGUUGGUACCCGAGACCCAAAUUCGAAUCCUACUUGAUUCACAUUUCCAGCUAAGUUUAUUUCUAAAUGAAAUAAACGAAGCGGGUAGCGUGCUACCUAUCUCUCUCAAAAAAAGGACGAGAUUAUUGCGAAAAUGUUUAGAUCUCAUGAGUAGGCCGAAUAGAUAGAUUACAACAUUGCUCUUUUCAAAACAAUUAUUCAUUGGAAACUACGAAUUUUUAUACUUCUGUAUUGGCAAACAGGAUUCCCAAUAAAUCAACAUAUGGGAUUGCUCUCGUUCGGUAGGGCCUCGCGUCGGGAUUUUGCUGUGUAAAAGGAGAAAGGUUUGAAUAAAUUAGAACUUAGUACUAAAUACUUGAAAAUGUGAUAUAGUAAUGUACCUUGAUAUAUUCAUUCCAUUCAGCAUCUGUAGCAAUUACUACAUGACAUUUAUGAUCCCAGCUAAACUUUGGAUGAUGCCUGAUGCGGUUCACUAUAUGAUAUUCACGUCUAUAAAAAUUGAAGCGCUCAAACAAAUGUUUGUGUUCAUACUGCAAGCCAGUUGAUUCAUUGAACUUGGCUACUAUGUUGCACCAAGAAUCCUCUCCACCGUGUAGUAUAUUUUCCUCCCCUCCAUUUGAAAUUUGCUCCACCAACAAACUAAGCAAUAUUUUAUCAUGCUCCUUUUCCUAUAUUGCUAAAGGCUGAUCUGUUAUUAUAAUCCUUUUUUUUUCCGGAAUUACAUUUGGCGUCUCUAUUCUAUAUGUAAACAAAAGAAAAACCAAAACUUACAAUUUAAGAAAUUGCUGCAAAAGAAAGAAAGAAUAUUAUGAUCUUAAAGGAAAAAAUAAAUUAUAACCAUCAGGAAAUAUUGAGAAAGUUAGUUCUAGCUAGUUGCAUGAGAAAUACCAAUAGCCUUAUGAUGACAUCCAUCAUAAAUAAAUUCUUCUUGCCAUUGAAGUAAAGGAAAAGUAUGCCGCUAAUAUGUCAUGAUUCUAUUAGGAAACAUGCAAACGCAACUUGUUCGUUCUGUGGGGAACAUGAAAGAGCCUGAUCAGUUGAUCAGUUGAUUAAGAUGGGACAUGCGAUUACGAGUAUGAAUUCAAUCUAACAAAUAAUUGAGCUUCGAAAUGAAGAGCAUAUAAAUCUUUUUUCAAUUGAGCUUGAGAUGAUCUCUUUUAUGUUAUGUAUAUAUAGAAACUGAAAGUUAAAAAGCUAAAGGUACGUUUGUGGUGACUAGUGAACAACUGAACUCUCAUAUGGCACCACUCCAGAUCAAAGCGGAUGAAAAUUCAUCACUGAUUUAUUUUCUUUCACAGAGAAAGAAAAAACAGAGGUCUCUAAUAUUAAAUUUCAUUUAUGGGGAACUUGUAAAUAAUAACUUGUAAAAGGAAGCAGCAAACUUAGAAUUAGAUAACUACAUGACAUGUUUUCAAAUUCAAAACCCAAGAAAUUACUAGUUCAACGAAAGUAAUUAGUCCCUUGCUGCAAUCCAUUAAGGUUUUUGGACUUAGAGCCAUUCUCAUGCAGGUGCUACUCGCAGUUCCAUUCACUAAUAACAUCCACAUAUGCUGUACACUAAUAAGGCAUGGGAGCACAUAAAUAAUUUGAAUUUUUUAUUUGUAGGUUUUGGUAAUUAGUUAGUUAAUCUUUUUGGGCAACAACUUCGGAAGUCAAGUUUUCUCCCAUCAAGGAGUUAUCCGAUGAAGCCUCAUUUAUCUGCUUCGCAAAAUUUUAAAAUUUGGUAUACAGUUCUCUGUUAAAUCCCUUCCUAUGAACUUAACAGAACUUGUCCUUCACUUGUAUCUUGUUCAUUGUUAGAGUCAAUGCAUAUGUAGUUACAUGUAUAGGGGGCCUAGAAUGUCAUUGAUAGUAUGAGAAUAAUAUUUGCUAGCUACCAACUUUAUUAUUAUCGAAUGUCUUUAGUUCCGUAGGAAUUGGUGGAAUAAUAAUAAUCUACUAAUGAAAAAUUUGAUAGUAAAUACUAUUCAUGUACUAUCAAUUGUAUACUAGCUCAAUAUAUAUAUAUAUAUAUAUAGAGUUGAGCUAGAAUACUUGUAAAAGUAUUAUGUGAGUGGUGCUUUUGAGUUUUUAGCCAUUGGAUGGAGAGAUGUGAGGUUGAAAUGAUGGUGGUAGGUGGAAUAGUGUUUGAUCCAAGGGCUAUUAGUAAUCAAGGAGUAGAUCCAAUGGCUAAAAAUCUAAUAGCAUCAUGGGGGUAAUACUUGUAAAAGUAUUCUAACUCAAUUCUCUCUCUCUCUCUCUCUCUCUCUCUCUCUCUAUAUAUAUAUAGAGGAUAGUUUUCUCCUGGUUUUCUUAUUGACUUCUCAAAUUACCGAUAUACCUUGUGAAACACAAUCGGCAUGAACUACACUGAAGUAGAAGAGUGGUUCUCAAAUUACUCUGUAAUAUUUCAAUAGUCUCACAUCGGAUAAGAAUGGAGUUAGGUUUCGGUAUCUACAAGAUCAUGAACAUUAGUAAUAAUAAUUGAGUUUAAGAAUUUGGGCUAGUGUUUUAGGCCUAAUGAGUCAUGGUGGUUUCAUGACCAUUGAUUCAAGGAACUUAUGUUAACCAAUUUGAGUUAAUCCUUCCGGCCCUUUGGAAUGAAAUGAGAUUGUAUAGGAUUCACUUCUUUCUAUAUUUCUUUGAAAAGAGUGCUCAACCUACAAGAACUGUUUAUGAUAUUUAAGGUAGAAGGUAGAAUUCUUUAAAGAAAGAACUUCGAGUUAUUUAAAGUAAGAAACAAAAUUUAUAAAUAAAUGAAAUAAAGUAGGGAUCUAUGAAAUCAUUGCAAUUGAUGUUCGAUCCCUUUUCUUUUCUUUUCUUUUCUUUUUUUCUCAAGGAAAUGGGUUUAGCCUCGUUUACAUAUUGGAUUCACUUUCACCUACAGAAAAGUUGUAAGAAACUCGAACAGCUACAACUCCAACCUCAACUUAUCAGAUUCACCCAAAACAAGAGAAAUCAAUUUAAAUCAUGGCCUAGCUAGUUAAGAUUCCAAACAGAAAAAUCAGUGAUAAAUGAUUUGAAAUUCAAGAACAGUAGAUACUCUAAGCCAGAAAGUGGAAAUUUACACAAAGCAACCUAUAUUCCAGCUAUUAAAACAUCAAAUUAGGAAUAAAAAAUUAGACUGAGGAAAGGGAAGCUACGUACAUAUGGACCAAAUUGAGCUCGAAGACCUCAAGGUGAAGGAUGGACCCAUCCUCAAUACUGUAGUCCGCCAGAGAUUUGGCCGUCUCAAAUAGAUGAUGGCCAUUGAAAUAAAGCGCCACACCAGGCCAUUUACCAAGAACAGUUUUUAACACAUCCUUGAUGGUGUUAGAGCUGUUCACCUCAAGCGCAUAAUUUCCAUAAUCUUCUGACUGCACAUAGAUUUUCAUUUCACCAUCCCCACUGGGUCUCAUAGAAGAGCUAGACUCUGCAUAUCCCUUCUUGGCUAUUUUUGUUGGACUAUCAAAGUUGCAUAUGUAAGGCACGUUAGUUUCUUUGUAAUAGAAUUUCACAUAGAUCCUAACAUAUUUCAGGCACCAGUACAUAUAUAACAAACAAUAAUAUUANNNNNNNNNNNNNNNNNNNNNNNNNNNNNNNNNNNNNNNNNNNNNNNNNNNNNNNNNNNNNNNNNNNNNNNNNNNNNNNNNNNNNNNNNNNNNNNNNNNNNNNNNNNNNNNNNNNNNNNNNNNNNNNNNNNNNNNNNNNNNNNNNNNNNNNNNNNNNNNNNNNNNNNNNNNNNNNNNNNNNNNNNNNNNNNNNNNNNNNNNNNNNNNNNNNNNNNNNNNNNNNNNNNNNNNNNNNNNNNNNNNNNNNNNNNNNNNNNNNNNNNNNNNNNNNNNNNNNNNNNNNNNNNNNNNNNNNNNNNNNNNNNNNNNNNNNNNNNNNNNNNNNNNNNNNNNNNNNNNNNNNNNNNNNNNNNNNNNNNNNNNNNNNNNNNNNNNNNNNNNNNNNNNNNNNNNNNNNNNNNNNNNNNNNNNNNNNNNNNNNNNNNNNNNNNNNNNNNNNNNNNNNNNNNNNNNNNNNNNNNNNNNNNNNNNNNNNNNNNNNNNNNNNNNNNNNNNNNNNNNNNNNNNNNNNNNNNNNNNNNNNNNNNNNNNNNNNNNNNNNNNNNNNNNNNNNNNNNNNNNNNNNNNNNNNNNNNNNNNNNNNNNNNNNNNNNNNNNNNNNNNNNNNNNNNUUUUUUUUUUUUUCCUCUAGCCAUCUUAUCGAGCUGAUAUUCGGUUUCUGAUCGAAAUAAUCAAAAAAAUUCAAUUCAUUUGUUGGCUUCAUGACUAUUCAAUUCAUCACGAUGUUAAAGAAAGUAACAAUUCAAGAAACUCAUGCGAAGUAGACAUGUAGUUGAAUCUCUUUGCUUGCAACGAGAAUGUAAUUUCCAUCUUUAGGUAAGAUCUUUAAAUCUGGGACUAAAAUUAAUCAUAACCAAACUAAUUUAAAACGAACCAUACGAAAUCAAAAUCUAAGUUACUUAAUUCCAAACAAAAAGGGAACAAAAAGGGAAUAAGUGAUACUCAUAGGUGUGUGCCAACACCCGCGGCGUGCAGUUCAGAUGAAGCACGGAGCCGUGUUCGAUUCCGUAUUCGGCCAGGGUUUUCUGCUUCUGCAACUCCAGGUCAUUGAAAGAAAGCCGCGGCUCCGGCGCUCGGCCCGCCCUGUCGCUGCCGAGAAUCUUGACCAGCACGUCCACGACAGUGUUACGGCAGCACACUAGGAGAUGGUAGUUGUGGGUAGCGUCGGACUGCACAGUGAUCUUCAUCUCACUGGCGAACUGAUCAGGUUCCCCGGCGGAGUCCCACUUGGAGUUCCACAGUUCCGCGACGGAGGCCGGCAGCUCUGCAGUAUAUAAAUGACUAAACCAAUUAAGCAACAACAAUUACAAUAUCAUGAUGUUCACAUGCAAACAUUGUAAAUCACUGUAAUAAUAAUAAUAGUAGUUAGUACCUUCUUAUAUAUGGAUCAAUUAAUUAAUUACAGCGAGUCAAGUAGCACAGGCCACAGCAACUCCGAGAGAGAAAGAGAGAUACACAAAAAAAAAAUAGAAAGAAGAGGGAGGAUUUAUAGAGAUAAGAGGACUUAGUGAGAAAGAAGAAGAAUAGUUGUGACGUUCCAAGAAAUUGUUUGUACGGAUCUCACAAUGUGUGUGUAAUUGGGCCCGACGAAGACGCGUUUACUUGAUUCACUGUUAUUUCUCUCUCUUUGAAGACGCGUUUACUUGAUUCACUGUUAUUUCUCUCUCUUGAAAGACGCGUUUACUUGAUUCACUGUUAUUUCUCUCUCUCGAAGCUUCCGACCUCUUUCCGGAGUACUGCUUUUUUCUUUUCUUUUUCUUUUUUUUUUCUUUUUUUUGAGAGAAAGAUAGCAAACCAAUAAAAACAACAAAAACGUACAAAGAAAAAAAGACAGCAACUCCGAGAGAGCUGACAUUCACUGUUAUUUCUCUCUCUAAGAGCAGCAUGAGCUUGAGAACAGAGCAAGAAAAAAAACGAAACAAAACAAAACAACAAAAACAGAGAGAAAAAGAAGAGUAGAGAAAGAGAGAGAAAGGAGAAAAGAGCAGGAGGAUAAACUUUUUUUUUUUUUUUUUUUUUUUUUUUGAGGAGAUAGCUUUAGGUAGCAGGUAGGGGUUUCUGCUGUAAACGAGACGAAAACACGCAUGCGCAUGUGGGUCGGCUCCGUGUUCGGCUCGUUUAAUAAUAACGAGCUGGGUCAUCGAACAUAAUUAAAAAAGAUUAGAUUAAAUAUAUAUAAAAAUAAAUUUAUAAAUCUUAUCCAUUAGACUUCGAUCUAAUAUUAAAACUUUAUAUAUAAAUGACGAUCUUUUUAUAAUUAAGCUCAUAUUUUAUAUUUUAUUUUGCUAAAAUUUAAAUAUAAAAAUUAUAUUAUAUAUAGGUUGAGUGGGAAUACAUAUCGGUAGCAACGGGCUUUCGUUGCCCACCCAUUUUGCUUUCGAUGAUGGAGCUCCAAAUCGCACGAUCAGGUUACGUUGAAAUGAUCCUAUACCACUUGAAGUAUCUUUAGAAAUUCAAAGUUUCAUUACUUUUCGAUAAUUUUUUUUCUUGUAUUUUUCAUCAAGGUGAGGCGUUUAAAAGAUAAAAUGGCGUGAAAAUGAAUAUCUAAAAAGUGAAUGAUAGGAAAUAUGUAAUCAUGAUCGAGAGUUAUAGAUCUUGUUUAAAUAGUUUAAAAAAUUUUCUAAUAAAAUUCAAUUGAUUUGGAUGUUUUACACCGUUAAACUGAGAAAACAACUCAUAUCAAACCAUUGAAAAUUAUAAAUUUUUACACCCUAUUGAUCUUUAGGUAAAUGAUUUCAGCAAAGAUUUGAAAUUUGAUUUCUAGAUACUUCAAGUGUAGUAGAUCAUGUUCAACGGUACUGAUCAUCGGAUUUGAAGUCCAUCUUCGAAAAUAAUGAGUGGCAACGGGUCGUUUCUACGAUAGAUUUUAGCUCAUAAUCUUAUUAUAUAUUAAUUAUUUAUUUAUAUAUAAAAAUAAAAAUUAACUAUUAUAUAAAUAUUAAAAUAUAUGUAAUUAUGCGCUUUUAUCGAGCGAACCACGAGUGAGCUAAACAUGCUCUCAGUGUUCGGCUCGUUUAUUAAAACGAGCUGAAAAUCCAGCUCGUGUUCGGUCGUUUUACUAAACGAGCGGCCGCAUCUCGAGCUCAUUUCGAGCCGAACACGAGCUGGCUGUUGAACAGCGCAGCUGGAUUGGCCCUAGUGCAGGCUCGCCGCUUUGUUUUCAUUUCAUUUAGAAAUAAACUUAGCUGGAAAUGUGAACUAACUAGGAUUUGAUUGGGUCUCGGUACCAACUCAUCAGCCUUUUGCACUUGCUCCAGGAAACGGUCAGGUGCAGAGGAUAAAUUUACUUCUUUUUUUUUUAUUUUCAACAAGCGGUAGUCGUAGGUUGGAAUAAAUUUAGAUCGAGUCCACACGGAGGCGUAGGUUAGGAUAAAAUUAGAUGAGUCUGAAGUAGAAUUUGAUGGAAUGCAAAUAUGGUUGCCAAUAUGGGGACUCAUCUGUAAAAAAUUAGGAAGCUCCUAUUUAAUUUACCUUUUUCUAUAAUCUCUUGUUAAAUAUAAAAAUAUUUAAACACCGUUCUCUAACAGUUUAAGCUUUUAGAGUACAACGAUUGUUUCACAUGGUAUCAGAGCAGGAGAUCCUGAGUUCGAGUCACGCCAGGCUCCUAGCAUAUUAAUUUCCUCCCAUUUAAUUCAAGCCCACGUCAUGGGACCCAGACGUGAGGGGGAGUGUUAAAUAUAAAAAUAUUUAAACACUAUUCUCUAACAGCUUAACCUUUUAGAGUACAACGGUUGUUUCACAUCUCUCUCCAAGAUACCCGAUCGCAUAAGAUGUUUACGCACCAUAUAAAUUCUAUAAAUCUACUAUUCUAUACAUAACCUUAUCGUGCGGACGCAUUCGUAUACGGAUGAAUUAUGAUUAGAUGAAUUAUGGUUAGAAAAUUAUUUAUGUACUUAUAUCAAGAUCAGUACUGUUGAUCUUAAUUUGAAGUAUUCUAUUUUCUUUUUUUAUAAGGUUUUUAAAUUUGAACCAUUCAUUUUGUGGCAGCAUGACGCACUUGACAAUGAUAUUAUAAAAAAAAAUUAUGAACUUUCAAUUCCUAACAACUUAGAAAAUCUUAGAUUACGCUUAAUGGUGUGAAUUACUGAUUCAAAAGUUCUAUUAUCGAAAAUAAGACUAUAACACAAAAUACUUUGUGCCGUUAAUAUAACGCUAGCUUAGCUUUAUGCUUUAAUUUUCAAAACUUUUGAGAGAAUUCACAUCUUCAAAGUCCACUAAUAAAAGAAGAAUUUUAAAAAUUCAUCAAGUAAAUUCAAGAUAUUAAUCAUUUUCCAGGACCAAAGGGCCAAUCAUCUCUUCGAAUAAAAAACAACUAAAGAAGAAACAAAUCCUUCACAUAACUAUGCUCCAUCAAAAUAAUUAACAAACACUAAUUUAACUUGAAAACUUAAUAUAAAUUUUUUGCUUAUAUUAUUCUUUGAAGAGUGCCUCUUUAAUCAUGGUUACAAUAUGUGAACUAUGGUAUGUACAAUAUAUUUGUGAUAUGAUUUGAUAUAGCAACCUACUAAGUUUUUUUUUUGAGAAAGAGGUAGCGAGCUAUCUGCUUCAUUCAUCAAGCAAAAUGAACUAAGCGUACAUGAUGAAAGCAGCUAAGGCCUCCUAUGAAGCGGAAAAAAAUAGAAAAUGAACAAGGAAGGAAAAAUAGAGCUAUAGGAGAAAGCUAGAGAGCUAGGACAGGUGAUGCGGAAACACAAAAGAGAGAUAUCCGGAAGAAAAAGAAAGGGAUCACAGGUCGUUCCCGGCAUUCAUCAAGGCAAGAACGUCCAGUCGUUCGUCAUCAAGCAACCUACUAAGUUACAAUCCAUUUGGAUGUAUAUGGUGGCUAAUAACAUAAUCAUAAUAGGACCAUCAGAUAACAUCAAUCAAAUAGUAGGCACUAAGAUGAUGCACAAUUAAAUUAAUGAGAAAUGACAUUCAAUAUAAUUGAAAUCAUUCUCAUGUUUACUUUGUGUGCAUAAUAGUCAAGUAACACAUUUUCAAAUAAUUGUUUGCUUUAUUACAGUUACAAUGCACAUUCAGAGUUUGUAGAUGACAAUGAACAAAAUGUAUGAAAAUAUAGUGUUGUUGUUCUUCUCCAAAAAGCUCUGCUUCGGGUUUUGCCUGCGCGAAUGCCAAAAUAGUUUGAAUCAAUUCAAGUAUAAAAAAGGAUCGAUAGUGUUGGAUAAAGAAUAAUAAUAAUAAUAAAUACGGUUAGUAUACCUUAAUAUAUCAAUUCCAUUCAUUAUCUGUAGCAAUUACUACGUGACGUUGGUAAUCCCACCUACGUGUUGGUUGUUGCUCGAUGUUGUUCACCGUUUCAUAUUCGGUUGUGUAAAAGCUCAACCGGUCUUUCAAAUCUUCAACUUCAUAAUUCGACGCUGUUGCCUUGCUGAAUCUAGCCACUAUGUUAUGCAAAGCAUCCAUUUUAAAGCCUUACCCGUCUCUCCCGCCAUUAUGCACAUGUUUUACCAUCAAAUCAAGCAGUGCUUUGGGGUAGCGUUCUUCAGCCAAAUUGCUAAAAGGUUGGUUUCCUCUUUUGAUGGUUAAUUCAUUGUAGUAUUAUUUUUGUCAGCUCUCUAUUCUGCAAGUGAAAUAAAACAAGAAUAUCCUAGAAAUACUUUUAGGGUGCGUUUGGUUCGCAUUAUGAAAGAUUACUAGGAAGGAAAAGAUGUCCGAGAAUCUUAUUCCUAUUCAUCAUAUUACUAAGAAUGUGGAAUUCCUGUGUUUGGUUCGCAUGGUCAUAUUAUUUAGCCAUGUUAUUUAAGAUUACAAAAAAUAUACAAUUAAUUAAUUUAUUUUUUAAAUUAAUUUUAGAUAAUCUACCAAAAAUUUCAACAUUUUUUUAGAAAAAAGGGAGAGAGAGCAUAGGUUAGAAAGAGAGAGCAUAAUUAAAAAAAUAGUAAGAGAAAUAGAGUCGAAAUUAGAGGGAGUGAGAGAGUUGAGAUUUUAGAAAAAGAGGGAGAGAGAAAGCUUAGUAAGAGAGAAAAAGAGUUAAAUUUUAGAGAGAAAGAUAAGUUUAGAGAGAGAUGUGAGAUUAUAGUAUGAAGAAAAAUAAUACCAAUUAGCCGACGGAUAGGGAGAAAGAAAGAGAUUAGACAUAUUAUGAUUACCCCAAUCCAUAUUAUAGGAUACCCACCCUUUCUCAAGAGAAUGAGAUUAGUACUUUGGGAUGAAUCUUAUUCCCAAGUAAAUCCAAUAUUACUAACUAGAUUACUUAGUGCGUUUAACCAAACACCGUCAUAUUUUUUUAUUCCUAUUGGAUUACUAGGAAUCUUUAAAAGAUAGCGCGAAUCAAACGCACCCUUAAACUAAAAUAACAGAGAAUAAUGAUGAUUGAAAAUAGUAGAAAAUCGUAAUCAUAGAACAUCAUUGUGGACGGCGUUUCGACUGCAUGCACAGUGAUCUCCAUCUCACUGGCAAAGUCAAGUUCCACAACGGAGUCCGGCGGCUCUACACAAUCCAUCUCCAGCAGCUCUAUAUGGACACAUUGUGUUGUUCAAAUAAUCACAUUCAAUUUAGAGCAUCUAAUGACUUAAUUAUGAAAUCAUUGAGGGAGCAUUAAUAUAAGCUUACACUAAUGAUAGAUGCUAACAUAAAUACAUAUUUAAAUAGAUCAGAAGUGGCAUGCGCAAAAUAUAGUGUAACAAUGUUUGCCUCGGUCAAGAGGCGAGAUUACUGUGAACAUGUUGAGACCUCCUAGCUAGAGAAUGAAGAUAUUACAACACUAUUUUUAUUUCAAGAGAGUCACUCAUAGGAAAUCACGAUAUUUUAUUUUUUUUUCUCGACAAACACACUUUCAUAUAAAUUAAUAUACGGUACUUUUCUGCUUCGAUAGUCCUUCGCACUAGGAUUUUCCUGUGAAAAAGGAGAAAGGUUUGAAUAAAUUGGAAUUAAGUACUAAACACUUCGAAAAGCAAUGUGGUAGUAUACCUGAAUAUACUUAUUCCAUGCAGCAUCUGUGGCAAUUACUACUUGAUGUUGAUGAUCCCACCUAAACUCCGGACGAUUCUUGAUUUUUCCCACUAUUCCAUAUUCACGUUUAUAAAUCUCGAAGCGAGCAUGCAAAUGUUUUUCUUCAUAUUUCAUGCCUGUUGCUUUAUUGAACUCGGUUACUAUAUCACGCCAGGAAUUAUUUUUAUAGUCUAGUAUUUUUCUCCCUCUUGAUUGAAUUUGCUUUACCAAUAAAUCAAGCAGUAUUAGAUCAUGCUUUUCUUCCCAUAUUACUGAAGGGCGAUACGUUAUUUUAAAGUAUCUCCAAAUUGGCUAUCGUACAAUUGUCACUUCCCCCCCACUCGCCGCGACCUCUUCGCCAGCCAAGGCGGCCGCCUUGUCCGUUGAAUAUUCUGCGGCCCCUCCCCUCGCCGCAUCCGCCUCUUUGGCCGGCGAACGGGUGUCCGUUGACGUCUCGGGUGGCGGGUCGUUUAAAUUUUCAAACCUCUCCGCUGUCCCCGCAUCCCUAGACAACGGUGACAUCAGGGCUGCAGACUGCCGCCUUCAGCUUUCACGCCCCCCUUUCGCCAGCUGUUUUGCUAACGCCUUUUUGGCCCCUGUACCCGCGAAGGGAAGCUUCGUAUCUCUAUCCCAGGGAUCCCUUCUGGCAGAAUUAGACAAAAGGAGCUCUGGGGGGAUUUUCUUCUCCCUCGGGAACCGGCGGAGUUUCUUCCUACGAUUCUCUACAUCCUUCUCGUUUUCUGUGCGGCCCCCCUCCAAACUAGUUGUCGGAUCUCUCGGAUCCCUCCUUCUGCAUGCUUCCUUCGGGUCGGAUGUGUGGUUCGGAUCCGCAAACCUUCUCUCCUGCCACCUGGGACCCAAUUGGACCCUUAUCCGGCGCCCUGGGCCAGACCUAAGCUCGGGCGGGCUUUCUGCGUCCACUAAUGCCCCAUGCUGGCUCCCACCCUCCUGGUGCUUGGGCUUGGGCCGCGGCUCGGGCCCGGGCUCGGCCACGGGCGGCCUGGACGCAGGCAUCGUAAUGGACUUGGGCGUGGGCUUCGGUGUCGACUUGGGUGCCGGGUCGGGUGCGGCCCUGCGCUCAGGCUCGGACGUGGGCUUGGAGGAGGGCUUCGACGAGGUCUUGUCUGCGGGCCUGGAACCGGACCGGGGCGAGGGCUUGGGUGCAGGCCCAGACGAGGAUUUGGAGACACGACUGGGCGCGAGCUCGGCCGACGACUUGGGCGCGGGAUCACCCACGGGCCUGGGCGCCUUUAAGGCUCCAAGCGACCUUGCGGGAGGUUUUGGACCGGUCGAGCUCGAGCGCCCUGAGGUGGCGCGCGGGGACAGCGGAGGCAGCGGAGGGGCGGCGUCGGAAGGCGGAGGCAGAGGAAGCGGUGGGGGUGAGGGUGUUCUUGGAGGCGGCGAAGAAGACGGAGAGAGGAGAAUGGGGGCUAUGGGUUUUACGGUUCGGGACGGAGGGGUGCGGGGUCUUGUAGUUGGAGACGUCGCGGAAGAUGUGGCCGCAGCCUGGGCCGUCGGGUCGGGCGUAGAGGGAGCAAGCUUCGCCAUGGGCAUGGGCGCAGACUGCGGCGCCGGGUCGGGCUCGGCCUUGGGAGCGGGCUCGGCCUCCAUCGUGGACUCGGGCGCAGAGUUUGGCGCCGGCUUGGGCGUGGCGUCGGGCUUCGAGGCGGGCCGGGGCGCGGCCUUGGCCGUGGGCUUGGGCGCAGACUUGGGCGCCGGCUUGGGCCAAGCCUUCAAGCCCAAGGGACCUUGCGGGCCGGGGCGCUUGGGGGCGGGCUCGGCCGACGGCCUAGGCGCGGGCUCGCCUGCGGGCCUGGGCACAGGCUUUCCAACCUGCAGCACCCACCUGGCCUUGAUUUCCACUUGCAGCCACCCUCCCAACUUGGACCGUCCCACCUCGGAUCCACCCAGAUCUAGCGGAAGAGUCCGCAGCCAGUUUCCUGGCUCUGUUUUACGCAAGGCCAUGCUCAGAAAGGCGCAACUACUCGAAGGCGACCCAGCUAUUCCCAGUCACUCUACGCGCAAAUGGUCCAAGAAAAAAGUUAAGGCGAAAGGUCUUCGCUGCGGGGUGGACCUUCAUGAAGAGGCCGUUAAGGACUUCCUUGAGUUCCUGAGUGGGAAGGCCUAGGAGCGGCUGGAGGAGCCGCGGGUGUUGUGUUUCGUGUGUCUUUCCUUUCUGAUGUUUAACAUUUUGUGUUGGAAUGUUCGGGGUCUCAACGACCCCUCUAAGCGCCGUUGUGUCAAGUCUGUUGUCUCCAGUCGUGUUCGUUCUGUCAUCUGUCUCCAAGAAUCUAAAGUGGAUAGUGUGUCUCGCUCUUUUCUUCGCUCUUGCUGCGGAUCUGCUUUUGAUAGAAGCCACUUUAUUCCUGCAUCUGGGGCUUCUGGUGGGCUCAUCACUUGUUGGAGCUCCAAAUUCUUCUCUUGUAGCGAGGUUAUCGUGAGAAAGCACUCUCUCACUCUCCAUCUAUCUUGUCUCAAGAGUAAAAAGCAUUUCUUCCUCACGAACGUCUACGGGCCAUCUACCUGGGACGGCAAGGAUGAAUUCUGUCUCGAGCUUCUCUCUUUACGCGGGGUUUGCACUUCCAACUGGGUGAUCUGCGGAGAUUUUAACUUUACCAAAAAUCAAUCUGAACGAAAGGGAAACCUCUGGAGCUCUAAGGCGAUGGCUAUGUUCUCUGAUCUGAUUUCCAACUUAGCGGUCAUAGAUCUCCCUCUGUCCAACCAAAGCUUCACUUGGUCGAACAUGCAACGCAGACCCACACUGGCAAAACUAGACAGGUUCCUCGUUUCAACUGAAUGGGACCAAUCUUUUCCUCACAGCAAGGUCAAAGCCCUCCCUAGGAUCACUUCCGAUCACGCACCGAUCAUCUUAUCCACCGAAGCGCAACUCAUACCCAGACGAUUCCGAUUCGAAAGGGUUUGGCUCACUAAAGAAGAUUUCCACUCGAAGGUGCCAAUCUGGUGGAAUGAAAUUGCUGACAAGAAUUCGGGUAUCCUCACAAUUACUGCCAAACUCAGACACUGACGAACCAGAAUUAAAGAAUGGUGUAAGACGAGUUUCUAUAGCAUAUCGCUCUCGAAGAAGAUUUUAGAGGACGAACUGCAUGACAUUGAUCUCUUAGAAGAACAACACGACCUCCCCCAAGAUCUAAUAGACAAGCGAGCCAAUCUCAAACGUCAUCUACUCUCUAUCUUGGGGGAGGAAGAAAUCCUUUGGAAAACUAGGGCCAAACAACAAUGGCUAAAGGAAGGCGACUCCAACACUAAAUUUUUUCAUGCAGUGGCUAACGGGCGAAAACGCUCCAACUCGAUUGAUGUGAUUGAAGACAACUACGGGAGAGAAAUCACCAACGAAGCUACCAAACGGUCAUUCUUCCUGCAAGCUUUUAAACAACGGUUUGGACAAGCAGACGACAGAGCGAUAUCUUAUGGGGAUUGGAGUAACCUUUACCUCUCUAAUAGACUGCACAAUGCUGACUCCCUUACGUCCCCCUUCACAAUCGAGGAAAUCAAAACCGCCACCUUCCAACUUGGAAGCGACAAGGCCCCGGGACCAGACGGCUUCCCCCUCUCCUUCUUCCAAACUUUCUGGGAGACUGUCAAAACGGAUAUUUUAAAAGUUUUCACUGACUUGCAAGAUAAUAAUCUCUUCACCGGCCCCUCAGACUACUCACUUCUUUGCCUAAUCCCGAAGAAAGAAGGAGCACGCAAGGCCAACGACUUUCGUCCAAUUAGCCUUAUCAAUAGCAUUCAAAAAAUCAUUUCCAAAGUCCUGGCUAACAGACUAGCCCCCACCCUGUCAUCUAUUAUCUCACCAACUCAAUCGGCUUUUCUCAAAGACCGGUUGCUGAUGGACUCGUUCGUAACAGCAAGUGAACUAAUUAACUGGUGUUCGAAGACUGGAAAGGAAUGUGUAUGCAUUAAAGCGGACUUUGAAAAGGCCUUUGACAACGUACGCUGGGACUUCCUGAAAAGCAUUUUGCACUGGCUUGGUUUCAACGACAAAUGGUGGGCAUGGGUUGAGCAGUGCAUCUGCAACGCCAAAGUAGCCAUUUUAGUCAACGACACCCCGACUGAUUGGUUUAAGAUGAGAAAGGGUCUUAGACAGGGCGACCCCCUCUCGCCCUACCUCUUUAUUUUGGUGGCUGACUGCUUAGCUAGAUUGACUGAUACUGCAAGGAAUAACAACCUUCUCCGUGGUAUUGGACCGUCCACUGAUUGUCAAACUACGCUGAUUCAAUACGCGGACGACACAAUUUUCUUCUCCGAGCCUAGAAAACACUUAAUGCGAAACCUACAGUUUAUUUGGUAUAUCUUCGAGUGGGCUUCAGGUCUGAAAAUCAACAUGGACAAAUCAGACCUGUAUUAUCUGGGCCCUAACCCCCAAAGAGCCAACAGACUUGCUAACAUCCUUGGAUGUAAAGUUGGGAAACUCCCGUUCCGCUACCUCGGUCUACCGCUUUAUAAUAAACACCUACGAACGGAAGAUUGGGCUCCGGUCAUUGAUCGCAUAUCAGCAAGAAUCGAGGGGUGGAAAGCCAAACUCCUAUCCUAUGGGGGUAGACUCACGCUCGUCAACUCGGUUCUCACUAACUUGCCGCUAUUUUAUUUCUCCAUCUACAAAGCGCCGCAAUGGGUUUUACACAGGAUCGAAUCACUUAGAAGAUCUUUCUUCUGGAAAGGCUGCGCUAGCAUCUCUGGAGGAGCCUGUCUUGUCAGUUGGAAGUCCAUCUGUAAAAGUAAGAAAGAAGGUGGGUUAGGGAUCAAAGAUUUGGAGGGAAUGAAUCUGGCGCUGCUAUCUAAAUGGUGGUGGCGCUUCUUCAACGAACCACAAUUACUGUGGCCCAAAUUGAUUUCAUGCCUCUAUUAUGUCAGAAGAAGACCUUUACAUGAGGGAAGAAGUUUUGUACCCCACUCGCAGUGGUGGAAAGGUGUUCUGCAAUGCCGCGACGCCUUCAAAUGCGGUUUAUCUUUUGAGCUUGGCGAUGGUCGGAACAUCAGGUUGUGGUCCGAUAUUUGGAUUGGUGAAACAUCUUUGAGCACCUUGUUUCCAGACAUCUACGCUCAAAUCGCGAACAAGAAAGCUCGGAUAUCUCAAUGCUGGAACCAUAAUGGAUGGAGAUGGCGUUUUAUCACUAGAGGCUUCGCGGCGCCCCGAUUGGCCCACAGUGGUAGACAGCUGCAAUUACUCAAAGACACACUUACAAGCAGACACCCGUGCAGCAGAGAAGACUCGUUUCGAUGGCGAUGGACCACCAAUCACCUGUUUUCGGUUAAAUCCCACUACCAGUUCAUCACAGAUGGGGGAUGUAGAGAUCGGUGGAAUCAACAUAUCUGGACCUUGAAGAUUCCAACCAAAAUUAGGAUCUUCAUCUGGACGUUGCUUCGAAAGAGACUUCUCACUUCCGACAGGCUGCUCACCAGAGGCAUGUCCGUAAAUCCGCUUUGUGUGCUAUGCGGGGUUCUCCCAGAAAGCUCUGAUCAUCUUUUCGCUAACUGCAUCUUUGUUCGCUUCCUUCUACUCUCUACUGGGGACCUCGAUGCACUUCUUGACACCACAGGAGCAGUGUGCAAUCUUUGGGCAAAAGUAUCGGAAACUACAAACGACGUGUUGAAACUUAAAGGCUUAACUCAUCUGGCGGCAACCUGGUGGGUCGUUUGGUCAGAUAGAAACUCGGCCAUCUUUCGGGACGCACCCCCAAACGCAGUCCACUCGGCGGGACGUAUCAACAGUUUGAUUCGAGACUGGAGUAUACUAACCUAACCUAACUCUUGUACUAGCUUACUUUGUUUCUUUUCUUCUUUUUUCUUUAUCUCUGUUUUCUCCUUUUGCCGUUUUCGGAGGCCGUCGUUGCUUCCACCCUGUACGCUUAAUUCAUCCCACUUUAUGAAUGAAGCAGGUAGCUCGCUACCUUUUUCUCAAAAAAAACAAUUGCAGAAAUUAACCUUUAGCAAGAGAUAAGUUUACCUCUCUAAUCAUGUUUUCUGCAUCAGAGAUAAUUGUUAAAGCUUCCAUAUUAUUUUAUAUAUAUAUAUAUAAAAUAAUAAAAAUUUAGAAAAAAUAUUUUUCAACUAUAUGCAAGCAAAAAAAUUUCUUAUGGCUAUAGCAUUUUCUACUGCAUCAAAUCAAAUAAGAUGCGUAUAGUUAUAAUUGCUGUAUUUGAACUGUAUGCAUCGAUCUUUAGUUAUACUGCAUCUCAUUCAACCAAACAAAAAAAACACUUAAGUUGCAAGUUAUACUAUUUGAUUCCAAUAUAAAUAUAAUGGUAGGAAAUAAAUUAAAGAAAUAACAAUAGAGAUCCGUUGGGAUUUAAUCUCCUACUCUAACAAUGUGAUCAAUUAAUCGUAUAAAGUAAUAAUUUAUAUCUAAGAACUUAUACUGCUAUAUUCAACAUGGAUAUGCACUAGUGAUUUGAGAAAUAUGGUUACCUCAUAACUAAGGGCUCGAGAAAGAGAUAGAGGAACUACCUGGGCCCUUGUUUCACUUGGAAGAGCUUGGGUGGCUUAAAUAGGAGAAACUAAAACUAUUUUUUUUUUUUGAUUAAACAGGGAUGAACCCUAUUUUACAGAGGGAGGAUCAGAAGAGAACAAGGUGCAUCCUAGAAACUAAAACUAUUAGGAUCAUGAUACCCUGGAAUAUUCCAUUUUUCCCUAGUUCUCACCUCCACCCAAAAAAUACAAAAGGUAAUUAAUGAGAAACAAGAAGAGCUAGCUUAAUUAAUGAGACAAACGUCCACUUGCAGUAUAGUUUAAGGUUUCAAAUUAUUUUAUUUUAUCCUCCAAGUUGCAUGGUGGAAAAAAUUUUUAAUGAUAAAUGCCGGAGACUAAGACGACUAGUCACGAAAUUAAUGCUUACUUUAAAUUGGCAUAGAAAAUGCAUGUGUUAAAUUCUUGAAUAGAAAAAGAACAUUGGGACAGCAUCCAAUGUUCUAUAAUGUGAAAUAAUAAUUAGUGUUCUGUAAUUAAAGAGCUAAUAAUGUCACAGGCCCAAGUGCUACUAGAAUCAUAUUCCAAGGUGUAAUUAGGUUCUUAAUCUCUUUUGCUUGAAAACUUAAUUGAAGUAAUUAGAAGGUUAGGUACUCAAUUGAAAAUCCGAAAAAAUAUCAAAUACAUAUCUAGUUGCAAUAAGUGAAAUCAUAUUUAAUGUCGAAUAAUGUGAAAAGAAUAUUUUUCUCUAAAAAGCGUAAGUUACUAAUUAAGAACGACUCACCGGGAAAAUAUUAGAGAUCAAUCUCCUACGUAAUUUACCUUCGUGUUUAAUCUCUCUCGAGGGAAUUCAUAUACUUGUGCAUAAAAUCCUGCAAAUCCACUAUUCUAUGCGUAGCCUUAUCAUACUGAUGUUGGAAUAAUGUCCUCUUUUGGUCCUCUUUAUUUAAUCUGGUUAUAGGUCUUCUUUAUUUAAUCUGCUUAUAUAUAACCGGAGAAAGCAAAAGCGUCCAUGAAUGAUAACAUGUGCUAAUCAGCAGUCUUAUCCACAAAGGUCUAAGUGGGUAGCAGUAGUGGAAAGUCAUCUUUGGGCACUAAGGCCUCGAAAAUCAAUGCAGAGACAAAUUUAUCCAGCUAGUAAAACGCUCUAAUAGUUCAACAGAGAAUGAAAAAAUAAUUUUAAUUAUAAUAUAUGAGACUUAUAUGUUAGUAACAGUAAUUAGAUUUAAAUAUUUUGGACCGGUAGUUAUAUGAGCCCAACGAGUUAUUGUUGCUAACAGUUCGGAUCGUUUUGAACUCAUAUGAGCUAUUUCUAUAAUCUCACAUUAAUCUAAUAUUGCCUGAUAAUUCUAUUCUAUUUUAUAUCUAUUUUAUUCUAUUUCGAAUCGAUGGUUUGAGCCGAAUAAAGUAUUAUCGCUAGCGGUUCGGAUCGUUGUAUAUCUAUCCUUUUUAUUUUUUGGCAUAGACUGAUUAAUUGGUUCUUCCACUGGGUAGCUCCUAGUACUGCCGGCUUCCGAAAUUGAGUCGGAUGCGCGGCUGCAUGCGACUGGUGGAACUGAAACCACCUCUCCUGCCGUUACUUAAUUCCCUCUACCAACUCCGCACCUCUCUUGCCCUUACUUCCCUCUACCAACUCCGCCCUCCAAUGGACGGAUACAUAUUAUAUACUUGACCAUAUCCGAACGCUUCUUCGGUGAGCGUGCGUGCGCAAAGAGUCCGCGCGCGUGCAUGUGCCACCGCCCCCAUAAAAAUACUACCACUUGGUGUGAGAAUCUAUGGAAAUACUCGCCCGGUGUGUAGUAGUAUAUGUAUUUCGUACACACUACCUCUAAAAUUAAAAUCUUCUCAUGAAAUCCUCACAUCUAUUGAAAAGUGAUGUGGUAGUAUAUCUUGAUAUAUUUAUUCCAAUUAGCAUAUUUAGCAAUUACUAUUUUACGUUGAUGUUCCCAGCUAAAUUUUGGAUGAUGCCGAAUACGGUUCACUAUAUGAUAUUCACGUGCGUAAAAAUUAAAACGCUCGUACAAAUGUUUAUCUUCGUAUUUCAAGCGUGUUGCUUUAUUGAACCUGGCCACUAUGUCACGCCAAGAAUCAUUUUCAAAGUCUAGACUUUCUGUCCCUCCAUUUUGAAUUUUCUCUACCAACAAACCAAGCAAUAUUUUAUCAUGCUCUUUUUCUCAGAUUGCUAAAGGCCGAUCUAUUAUUAUAAUUCUUUUUCUUUUUCAAAUUAUAUUUGGCCUCUCUCUUCUGUAAAUGCAAGUGAAUCAAAAGCCAUAUAAUUUAAGAAUUUAAUUUACUACCCAAGAAAUAAAGACAAUUCUGAACUUAAGGCCAAAAAUAUAUAUAUAUCAAGGAGAAUAAACAAAGGCAUGGGUAAAGAUAGUACAGUAGCAACGAUAAUAAACGAACGAGAUAUAUAUAUAUAAANUUUAAAAUUUUUCUUAUAUGAAAUGCCAAAUUAUAAAAGGAAAGAUAGAGAGAGAAAAAGAAAACAAAGAAAAAAUAAAAAUUUUGAAAAUAUAGUAGAUGUAAAAUGACUAAAUUGUCUAUGUAUUAAAAGACAAAAAUAUUCUUUUUUGAGGUACCUGGUAACCGGUACCUCGUCCAAAGUGACUUGCUAUUGCAGGUCACAAUUUUAAAAAAACUAAAUCUAAGCCGUUAAAUACGCGUGAAUGAACGGUAACCAAAAAAAAAAAGUAUAGAAGCAUUACUCAUGUGUUAAAUUCUUGAAUAGAAAAAGAACUACACUGGGACAGCAUCCAAUGUUAAGUAAUGUGAAAUAAUUAAAAAAAAUUUUUAAUUAAAGAGCCAAAGCUGUCGCAGGCCCAAUGCUAUUAGGAUCAUACCCUCGAAUAUUCCAAGGCGUAAUUAGGUUCCUUAAUCUCUUUUGCUUGAAAACUUAAUUGAAGUAAUAAUUAGAAGUUUAGGGACUCAAUUAAAACUCCGAUGAAAACAAAUCAAAUAUCUAGUUGCAAACAAGUGAAACCAUAUUUAAUGUCGAAUAAUAUGAAAAAAAUAUUUUUCUCCAAAAGCGCAAGUUACUAAGAACGAUGUUACUCGUGAAAGGUCAAAUAUCCAAUUGCGAGCCAAUUGCAAUAAUUAGAUGGCUAGCGACGCACCGGAAAAAUAUUAGAGAUCUCCUACGUAAUUUACCUUCAUGUUUAAUCUCCCUCCAGGGAAUUCAUAUACCUGUGCAUAAAAUCCUGCAAAUCAACUAUUCUAUGCGUAGCCUUAUCAUACUGCUGUUGGAAUAAUUAAUGACCACUUUUGGUCUUCUUUAUUUAAUCUGCUUAUUCCAUGAAUGAUAACAUCUCCUAGUCAGCGGUCUUAUCCACAAAGGUCUCAGGGUGUAGCAGUGGAAAGUCAUCUUUGGGCACUAAGGUCUCAAUAAUCAAUGCAGAGACAAAUUUAUCCAGUACAAUGCUCGAAUAGUUUAACACGAAUGAAAAAAAUAAUUUUAAUUAUAAUAAAUGAGACCUACCUAUUAGUAAUAAUAAUUAGACUUAAACAUUUUGCACCGAUAGUUUGGGCCCAAUGAAUUAUUAUUACUAACGGUUCGGAUCAUUUUGAAUCCGUAUGAGUCACCUCUAGAAUCUCAUAUAAAUCUAACGUCAUCUGAUAAUUCUAUUCUAUUUUGUAUCUAUUUUAUUUUGUUUCGAACCAAUAAUUUGAGCCGAAUAAAGUAUUAUUGGUAACGAUUCGGAUCGUUGUAUGUCCAUUCUCCCACUGGGUAUCUCCUGCUGCUGGCUUCCCAAAUUGAGUGGGAUGCGCGGCUGCAUGUGCAACUGAAACCAUGCACCUCUCCUGCCCUUACUUCCCUAUGCCAAAUCCGCCGUCCAUUCGACGGAUAUAUUUGGCCAUAUCCGAACGCUUCUUCGGUGAGCGCGCUCCCGUACGAGUUCGGCACCGCCCCCAUAAAAAAACUACCAUUUGGUGUGAGAAUCUUUGGAAAUACUCGCCGGGUGUAUAGUACAGUAUAUGUAUUUCGAACACCCUACCUAAUUCAUAAAUUUUGAUAUCAAAUAAUCAUGAAUUGAGAUUGGCAAAUUAUAUCUUCAAUAGUUAUAACAUCAAGUUCACAUUCACAUACACAAACAUCAAGUAGGAAAAUUGAAAUAUUAACACGUUAUAUUAUUGUAGAAGAUAACUAUUGCAAGGAGAAGGGACAUUCAAACCUGCCUCACAGUGGUGAAAAAAAUAGUGAGUCAAGUAUUACAAUCCACAACAACUAAGAGAGAGAGAGAGAGAGAGAGAGAGAGAGAGAGAGAGAGAGAGAGAUACGGUACAGAAAAAAUAGUGAGAAGAGGGAGUAUAUUAGAGAGGAUGUAGUGAAAAAGAAGAAGCAGAAUAGUCAUGAUGUUUCAAUAAUUUCACAUUGGAUUAAAAAAAAAAUUGCAUACAAAUCUCACAUUAUGUGUAAUUUAAUAAUUGCUCCGACAAGAACGUAGUUUAGGGGACCGGGAGGUCCCUGCCCUCCUCCUCCAUCACCCUUAUCUCUCUCUCCUGCCCAUCCCCACUGUUCCCCCCAUUUUUUUAACUUCCAGUCCACAGUCUUAUCUCUCUCCUACCCAUCCCCACGGUUUCCCCCUUUUUUUUAACUUUCAGCCCACAGUAUGUUAGGAUAAACUCAUAUUCAACUUUUGUAAAUAUAGAUGUCAAAAUUUAGCAUCUAAUAUAUAUAUAUAUAUAUAUAUAUAUAUAUGAGUAAUACUUCAAUACAUCAUAUAGAUGUUGACCAUUUAGUUUUCUUAAUAGAUGGUUUAGAUUUAAUGUGAUUCUAGAGGUGACUUGCUAUUGAAGUAUAGGUACCAUUCACAAGGUACCUAUUUAAAGAGUAUUUUAGUCUUUGUAAAAUAAUUUGGUCUACAAAACCAGUUUUAUUUAACUAAAAAUAUUGUGACCCUCUUAAAUACCUACAACAAUAGUUGAAUUUCAAAUUACAACAAAACUGUAAAUUUAAAUUCAAAACAACAUUUUAAACUUUAUAAAUUAAAUUUAAUUUUUUUAAAUAUAAAACACAGAUUUAAAAUAAAAAUUUUAGUUCCAAUUCAAAAUUUCAAUUUAAAUCAAAAAUUAAAAUUUGGCUUCAAGAUUAAAAGUUCAAUUUAGAUUCAAAUUUAAAAGUUUAGUAUAAAUUUCAAAAUUAAAAUUUUACAUUACAAUACCAAUUUCAAAAAUUAAAUUUAAAUUCAAUAUUUUUUUGAGCUGAAUACUUAACAAAUUAGGUAUCAUCUAAUUUGGUAAGUUAUCAAAAUAAAUAAAAUAUUUAAUAUUUAAAGAAUGCUGACAAAUUUAGUAUAUAGUAAUUUUUUUUUCUAAUAUUGUCAUGUUAACUAAUUCAAAUCGGUAACCUGUUCAACAGGUUACUUCACGUAAAUCCCAACUACACCCUUUACUAAUUAAGAGAUUAAAUUUUAAUAUUUAUGGUGUAUAGAAGCAUUCCUUUAUAUGAGCUAGGCUGGUAUACUAUCGGUAGCACGGAGGCCUCCGUGCUACCAAGUUGUUUUCAAUGAUGCGGCUUCCAAAUUGACGAUCGGCUUCGUUAGACUUGAUAUACACUAUUGAAAGCAUUUGGAAACUAAAUUUUGUAAUUUUUCGAUAUCAUUUGGCUAGUGAUCAAAAGUCUCAAAAUUUAUAAUUUUAAUGGUAAAUUUGAUGCGUUUGUGAAUUCAAUGGUGUAAAACAAUCCAAAUUUGAUGAAAUUUUUAUAGAAAAUUCUUUUCAGUAUUUAGAAUAAGAUCAGUAUCUUUAAUUUUAAAUUCAAGUCUUUUAUAAUCAUUUUUUAUGAGAUUUUCAUUUUCAGCCGUUUAUUUUUAGACUACUCGUUUGAUUGGUAAAUGACGCCGAAAAAUUAUGAAAUUUAGUUUUCAAAUACUUUCAAUAGUGUAGAUUAAGUCUAACGGAACCGAUCGUCGAUUUAUAAGCCGCAUCAUUGAAAACAACUGGGUAGCACGGAGACAUCCGUACUACCGAUAGUAUACCUGCCUAGCUCUAUAUAUAUAUAUAUAUAUAGAUGGUAGCUAAUAACAUAAUCAUAAAAGGACCAUCGGAUAAAAUCAACCAAAUAGUAUAUUCUAAGAUGAUGCACAGUUGAAUCCAUGAGAAUUGACACUCGAUAUAAUUGAAAUAAUUCCCAUGUACGUUUACUUUGUGUGCAUAAUAGUCGAGUAACACAUUAUUCUUGUCAAAUAAUUGUUUGCUUUAUUACAAUGCAUAUGAAGAGUUUGUAGAUGACAAUGAACAAAAUAUAUAUAUGAAAAUAUAGUAUUGUUGUUCUCCUCCUAAAAGCUCUGCUUCGGGUUCUACCUGCGCGAAUGCCAAAAAAGUUUGAAUCGAUUCAAGCAUCAAAAAUGAUAGUAUUUGAUAAAUAAUAAUAAUAAUAAUAAUAAAAAUAAAAAAUACGGUUAGUAUACCUCGAUAUAUCGAUUCUAUUCAUCAUCUUUAGCAUUUACUACAAGACGUCGAUAAUCCCACCUAUGUAUUGGCUGUUGCUCCAUGUCAUUCACCAUUUCAUAUUCAGCCGUAAUCUUCGACUUCAUAAUUCGAUGUUGUUGUCUUGCUGAAUCUAGCCAAUAUGUUACGCAAAGCAUCCAUUUUAAAACCUUGUCCGGAGAGUCUCUCCCGCCAUCAUGCACAUGUUUUACCAUCAAAUCAAGCAGCGUUUUGGGGUAGUUCUUNAUUGCAUGCACAAUGAUCUCCAUCUCAUUGGCAAAGUCAAGUUCCACAAUGGAGUCCAGCAGCUCUACACAAUCCCUCUCCACCAGCUCUAUAUGGACACAUUGUGUUCUUCAGAUAAUCACAUUCAAUUUAGAACAUCUAAUGACUCAACUGUGAAAUUAUUGCAGAAGCAUGAAUUAUAAGCUUACACUACAAUCUAAUAGUAGAUGCUAAUACAACACAAAUUUAAACAGAUAAGAAGUUGCAAGUGAAAAAUACAGCAUAACAAUGUUUGUCUCAGUCACGAGACAAGAUUAUUGUGAAAUUGUUGAGAUCUCCUAGGUAGAGAAUGAAGAGAUUACAACACUGUUUUUAUUUCAAGAGAGUCACUCAUUGGAAAUCACGACAUUUUAUUUUUUUUUCUCGACAAACACAAUUUCAUAUAAAUUAAUAUGCGGUACUGCUCUCCUUCGAUAGGGCUUCGCACUGGGAUUUCCCUGUGAAAAAGGAGAAAGGUUUGAAUAAAUUGGAACUAAGUACUAAACACUUCGAAAAGCAAUGUGGUAGUAUAUAUACCUCAAUAUAUUUAUUCCAUUUAGCAUCUGUGGCAAUUACUACUUGACGUUGAUGAUCCCAGCUAAACUCUGGAUGAUGCUUGAUGUUGUGCACUAUUCCAUAUUCACGUUCAUAAUAACUGAAGCGAUCAUGUAAAUGUUUGUCUUCAUAUUUCAUGCCUGUUGCUUCAUUGAACUUGGCUACUACAUCACGCCAGGAAUUAUUUUUAAAGUCUAGUAUUUUUCUCCCUCUUGAUUGAAUUUGCUUUACCAAUAAAUCAAGCAGUACUUGAUCAUGCGCUUUUUCCCAUAUUGCUGAAGGCCGACCCGUUAUUUUAAUCUUUUUUCUUCCCAAAAUUUCUUUUGGCCACUGUCUCCUGUAAGUACAAACUAGUAAAUAAAAGGGAUACCACAAUGUAUAAUUUUAAGAAUUUUACUGCCCAUGAAAAAAAAAAACAUUCUAAUCCUAAGGGGAAAAAAAAAUUAUAACCAUUAUCACUGUAUAUCAUAUAACUAUUCAUAUAGCUUUAACUAAUAAUUUUUUUUUUUUUUUUUUUUUUUGACUUUUCAAAUUACGCACGUACCAUGAUAUAUUGACAAGGAUCAGACUAAAACGGAAUGAGCUAUUCCUAUUUUACUUUUGUGGUGUAAUUAAUCAUGACCGUUGAUUCAAGGAACUCACUUCAUUAAUUGGACUUGUAUUGGAAUCGCUUCAUUUAAUAAAAUCCACCCAAAACCAGAGAAAUCAAUUCAAAUCAUGGCCUAGUUAAGAUUCCAAAAAAAAAAAGAAAAAAAGAGAAAAAAAAUCAAUAAAAAAUGAAUUGUAAUUCAAGAAUUAAUAUAGAUACUCUACGUAGAAAAUUAACAGUGGGAAUUUACACAAAGCAACCUAUAUUCCCGCUAUUAACACAUCCAAUUAGAAAUGAAAGAAAAAAAAUUCAAAGGACUGAGAAAAAACAAGCUACUUACUCAUCACUGUCGCUACGGGCUCCCCCUUGUAUGCACUCAAGUUGAAGGAUGGACCCAUUCUGGAUUCCGUAGUGGGCCAAUGAUCUCUCUAUCUCCAUCAGUGGACUGCCAUUGAAAUCAAGAUCAAUAUCCCACAAUCCCGACUGUAGCACCUCAUGAGGAACAAGAGUGAUUAACACAUCCUCGAUGGUGUGGGAUUUUUCCACCUCAAGCACAAAAUUUCCGUAAUUUUCUGACCGCACAAAGAUUUUCAUUUCACCACCGCCGUUGGGUCUCCUGGAAGGGCCGGGGAUUGCAUUUCCCGUCUUGGCUAUUACUUUAGAACUAGCAAAGUUGCACAUGUAAUGGACGUUAGCUUAUUUAAUUGUGGUAUGUAAAUUCAAAUUUAAUAUUUAAUUUGAUAUAUUUGAAUCUAAUCGUUAAUUGCAGUUGAAACUGCAUGAAGAAACCCAACUGUACGUAAUAGUUGAAAGUAUCUCCAAAUUGGCUAUCGUACCAACUGUACCAAUUGUAACAAUUGCAGAUAUUAACCUUUCGCAAGAGGUAAGUUUACCAGAUCUCUAAUCAGUUUUUUAACAGAAAAAUAUUUUUGUUUUCUACAUCUGAGAUAAUUUUACCACUAUAUAAUAAUAAUAAUAAUAAUAAUAAUAAUAAUAAUAAUUUAGAAAAAUAUUUUUCAACUAUAUGCAAGCAAAUAAAUUAUUUAUAACUAUAGCAUUUUCUACUGCAUUAAAUCAAAUACGAUGCGUAUAGUUAUAAUUGCUGCAUUUGAACUGCAUGCGUCCAUCUUUAGCUAUGCUGCAUCUCAUUCAACCAAACAAAAAACACAUUUAAAAGUUACAUGUCACCUUAUUUGAUUCCAAUAUGUAUGUGGUAGGAAACGAAAUGACACUAGAGAUCUGCUAGGAUUCGAUCUCCUAUUCUAACAAUGUGAUUAAUAGUAUAAAGUAAUAAUUUAUAUCUAAGAACUUAAACUGCUAUAUUCAACAAGGAUAAGCACUAGUGAUUUGAGAAAAACAUCGUACCUCAUAACUAAGGAAGAAAGAGAGAGAGAGAGAAACUACUUGGACCUUGUUUCAACUUUGGAAGAUUGGGUGGCUUAAAUAGAAGAAACUAAAACUUUUACCUGUAUAUAUAAAACCUUCCCUAGUUUCCAUUUUACCCCAGUUCUCACCCCCACCCAAAAAAUUCAGAAGGUAACUAAGAGACAAGCGUCAAUUUGCAGUCAAGUUGAAGGUUUCAAAUUUUUUUAUCCUCCAACGACGUGGUGGAAAAUUUUUAAUGAUAUAUGGCGUACGUAGACUAUUGACGACUAGUCACGAAAUUAAUGCAUACUUUAUUUAAAUUGGCGUAGAAAAUGUGUUAAAUUCUUGACUAGAAAAAGAACUACACUGGGACAGCAUCCAAUGUUAAGUAAUGUGAAAUAAUUAAAAAAAAUUUUUAAUUAAAGAGCCAAAGCUGUCGCAGGCCCAAUGCUAUUAGGAUCAUACCCUCGAAUAUUCCAAGGCGUAAUUAGGUUCCUUAAUCUCUUUUGCUUGAAAACUUAAUUGAAGUAAUAAUUAGAAGUUUAGGGACUCAAUUAAAACUCCGAUGAAAACAAAUCAAAUAUCUAGUUGCAAACAAGUGAAACCAUAUUUAAUGUCGAAUAAUGUGAAAAAAAUAUUUUUCUCCAAAAGCGCAAGUUACUAAGAACGAUGUUACUCGUGAAAGGUCAAAUAUCCAAUUGCGAGCCAAUUGCAAUAAUUAGAUGGCUAGCGACGCACCGGAAAAAUAUUAGAGAUCUCCUACGUAAUUUACCUUCAUGUUUAAUCUCCCUCCAGGGAAUUCAUAUACCUGUGCAUAAAAUCCUGCAAAUCAACUAUUCUAUGCGUAGCCUUAUCAUACUGCUGUUGGAAUAAUUAAUGACCACUUUUGGUCUUCUUUAUUUAAUCUGCUUAUUCCAUGAAUGAUAACAUCUCCUAGUCAGCGGUCUUAUCCACAAAGGUCUCAGGGUGUAGCAGUGGAAAGUCAUCUUUGGGCACUAAGGUCUCAAUAAUCAAUGCAGAGACAAAUUUAUCCAGUACAAUGCUCGAAUAGUUUAACACGAAUGAAAAAAAUAAUUUUAAUUAUAAUAAAUGAGACCUACCUAUUAGUAAUAAUAAUUAGACUUAAACAUUUUGCACCGAUAGUUUGGGCCCAAUGAAUUAUUAUUACUAACGGUUCGGAUCAUUUUGAAUCCGUAUGAGUCACCUCUAGAAUCUCAUAUAAAUCUAACGUCAUCUGAUAAUUCUAUUCUAUUUUGUAUCUAUUUUAUUUUGUUUCGAACCGAUAAUUUGAGCCGAAUAAAGUAUUAUUGGUAACGAUUCGGAUCGUUGUGUGUCCAUUCUCCCACUGGGUAUCUCCUGCUGCUGGCUUCCCAAAUUGAGUGGGAUGCGCGGCUGCAUGUGCAACUGAAACCAUGCACCUCUCCUGCCCUUACUUCCCUAUGCCAAAUCCGCCGUCCAUUCGACGGAUAUAUUUGGCCAUAUCCGAACGCUUCUUCGGUGAGCGCGCUCCCGUACGAGUUCGGCACCGCCCCCAUAAAAAAACUACCAUUUGGUGUGAGAAUCUUUGGAAAUACUCGCCGGGUGUAUAGUACAGUAUAUGUAUUUCGAACACCCUACCUAAUUCAUAAAUUUUGAUAUCAAAUAAUCAUGAAUUGAGAUUGGCAAAUUAUAUCUUCAAUAGUUAUAACAUCAAGUUCACAUUCACAUACACAAACAUCAAGUAGGAAAAUUGAAAUAUUAACACGUUAUAUUAUUGUAGAAGAUAACUAUUGCAAGGAGAAGGGACAUUCAAACCUGCCUCACAGUGGUGAAAAAAAUAGUGAGUCAAGUAUUACAAUCCACAACAACUAAGAGAGAGAGAGAGAGAGAGAGAGAGAGAGAGAGAGAGAGAGAGAGAGAUACGGUACAGAAAAAAUAGUGAGAAGAGGGAGUAUAUUAGAGAGGAUGUAGUGAAAAAGAAGAAGCAGAAUAGUCAUGAUGUUUCAAUAAUUUCACAUUGGAUUAAAAAAAAAAUUGCAUACAAAUCUCACAUUAUGUGUAAUUUAAUAAUUGCUCCGACAAGAACGUAGUUUAGGGGACCGGGAGGUCCCUGCCCUCCUCCUCCAUCACCCUUAUCUCUCUCUCCUGCCCAUCCCCACUGUUCCCCCCAUUUUUUUAACUUCCAGUCCACAGUCUUAUCUCUCUCCUACCCAUCCCCACGGUUUCCCCCUUUUUUUUAACUUUCAGCCCACAGUAUGUUAGGAUAAACUCAUAUUCAACUUUUGUAAAUAUAGAUGUCAAAAUUUAGCAUCUAAUAUAUAUAUAUGUAUAUAUAUAUGAGUAAUACUUCAAUACAUCAUAUAGAUGUUGACCAUUUAGUUUUCUUAAUAGAUGGUUUAGAUUUAAUGUGAUUCUAGAGGUGACUUGCUAUUGAAGUAUAGGUACCAUUCACAAGGUACCUAUUUAAAGAGUAUUUUAGUCUUUGUAAAAUAAUUUGGUCUACAAAACCAGUUUUAUUUAACUAAAAAUAUUGUGACCCUCUUAAAUACCUACAACAAUAGUUGAAUUUCAAAUUACAACAAAACUGUAAAUUUAAAUUCAAAACAACAUUUUAAACUUUAUAAAUUAAAUUUAAUUUUUUUAAAUAUAAAACACAGAUUUAAAAUAAAAAUUUUAGUUCCAAUUCAAAAUUUCAAUUUAAAUCAAAAAUUAAAAUUUGGCUUCAAGAUUAAAAGUUCAAUUUAGAUUCAAAUUUAAAAGUUUAGUAUAAAUUUCAAAAUUAAAAUUUUACAUUACAAUACCAAUUUCAAAAAUUAAAUUUAAAUUCAAUAUUUUUUUGAGCUGAAUACUUAACAAAUUAGGUAUCAUCUAAUUUGGUAAGUUAUCAAAAUAAAUAAGAUAUUUAAUAUUUAAAGAAUGCUGACAAAUUUAGUAUAUACUAUUUUUUUUUUCUAAUAUUGUCAUAUUAACUAAUUCAAAUCGGUAACCUGUUCAACUGGUUACUUCAUGUAAAUCCCAACUACACCCUUUACUAAUUAAGAGAUUAAAUUUUAAUAUUUAUGGUGUAUAGAAGCAUUCCUUUAUACACUACAAGAAGUUUAACUUUUAGCAAAAUUUAACUAGUAACAUUUCACUAAGUGACAAAAAUUAUAAUAUUUAGCAAUAUUUAUUUAUUAGUGUUGCUAAAUGUACUUAUUUACCAAUAUUUAGGUGUAAAUGUUGCUAUAUAUAAAUAACACCAACACUAAGAAUUAAAUGUUACAAUGUUUAGCAACACUUUUUUUGAUAAAUGACAAUUAGUUUUUCAAAUUUUGAAAAGCCCUUCAAAAUUUUAAAAUUUCAUCUUUCCCUCCUUUAGUGAUAUUUUUUUCCAUCUCUCUUUCAUUUCUUUGUCUCUUCACUUUAAACUCUCAAGAGAUUUUUUUACUCUCAUGGUUUCUUCUUUUAUUCCUUCAUUCCACAAAGUCUUUCUCACCAAUUUUUUUAUUUUGUAAGAUUGGAGGAAAAAACAUUGGAUCGGACUAUCAAUUUUGUUUCCAGAGAUAAGUAAGUAUCCCUUUCUUGUAAGGUAAAACAAUUUCAUAUUAAUUCCAAAUCAAAAUCAUAGAUUUGAAAUUUUCUUUUCUUUUUUUCUUAACUAAUAAAGUUUAUUAUGACUAGAAUAGGAUUACUCUUCAACCUUUUGGUUCGUCGUUACAUUAAUUUAUUGUAUUAUGUGGUAUGAUAUAUAUGAGGUUUUUGUUUCUUAACUUUCAUCAACCUUUUUUUUUAUAUUUUUUACUUUUAGAUAUUAAAUUUGUUCUUAUUACAUUACUAUCAUUUUAAUUUAAUUUUUUUAUUUUUUUAGAAAAUAUCAUUUAUUUUGAAAAUGUUCGAACAAAUAUAUGAUCUUUUAUAAUUUGAUAAGGGCAAUAUAUUUUAUCUUUUAGUAGUUCAUAGUAUCCUAUAUUUUAUGAUAAAUUUCUUAAAUCUUUUCAUUUUACAUGUUAAGCAAUUAAAUAGAGGCUACAAGAUUGUUUCAUUCAAGCAUUUUGGAGACUUCUACAACAAAUAAGGAUGACUAAUUUUUUAUUUUAUCGUGAUCGAAUUUGUAAUUAUGAGGAAACUCAUUUAGUUUUGUAUCAAAUGUGUUAUUUGAUUUGUAAUAUAUUACAAGUUUUGAUUGUCAUAUGAUAUACAUGAGAUUUUUAGUGUUUAUGGUUGUUGUCCAUUUUGACUAUCAAUGGAGUAAACAACUUGUGAGUACUAUAGAACUAUAGAAUUUCUUAUUAUAGUUAUAAUUAUUUUUUAAAAUAUAUUAGAUUAUUACCGAUUAAUCAUAAAUUUUUUAAAUAAUAAUUAUUUAAUGUUAAUAUAAUAUAUAUUUUUACCAAUAAUUCAAAAUGCUAUUAUACGUAAUUGUUUAGUAAUAUUUGAUUAUUAUUAACUAUGAUUAUAAUAAUUAAUCAAAAAUUAAUAAUAUUUUAAUUUAAUUAAUAUCAAAAUUUAUAAUUAAUAAAAUAUUUUUAUUUAAUUCAAAAAAUAAUAGCUAAAUUAAUACAAGAAUUAAUUAAACAAUAUGCACCACCAUUUAAAAGUUGCCCCAUUAAAUUUUUUUUUUUUUAGCAACUUUUGUUAACUGUUGCUAAUUCUUGAGCAUUAGCAACACUCUCUCCAAAUGUUGCUAAAAGAUUAAACAUCACGGGCAUAGACAACACUAAAAGUUAAGUGUUGCUAAAAGAUUUAGUUACAUUUCUUAUUCAUUUAGCAACAUCUAUAAAUGUCACUAAAUCUAAACUUUCUUGUAGUGAUAUGAGCUAGGCUGGUAUACUAUCGGUAGCACGGAGGCCUCCGUGCUACCAAGUUGUUUUCAAUGAUGCGGCUUCCAAAUUGACGAUCGGCUUCAUUAGACUUGAUAUACACUAUUGAAAGCAUUUGGAAACUAAAUUUUGUAAUUUUUCGAUAUCAUUUGGCUAGUGAUCAAAAGUCUCAAAAUUUAUAAUUUUAAUGGUAAAUUUGAUGCGUUUGUGAAUUCAAUGGUGUAAAACAAUCCAAAUUUGAUGAAAUUUUUAUAGAAAAUUCUUUUCAGUAUUUAGAAUAAGAUCAGUAUCUUUAAUUUUAAAUUCAAGUCUUUUAUAAUCAUUUUUUAUGAGAUUUUUAUUUUCAGCCGUUCAUUUUUAGACUACUUGCUUAAUAGGUAAAUGAUACCGAAAAAUUAUAAAAUUUAGUUUUCAAAUACUUUCAAUAGUGUACAAUUCAAGAUCUACAGAGCCUGAUCGCCGAUUUGGAAGCCGCAUCAUUGAAAACAACUUGGUAGCACGGAGACCUCCGUGCUACGAUAGUAUACCAGCCUAACUCUAUAUUAUAUAUAAUAUAUAUAUAUAUCGUAUAUUAUUUAAAUUAAAAUAUUUAAUUAAAUAUGUUUUCCUUUUUUCAGAAAAUAUUAAUGUUAAUAUAAGUAAUAGAAAAAUAAAAUCUAAUUUAUAUUGAAUCUAAAUAUAUUUUCACCCUACCCACCAAAUAAAAAAAAAAAGCGGAAAACAAGUAUAGCGGCUAAUGAGUGAGCUAAUUAUAGGAACUCUAAGUUGCGGCGUGUUUUCGCGGUUUCAAUAAUUUUUUUAUCCUUCAACUCGGUGAAACGGAAUUUAAAGUGGUGCGCGACUGCGAUUGAUUAGUGCGUGCGCAAAUUAGGCAUACUUUAAGGUAUCGUUUGGUCAGGAUAAGCAAAAAGUGGCUAUUUCAGUGAUAGGUAUAAAUUGAGGUAUAUUGCGUUUGGAUGAAAAUUGGGUUAUUUCUGGUGAAUAAAAAAAUAGCGUUUUGUUAGGUAAGAUGGAAUAAGAAGAUAGUUGGUUUUUAUAAAUAAAAAUAAUGAUAUUAUCUUUAUUUAUAUUUGAAUUUAAUUUUUAAAUUUUUAAUUUUAAAUUUCAACUUUGAAAUUUUAAAAAUUAAAAUUUAAAAUCUCUAUUUUAAAUUCAAAAUUUUAAAUUUUAAAUUUCAAACUUUAAAUUUAAGAUCAAAUUUCAAUUUAAAAAUAUAAUAAUAUCAAAUUUUUAAUUCAAAUUUUUAAAUAUCAAAAAUUAAUUUAAAAUUUAUAAUUAUAUUUAUUUAAUUAUUAACUUUAUUUGAGAGAUUAUAAAUAUAUAUUUUAAAAUUUAAAUUUCAAAAUUUAAAUUUUAAAAUUUUAAAUAAGAAUAGGAGUGGAACAUUAAUAAAAAUAUUAUUAUAAUAAAUUAUAAUUUUUUUAAAAUUCUACUUAAACUUAAAUUUAAUAAAAAUAAUUUAUUAUAAUAUUCAAAUAUAAUUUAUUAUAAAUUUUAUUAUAAUAUUUAAAUAUAAAUAAUAUUUAUUAAUAUAGUACAAUUAAUAAUUGUAUAAUAAAAAUAAUGUAUUAUAAUAUAUAAGAUAUUAUAUUUAUAUAAUUUAGUUUUAAUUCAAUUUAUAAUUUUAAUUAAGUUUGAAAUUAAGCAUUGGAAUAGCAUUAUUCCACCAAAAUGGUGGAAUAGUAAAUCUCUUGUUAUUCCGGGAUAAUCGGGAAUAGCAAGGUUUGACCGGGAUAAAAUAUUCCGGCCAAAUUUCACCCCGUUUGGCGGAAUUGUGGGGAUAACUUUCGUUAUCCCCGCUUAUCCCCCGAACCAAACCGGGCCUAAGAGUUAAUUGCGUUAGAGUUACUUUAACUUUUGUGAUUUAAAAUUUUAUUUUAAUUAGAGGAGGCGCCGGAUACUCAAUAGUGUUACCAUAAUUAUAAAAAACUCCUUGACUGUACCUUCUGCCAGCCGAGGGUCCGGAUCCUCAAGCAAGGUCCGGACCCCCAACCUCAAUUUCGCGAUGUGCCCAGGCAUGAUCCGGACCCUCUCGCAAGGUCCGAACUCCUCAAAUUAAUUUCAGAAUUUUCACAGACAGGGUCCAAACCAUGCGUCAAGAUCCGGACCUUAAUGUUUGAGCUCAUAGAGAAAGAUCAAGAUCCAGGUCCUUAAGUCUAGAUUUGGAUACCGAGAGUACAAUAGCUCAGAAACACUUUUUCUAAAAAUUUUCAUUCCUUGGAUCUCCUAGUGACUUUAAAAAUCUUAGAUCAUACUUAAUAGUAUGAAUUAUUGAUUCAAAAGUUUUAUUAUUGAAAUAAGACUACAAUACAAAAAUUUUUGUGCUGUUAAUAGAACCCGAGCUAAACUUUAUGCUCGAAUCUUCAAAACUUUUGAGAGAAUUCACAUAUUCGAAAUCAGCUCAAAGAAGAAUUUUAAAAAUUCACCCAGUAAACGCAAGAAAUUAAUCAUUUUCUCAUAUGGACAAGCCUCUCUUCAAAUAAUAUCAACUAAAAAACAAACGAAUCCUUCAAAUAAUUAAGCCCCAUCAAAAUAAUUAACAAAUACUAAUUUAACCUGAAAACUUUAUAUAGAAUUUUUGAAGAGUGCCCCUAUAAUGGUGGGUACAAUAUUAUGUGAACUAUGGUAUGUACAAUAUAUUUAUAAUAUGAUUUGAUACAGCGACAUCCAUUUUGACAUAUAUAUAUAUAUAUAUAUAUAUAUAUAUAUAUAUAUAUAUAUAUAUAUAGAUAUAUAUAUANGUAUUUGGAAACUAAAUUUCAUAAUUUUUCGACAUCAUUUGGCUAGUGAUCAAAAGGUUCCAAAAUUAACAAUUUUAAUGGUAGAUAUGAUGCGUUUUUAAGUUCAACGGUGUAGAAGUAUCCAAAUUAGAUAAAAAUUUAAUAGAAAAUUCUACUUAACAUCAAUAGCAAGACCAAUACUUCCGAUUUGAAAUUUGAAUUCUUUAUUACUAUUUUUUAUGAGAUUUUCAUUUUCAGCCGUUUAUUUUUAGACUACUCGUUUGAUUGGUAAAUGACGCCGAAAAAUUAUGAAAUUUAGUUUUCAAAUACUUUCAAUAGUGUAGAUUAAGUCUAACGGAACCGAUCGUCGAUUUAUAAGCCGCAUCAUUGAAAACAACUGGGUAGCACGGAGACAUCCGUACUACCGAUAGUAUACCUGCCUAGCUCUAUAUAUAUAUAUAUAUAUAGAUGGUAGCUAAUAACAUAAUCAUAAAAGGACCAUCGGAUAAAAUCAACCAAAUAGUAUAUUCUAAGAUGAUGCACAGUUGAAUCCAUGAGAAUUGACACUCGAUAUAAUUGAAAUAAUUCUCAUGUACGUUUACUUUGUGUGCAUAAUAGUCGAGUAACACAUUAUUCUUGUCAAAUAAUUGUUUGCUUUAUUACAAUGCAUAUGAAGAGUUUGUAGAUGACAAUGAACAAAAUAUAUAUAUGAAAAUAUAGUAUUGUUGUUCUCCUCCAAAAAGCUCUGCUUCGGGUUCUACCUGCGCGAAUGCCAAAAAAGUUUGAAUCGAUUCAAGCAUCAAAAAUGAUAGUAUUUGAUAAAUAAUAAUAAUAAUAAUAAUAAAAAUAAAAAAUACGGUUAGUAUACCUCGAUAUAUCGAUUCUAUUCAUCAUCUUUAGCAUUUACUACAAGACGUCGAUAAUCCCACCUAUGUAUUGGCUGUUGCUCCAUGUCAUUCACCAUUUCAUAUUCAGUCGUAAUCUUCGACUUCAUAAUUCCAUGUUGUUGUCUUGCUGAAUCUAGCCAAUAUGUUACGCAAAGCAUCCAUUUUAAAACCUUGUCCGGAGAGUCUCUCCCGCCAUCAUGCACAUGUUUUACCAUCAAAUCAAGCAGCGUUUUGGGGUAGUUCUUCACCCAAAUUGCUAAAAGGUUGGUUUCCUCUUUCGAUAGUUCUCCUUUGUAGCACUAUUUUUUGUCAGCUCUCUAUUCGAUCUGCAGGUAAAUUAAAACAACAAUACCCUAGAAAUACUUUUAAAUUAAAAUGACAGAGAAUAAUGAUGAUUGAAAAUAGUAGAAAAUCGUAAUCAUAGAACAUAGUUGUGGACGACGUUUCGAUUGCAUGCACAAUGAUCUCCAUCUCACUGGCAAAGUCAAGUUCCACAACGGAGUCCGGCGGCUCUACACAAUCCAUCUCCACCAACUCUAUAUGGACACAUUGUGUUGUUCAAAUAAUCACAUUCAAUAUAGAAAAUCUAGUGACUUACGAAAUCAUUGAGGGAGCAUUAAUUAUAAGCUUACACUAAUGAUAGAUGCUAACACAAAUACAUAUUUAAAUAGAUGAGAAGUGGCAUGCGAAAGAUAUAGUGUAACAAUGUUUGCCUCGGUCAAGAGGCGAGAUUAUUGUGAGAAUGUUGAGAUCUCAUAGCUAGAGAACGAAGAGAUUACAACACUAUUUUUAUUUCAAGAGAGUCACUCAUUGGAAAUCACAGUAUUUUUUUUUUUCUCAAACACAAUUUCAUAUAAAUUAAUAUUUGGUACUUCUCUCCUUCGAUAGGGCUUCGCACUGGGAUUUCCCUGUGAAAAAGGAGAAAGGUUUGAAUAAAUUGGAACUAAGUACUAAACACUUCGAAAAGCAAUGUGGUAGCAUACCUUAAUAUAUUUAUUCCAUUUAGCAUCUGUGGCAAUUACUACUUGACGUUGAUGAUCCCAGCUAAACUCUGGAUGAUGCUUGAUGUUGCGCACUAUUCCAUAUUCACAUUCAUAAAAAUUGAAGCGAUCAUGCAAUUGUUUGUCUUCGUAUUUCUUGCCUGUUGCUUCAUUGAACUUGACUACAAUAUCAUGCCAGGAGUUAUUUUUAUAGUCUAGUAUUUUUCUCCCUUUUGAUUGAAUUUGCUUUACCAAUAAAUUAAGCAGUACUAGAUAAUGCGCUUUUUCUCAUAUUACUGAAGGCCGAUCCGUGAUUUUAAUCUUUUUUCUUUCCAAAAUUUCUUUUGGCCACUGUCUCCUGUAAGUACAAGCUACUAAAUAAAAGAGAUACCAAGAGAUACCAAGAUGUAUAAUUUUAAGAAUUUUACUGCCCAUGAAAAAAAAAAAAAACAUUCUAAUCCUAAGGGGAAAAAAUAUUAUAACCAUUAUCACUGUAUAUCNUUGAAGCGAUCAUGCAAUUGUUUGUCUUCGUAUUUCUUGCCUGUUGCUUCAUUGAACUUGACUACAAUAUCAUGCCGGGAGUUAUUUUUAUAGUCUAGUAUUUUUCUCCCUUUUGAUUGAAUUUGCUUUACCAAUAAAUUAAGCAGUACUAGAUAAUGCGCUUUUUCCCGUAUUGCUGAAGGCCGAUCCGUGAUUUUAAUCUUUUUUCUUUCCAAAAUUUCUUUUGGCCACUGUCUCCUGUAAGUACAAGCUACUAAAUAAAAGAGAUACCAAGAUGUAUAAUUUUAAGAAUUUUACUGCCCAUGAAAAAAAAAAAAACAUUCUAAUCCUAAGGGAAAAAAAUAUUAUAACCAUUAUCACUGUAUAUCAUAUAACUAUUCAUAUAGCUUUAACUAAUAAUUGCUCCUAGUUAAAGCUAUAUGAAUAGUUAUAUGAUAUACAGUGAUAAUGGUUAUAAUUUUUUUUUCCCCUUAGGAUUAUUUUUUUUUUUUUUUUGACUUUUCAAAUUACGCAUGUACCUUGUGAUCCAGUUGUGAAACUUGAUAUAUUGACAAGGAUCAGUCUAAAACGGAAUGAGCUAUUCCUAUUUUACUUUUGUGGUGUAAUCAUGACCAUUAAUUCAAGGAACUCACUUCAUUAACUGGACUUGUAUUGGAAUCACUUCAUUUAAUAAAAUCCACCCAAAACCCGAGAAUCAAUUCAAAUCAUGGCCUAGUUAAGAUUCCAAAAAAAAAAUUCAAUAAAAAAUGAAUUGUAAUUCAAGAAUUAAUAUAGAUACUCUACGUAGAAAAUUAAAAGUGGGAAUUUACACAAAGCAACCUAUAUAUAUUCUCGCUAUUAAACCAUCAAAUUAGAAAUGAAAGAAAAAAAUUCAAAGGACUGAGAAAAAACAAGCUACUUACUCAUCAUCGUCAGCACGGGCUCCCCCUUCUUCGCACUCAAGGUGAAGGAUGGACCCAUUCUGGAUUCCGUAGUGGGCCAAAGGUCUCUCAAUCUCCAGUAGUAGACGGCCAUUGAAAUAAGUAAAGGUUCCCAAUCUGACUGUAGCAGCUCAUGAGGAAGAAUAGUGAUUAACACAUCCUCGAUGGUGUGGGAUUUUUCCACCUCAAGCACAAAAUUUCCGUAAUUUUCUGACCGCACAAAGAUUUUCAUUACGCCGUCCCCGUUGGGUCUCCUGGAAGAGCUGGGGUUUGCAUUUCCUGCGGUCUUGGUUGUUUUUGUAGAACUAGCAAAGUUGCAAAUGUAAUGGACGUUACGUUAGCUUAUUUAAUUGUGGUAAUUGCCCUGCAAUCGUAACUGUAUGUAAAUUCAAAUUUAAUAUUUAAUUUAAUGCAUUUGAAUUUAAUCAUUAAUUGCAGUUGGAAUUGCAUGAAGAAGCCAAACUGUAGGUAAUAGUUGAAAGUAUCUCCAAAUUGGCUAUCGUACCAGCUGUACCAAUUGUAACAAUUGCAGAAAUUAACCUUUAGCAAGAGGUAAGUUUACCUCUCUAAUCACUGUUUUAAUAGAAAAAUAUUUUUGCUUUCUACGUCAGAGAUAAUUUUACCACUAUGUAUGUAAAAUAAUAAAAAUCUGGAAAAAUAUUUUUCAACUAUAUGCAAGGAAACAAAUUGUUUAUAGCUACAACAUUUUCUACUGCAUCAAAUCAAAUAAGAUGCUUAUAGCUAUAAUUGCUGUAUUUGAACUGCAUGCAUCGAUCUUUAGCUAUACUGUAUCUCAUUCAACCAAACAAAAAAAGCACUUUAAGUUACAUGUUAUACUAUUUGAUUCCAAUAUAUAUAGUGGUAGGAAACAAAAUGACAAUAGAGAUCCGUUGGGAUUCGAUCUCCUACUCUAACAAUGUGAUUAAUAGUAUAAAGUAAUAAUUUAUAUCUAAGAACUUAAACUGCUAUAUUCAACAAGGAUAAGCAGUGAUUUGAGAAAUAUGGUUACCUCAUAACUAAGGGAGGGAGCAGGGGCGGAGCCAUUGAGUGGCCCACAGUGGCCAUGACCCUCCCUAAAUUUUUAAAAAUUACAUAUAAGUCCUUUACAAUAAAAAUUAAAAUAUUAUAAAUUUUAAUUUUAGGGUGCCAAAUUAAUUUUUUUAAUAAAAUUUGUGUUUCAAUUUUUUUUUCAAAUUUUUUGGUCAUUUUUUUUUCAAUUUUUACAGUCUUGUUUCUCUUUAAGCAUAUUGUCAUUAUCAGUAAAUCUGACAAUUUUUUUUUUUAACUAUUCGAGGUCAAAUUUUUUUCUAUCAAAUCUAAAUCUUGGCCACCCCGAAUCUUAAUUUCUCACUUUGUUCCUGGGAGGAAGAGAUAGAGAAAAUACUAGGCCUUGUUUCACUUGGAGAAGCUUGGGUGGCUUAAAUAGAGAACUAAAACUAUUAGGAUCAGACCCUGGAAUAUUCAUUUUACCUAGUUGUCACUAGGGGUGGAAACGAGCCGAGCUUGAGCGAGCUUAUGUCAGCUCAAAUUCGGCUUGAAAUUAAUUCGAGCCUAAAUCUAGGCUCAAGCUAAGCUUGAAAUUAAUUCGAGCCCGAGCUCGAGCGAGCCUAAUUUCGAGUCGAGCCGAGCUCGAGUUCUAAACGAGCCGAUUGAAAUUCUCGACAUUAUAUAAUCAUAGUUUAAUUUUGAUAGAACAUUACCUACAAUUUGAUGUAACAUGUCCAAUAGUUCAAAAUACAAAAUAAUUGCAAGAAAUGUGAGCUAGGGUGACUGCCUGACUGGGUGAGGGUCUGAGAGAGAGAGAGAGAGAGAGGGGAAAAAAAUUAGGGAUUGAGAAUUGAAUGUUAUCAUGUUUUAGGGUUAUGUGCAACAGUAAAGUCGAAGAGAUAGUGGUUACGUAAAUUUAGAGUUUGGCUCAAUUCAUGGUUGUACUUGUUGGAUUUAUUUUAAUGGGCAAUAAUAAUGGCCCAAAUUAAAUUAAAGCCUAUAUAUAAUUAAAAUAUAAUAUAUAUAUAUAUAUUAUAUAUAUUAUUGAGCUUUUCGAGCUGUCGAGUCUAAUAUCGAUCGAGCCGAGUAAUACUCAAGCUCGGCUUGAAAUGAAUUUCGAGCAUUUUAUUUUGUUCAAGCUCGGCUCAUUUAAUUUCGAGUCGAGCUCGAGCGAGCCGAAUAUCGAGUUGAACACGAGUCGAACGCGAGCCGGCUCGCUCGUUUGCCAGCCCUAGUACUUCUCACCCCCACCAAAAAUAUACAGAGGGUAAUUAUUAAGAAACACGAAGAGCUAGCUAAUUAAUGAGACAAACGCGCGUCAACUUGCAGUAAAGUUUAAGAGGCUUCAAAUUUUUUUAUCCUCCAACUUGCAUGGUGGGAAAUUUUUAAUGAUAUAUGCCGUAGACUAUUGACGACUAGUCCCGAAAUUAACGCAUACUUUAAAUUGGCAUAGAAAAUGUGUUAAAUUCUUGAAUAGAAAGAGAACAUUGGGACUGCAUCCAAUGUUAAAUAAGGUGGAAUAAUUCAUUUUCUUUAAUUAAAGAGCUAAUGAUGUCACAGGCCCCAGUGCUAUUAGAAUCAUAUUCCAAGGUGUAAUUAGGUUCUUAAUCUCUUUUGCGUGAAAACUUAAUUGAAGUAAGUAGAAGGUUAGGUACUCAAUUGAAAAUCCGAUGAAAACAAAUCAAAUAUCUAGUUGCAAUAAGUGAAAUCGUAUUUAAUGUCGAAUAAUGUGAAAAAAUAUUUUCCUCUAAAAGCGUAAGUUACUAAGAACAAUGUUACUCGUGAAAGGUCAAAUAUCCAAUUGUGAACCAAUUGCAAUAAUUAGAUGGCGUUACUCGUGAAAGGUCAAAUAUCAAAUUGCGAACCAAUUGCAAUAAUUAGAUGGCUAGCUACGCACCGGAAAAAUAUUAGAGAUCUCCUAUGUAAUUUACCUUCAUGUUUAAUCUCUCUCCAGGGAAUUCAUAUACCUGUGCAUAAAAUCCUGCAAAUCCACUAUUCUAUGGGUAGCCUUAUCAUGUUGGAAUAAUCCACUAUUCAACUGCAUCGAGACGCGCAUAGAUGGAUGGAAGGCAAAACUCCUCUCACAAGGGGGGAGACUCAUCUUGGUCAACUCGAUACUUUCGAAUCUUCCGUUAUUUUACUUUGCAAUCUUCAAAGUACCGCAAUGGGUGCUGAAGAGAAUUGAAGCACUUAGAAGAUCCUUCUUUCGGAAAGGGUGUUUCAAAAUUUUGGGGGUUCAUGCCUCGUUGGUUGGAAAACGAUUUGUAGGAGCAAAAAAGAAGGAGGUCUAGGGAUAAAAGAUAUGGAAGCUAUGAAUAAGGCGCUUUUAGCAAAAUGGUGGUGGCAUUUCUUCAAUGAGAAUUGUCUGUUAUGGGGGAGGUUGAUCACUGCUUUAUAUUACACCAGAAGAAGGCCGUUACGCGAAGGCAGAUCCUUCAGAUCCUACUCUCAGUGGUGAAGAAGUAUGAUGAGCUGUUAAGACGUGUUCAAAAGCGGUGUUUCGUAUGUUCUCGACGAUGGGAAAAACAUCAGGUGGUGGUCGGAUAUUUGGAUCGAUGAAACCCCUCUUAGUCCCCGAUUUCCACGAAUCUUCAGCAGUAUCACAUAUCAGGAAGCCACGGCCGCACAAUGUUGGAACGAAAGAGGAUGGAGAUGGCGCGUCUUAACCAGAGGCUUUAAUACUCGUACCAAUGGUCAGAAUAGCCAACAGACGGCGUUGCUCAAAAACCUUUUCUCUCACUAUAGGCCAUCAGAUUCACAGGACAAACUAAGGUGGCGAUGGACCGCCAAUCAAAUUUUUACCGUCAAAUCAUUUUAUGAAUUCAUCACCGACGGAUGACAGAUUGAUACUUUGUACGAUCAACUAUGGGGGCUAAAAAUUCCGCUCAAACACAAACUUUUCAUUUGGUUUCUACUUCGUAAGAGAUUACCUACGGUAGACAGAUUGCUGCGCCGAGGGUGCAUUGUGGAUCAGCACUGCAGGUUCUAUAUGUUACUAGCCGAAACCGGUGACCACCUUUUCUGCGACUGUAUCGUUGUCAGAUUUCUUCGUUUGAAAGCAGGAGCCUUAGUUGAGGAGAAUUCGGAUGUAGGAGAUGUACGCCAGCUGUGGACACAGAUCUCGAACAUCCCCGAGGCCGUUACAAGAUCAAAAAUUUUAACCAAGUUGGCGGCAAUUUGGUGGGUUGUCUGGAUGGAGCGUAACGGCAUUUGCUUCCGCGACGUUCCCCUUAAUUUUUCCAGGGCUCUCGAAAGUGUCGCAAUUUUGAUCGAAGCCUGGAACGAAGCUCUUUGAAUCUCUCCCGGCCUCGGUGUUUUGCCCUCUGUGUCCCAUUUGUCUAUUUUAGUUUGAUCGUGUUGUUACGUACCUGACUCGGCGCAACCCGUCGAUGAUGAGAUUUCGCUGAGACGAAGGACGGCGUCGAGGAUGAUGAUGCACGUAACAGCUUGCCUCAGAUCUAGCGGAUCAUAAUUUGGGUACUCGGAUAAAGUAGAUGAGAAGAAUAGGAAGAAAGGGAAUAGAAGAGAUGAGAAGAGGUAGGGUCAAGAAGAGAGAUUAAGAGAAAUAAGAGAUGAUGAGAAAGAUGAAAUUUCAUUAAUUUCCUAACCUCAAUCUAUGUUACACGCUGCCUUUUAUUCGCUACAAUAAUGAAAAUAAAAUAAUGAAACCCUAACUCUAAGUGGGCUUCAAUCCUCCCUUCGCGGAUAUGAGUUACACCUCUGGGACUCCUCCGGAUGGCCUAGCGGAUCCAGACCUUCUCAUAACCGGAUUCACAGACUCUGAGGUUGCUUGUGGGCCUCUGCUGGGCUUGUUUGGGCCAAAACUGCAGGAUAGCGGGUAAACGGUUCACGGUUCCACUUAUCCGCACUAUCCACGACCGGCCGGGGCUUGGGUUCGCGUUUUGCCUCCGAUCCAUCAAUCUGCCCAUCCGACCCGCAAAGCUUCCAUCUUCCCCAAUCUUCGAUCAUCUCCUCCGCCUACUCCUUCCGACUUCCCACACUCCGAUGCCGCUCCUCCAUGGGCAUGGUUCCAGAAGGUUGAAGCUCACUAUCCUGUGGAUUGAAGCAAGGAAAAGCUAAGCCUCCUCUCCCUUGUACUCAUCCUACUAGACCUCCUCCCUAAUACUACUCCUAAUCCUCUUAUUGUGCUUGGCAGGCGUAACAAUCCCCCCCUCUUAACAUGAUCCUUGUCCUCAAGGAUCAAAAAAAGGAAACUGACUUUUAAGGAGCCAGUAAUCUUCCCAAGUUGCUUGUUCCGUCGGCAGAUUCGCCCACUUCACCCGCACUUCAGUUACAGUUCUGUGCCCAUGCUUCACCGAUCUCCUCUCCAAGAUCUCCUCAGGUUCCGCUCGCACUUCAUCCUCUUCCCCGAUUUCUGGAACCCUCGGUGACGCUUGAGCUGCUAUUGGGGGACUCUUCUUCAGAAGGGAAACAUGAAACACGGAGUGAAUCCUCGACCCUUCAGGUAAUUCCAAUCUAUAUGCGACAGGUCCGAUACGCUCCAGUAUCUUGAAAGGACCAAAAAAUCGCGCGGUAAGUUUCACAUUCCUCCUUAUGGCCACUGUGGUUUGCCGAUAAGGUUGUAAUUUAAGAUAAACCCAAUCUCCCACUGAAUAUUCUUUUUCUUUCCUGUGCUUAUCUGCUUGCUGCUUCAUCCUACUCUGAGCCACCUGUAAUCGAUCUCUUAAUUCCUUCGUCAAUCUUUCUCUCUCUGCUGCCCACCCUACGAAUUCCUGAGAGGUAGCUGUAUCUGUGGCGGCCACCAGGUAAUUCGGGGGAGAUUGCCCAUACAAAGCCUCAUAAGGGGUCAUUCCCAAUGCCGAGUGAAAGUUCGUAUUAUACCACCAUUCGGCUAACGCUAGCCACGCGUGCCAUUUCUUCGGAUGUUGGAAACACAGACAUCUCAAAUAAGUUUCCAAGCACCUGUUAACUCUCUCAGUUUGCCCGUCGGUUUCCGGAUGAUAAGAGGAACUCAUGUGUAGUUUGGUCCCCAGGGACUGGAACAGCUCCUUCCAAAACUGACUAACAAAUAUCUUAUCUCUAUCCGAAACGAUACUUUUCGGACACCCAUGAAGCUUGCAGAUUGUUCCCAUGAAAGCUUUAGCCACAUCUGCUGCGGAAAAAGGGUGUUUAAGUGAUAUGAAAUGUGCAUAUUUUGUAAGUCGGUCGACCACUACCAGGAUAGUAUCUCGUCCUUCUGAUUUGGGUAGAGAUUCGAUGAAAUCCAUGCUUAUAUCUUCCCAAAUUUUGUGAGGAAUAGGUAAAGGCUGCAAUAACCCAGUGUAUGGAGUGCCAUCCACCUUAUUUUGAGUGCACACAGUACAUCUUUUGACCCAAUCCUCCACGUCCCUUUUUAGUCCUGGCCAAAAGAAAUGUCGUUUGAUUCUUCUAUAGGUGUUUUGGAUACCUGAGUGACCCCCCAAAGCCGAGUCAUGCAUUUGACCUAGAAUGUUCUCCCUCAUUGGACCAAUGUUCCCGAUAUAUAAUCUCCCUUUAUAGCGCAGCAGUUCAUUGCCAUAAGAAUAAUGCCCUUGGGUGGUCGGAUGUAAAAUCAGCUCAUGUAUCAGUUUCUCACAAUGUUGGUCACCUUUGUAACUAUCCACGACCUCUCUGACCCACGCUGGAAUAGCCGCCGAUAUGGCCAACGUAACCCCCUCCUCUUCUCUCCGGGAUAACGCAUCAGCAACCACAUUCUCCUUACCUUUCUUAUAUUGAAUGAUAUAAUCUAACCCCAUCAGCUUAAGCAUGCCCUUCUGUUGCAUUGGCGUGGAAAUCCUUUGUUCCAAUAGAUGCUUCAAACUCUCGUGAUCCGUUUUAAUCACAAAAGUACCAGUGUUGAUGUAGUGUUUCCACUUUUGUACGGCCAUUAAUAUCGCUAGGAAUUCCUUUUCGUAUGUCGACAGCCCCAAAUGCUUAGUACCAAUGGCCUUGCUCAGAUACGCUAUGGGUCUUCCUUGUUGGGACAACACUGCCCCUAUUCCAGUCCCGCAAGCAUCAACUUCGAUAGUGAAAGGGUCUCCAAAUUUAGGCAUGGCGAGUACCGGAGCCUUCGUCAUGGCCCCCUUCAAUUCGUCGAAUGCUGUUUGAGCUUCUUCCUGCCACCCAAACUGAUCCUUCUUUAAUAACUCGGUCAAGGGUUUACUAAUCGUCCCAUACCCUUUAAUGAACUUCCUAUAAUACCCGGUGAGUCCGAGGAAUCCACGAAGUUCUUUGACUGAUUUUGGCACGGGCCAAUUGGUCAUCGCCUCGAUCUUUGAUGGGUCUGUCGCCACCCCAUCCUUGGAAAUGAUGUGACCUAAAUACUCCACCUUAUUUUGCCCAAAAUAGCAUUUACUCCGUUUAGCGUAGAAUUUAUUCUUCCGCAACUCCUCCAAGGUGGUACGCAGAUGUCUUACGUGAUCCUGUAAGCUUUCACUGUAAAUUAGAAUGUCAUCAAAAAAUACCAAUAUGAAUUUUCUAAGAUAAGGUUCAAAAGUAAAAUUCAUUAUGGCUUGGAAAGUGGCUGGGGCAUUUGUCAGACCGAACGGCAUGACUCGAAACUCAUAAUGCCCUUGAUGUGUGCGGAAAGCUGUUUUGGGAAUGUCAUCAGGACACAUCCUAAUCUGAUGGUAGCCCGAUCUGAGAUCUAUUUUAGAAAAAUACUUUGACCCUCCCAAUUCGUCUAGCAAAUCGUCGAUAAUAGGUAUUGGAAACUUGUCCUUCACCGUGCAUUUGUUAAGUUGCCGAUAAUCUAUACACAUUCUCCAGCUUCCAUCCUUUUUCUUGACCAAUAGGGCGGGAGAGGCGAAAGGACUAUUACUCCUCUGAAUUAUCUCAUGGCUUAAUAAUUCCUUUAUCUGCCUUUCAAUCUCCGCUUUCUGAUCGUACGAGUACCGAUAUGGUCUAACAUUAACUGGGGCCGUGUUGGGCUGUAGAGGGAUUUUAUGAUCCUGGACGCGGGGUGGUGGUAACUCUUUGGGCUCUUCAAACACAUCCUGGAACUCCUCUAGCACCUGUUGGAUCUCUGGGGCCAUGUUUAUUUCCUGUGCAAGUUCUUCUGAUACUGCUUGGUGCCUGAGAAGAUAACAUUCGCCUUUCUCUAUCUCCUGUCUCCAUUGGGCUGCAGAUAUUAAUCUUAGCUUAGCUCCUUCCUCCAUUCCUUUUAACUCUAGCUUCUGUCCAUCUUUAGUGAUUGCUACUGAGUUGGAUACGAAGUCGAAAGUCACCAAUCCAUAGGAUUUCAGCCAAUCAAUCCCAAGCACCAUGUUAGAUCCUUCGAUCAUAAUUACUCUCAAGUCGGUUCGAAAUGUGUGCCCUUGCAUAGUCCAAGUGAAACCUGGGCAUCUUAACUUACUCAAAACCUUGUGCCCGUUUGCUACGGUUACCGUCAAGGACGAAGCUGUUUCCAUUCGGGCUCCUAUAUCCUUGGCCACUUGUAGGUCGAUAAAACUAUGCGUGCUCCCCGUAUCUAUCAAGAUAGUAAGAGUUCGAUCGUUUGUGUUUCCGCAUAUCUUGAUGGUAUCUUGGGGUACUUCUCCACUUAAUGCAUGUACGGAAACCCCUAUCUCUUGCUGCUCUUCUCUGUCAGGUAUAAUUUCUGUCUCCUCUCCUUCUCUUCCGUUGACCGCCCUUUCGCUAUCCCCUGUUUGCAAAUACUCUUCAUCAUACACCUCCAAGAUGUUGUCAGUAGCUUGUAGGAUAUUCAGCGACUUGUUGGAACACACGUGUCCAGGAUGAUAUUUAUCCCCGCACCGGAAGCAUAACCCCGCAGCUCGGCGCUGCUCUAUUAACUGCUUGUUGAUCGGGUAUUGAUUUGCCGUGGUUUUGUUCUGACUCUGGUUCGAUUGCUUGUUCCCUUCCGAACUCCUAUACAGCGAGGUUGAUUGAUAGGUCCCCGCAGAUGUUCUGGGAACAUAUCUAUUCUUUCGAUUAAUCACAUUGAGAGCCCUUUCAUGUAACUGUGCUUGUUCGUAUGCUUCUUCCAGCGUGUUCGGGUGAGCGAUGUCGAGGAAGGGAAUUAAUUCUUCCUUGAGUCCAUUAAUGUAGCACGCAAUAAAAUAUUCUUCUGUUAAGUGGGGAUUGUAAUGAAGUAAUUGGAAUCUUAACUCUUCGAACCUUUCUUGAUAUUUCUCGCAUGUUCCCGUGUGUUUCAAGUUGCUGAAUUCUCGGAUCAGGUAUCUCUUCCCCCACUGCGCAAACCUUCGGCACACCGCUUCGGUAAAUUCAUCCCAAGACACUGUUUGUUUAUUAACAAAAUAACCUUGCUUCCAUGUUCUUGCCUUGCCUGUCAGGUGCAUCGUUGCUACACUCAACCAUUGAUGUUGAGGUAUUUGAUACAAUUCGAAAUAUUGCUCGCAAUUUUCGAUCCAAUUUCUGGGAUCCUCUCCGUCAAAAUACGGAAAAUCCAAUCGAGGGUACGGUAAGUGCUGAUGUUGAUUAAAAGUUCGAUGGCCCCACGGUGAGGCAUGCUCUUCCUCGGUAUCAUUCGUUCUAAACGGAGUGGGUAGAAUACCUUUACCUUUUUCUUCUCUGAUCAAUAACGGUGUGUUGCUACUUCCAGGCCGGAAUUUGCGGUCAGAAAAGGGCGCUUCGGCUUGAGUCUUGAGGGUCGGGGAUUGAGUGGUCAUAAGCUUCAGCAGCUCCUCAUGCCUCCUGUUUGCCUCGGUUUGUAGUAACUCAAACUGUUUUUGCCCUGUGUCCCUUACUUCGGUUAUUCGUUGGGUAAGUGCUUCUAUGUUGGCUUGAUGUUCCGUUCCCAACUGCUGGUACUUCUCUUCUAGUGAAUGGAUGUGAUCACUAAUAUCUCUUAGUCGGGUCCCUUCGGCCAUAUCUAUAUCCUCCAAAUACUCCUUUGGAUUGAAUUUAAACUUGUUGCCUCGCUUACCCCCAAUCUUGUCGUGUUGGUAGGGCUAGUUAUGGGGGUUUCUAUGAACGGAAGGAUCGUAACCCGGUAGUUGUAUGGUGAAUUCCUUUGUCCAACUCUGAUCCCAGUACAGAAUCGGCAGCGCGGAAUUCUUAUACGCGAUUAAACUCAACGAUGCUGAGAUCGGAGUUCGGGAGCGAUUUUACCACACAGGGCCCGGGGAUCGGAAGUUCUCUGAUACCAAUUGUUACGUACCUGACUCGGCGCAACCCGUCGAUGAUGAGAUUUCGCUGAGACGANUGGUGUGCACCGGGUCAACGAACAACCUCCCAGGAACCAAUGAAGCAUAAAUCUCAACUGCGUUUGCACACACGAAGUCGAGCCUUUAAGCACCCACUCGAUUAAGUUGUCAAAAGAAAUAAAAUGAAAAAACAAGAAUAAAAUUAUUGUGAAUGGAGAUUUAAACUCUUCAACUGUUUCCGUGUACUUCUGCAACCAACGCUAUGCACUUAUAUAGGCCACGAACAGGUGAUUCAUAAAGUGACUAUUCAGGAAAGGGUGUUUCGUGAAGUGACUAGUCAUGAAUAGGUGUUUUAUGAAGUGACAUUUUAAUUAUGACUUUUCAUUUGAUCAUAACUACCAAAUAGUUAUAUAAACCAAGUUCAAUGAACAUAAUCAUAAUCAUUGAUUUCAAUGGAUAUUUGUACGAAGAGACACACUAUAAAAAUGUGUCUUUUUAUGUCAUAUUCUUUCACUAAAAGUCAUAUUCGUUAAUUAGAGUUGCAUUUAUUCACUCAGGCUUGUAUCCAUUCACUAAAAAUUGCAUCCUUUCACUAAAAAUCGCAUCCAUUUACUAAAAAUCAAUAAAUAAAAUUUAUUACUUUAAAAUUUUCCUUACAACCAGUGUGAAGCAACUAGAGGCGUCCAUCGUAGAGCGUGAGAAAAAAAACUGAAAUUGUUGAAGCCAGGUAAUUAGCACUCGUCGAGGCACGCCGAUCUCAUCCCACAGCCUCCCUAAACAUCGUAUACCACACAGCACAGCACAGCACAGCACAGCAGCCGAACAGGAUCAGCUCUUUGGCCCUCGAAAAUUAUUCUGUUUCUUUCCAACCACAGGACCCACCAACCGGCAGCAAAAAUGGAGAACCCCUUCUUCUUUGUUGCGCCCUCCUUCGCUCUAAACAGUUCCCGGAACUCGCCGCCAGCUCCAAUCACAGGACCCAUCAGAUCAAAUAUUACAGUUGCAUGCGUACCCAACUAAAAAUUUCUAAUUAUAUAUAUCAAACUUAAAUUCAAAUUUGGAUCUAUAAUUUAAAUUUGAAUAUCGGUGCCAAUAUCUUUUUCUUUUUCUUUUUCUUUUUUUUUUUUGUCAAUCCUUCUGAAAUCAAGGAUUGUUUCCAUGUCCACUGUUGUAAAUUAUCCGAAGGAAAAUUAAUUUUCUUUGAAAUGAAAUCCUCUCAAAUCAAAUAAAGAUAAUAGAAAUCAGUUAUUCUAAUUCUAGAUUAGAUGAGCAUAAAUCUUACAUAUUUUCCAAUCCAGAGAUCAACAAUUUCACACUGGUAUAAUCACUUGAGCGUACAAGCAGAGCAUCCCCUGAGGCAAACUAAUUCCUAGGAUGGUAGUAAGGGAAGACGGUGUAGAAGGUCUGCAGGAAGGUGAAAACAAGAACGAAAACUGCUGCGAUCAAGGAAAGGAUGGCCCACGGGUUGCCGAAAUAGUCCCUGACCAGCUUCGCCCUCCACUUGGGCCAAUCGGAAUCGCAGUACUUCCUCACGUCCCGGAACAACCCGGCGAGGUAGUGCUUCUCGAAAUCCAUGGCGGCGCAGUCGGAGAGCUGGUUGAAGAACACCGCCAGCUCCUUGUCGCUCGCCAGCUUGUUCUCCAGGAUCCCGCUCUGGUGGAGUAUCGCGACGUCUGCCGGCGUGUCGAUGAUGCAGUCCAUGAACGUCGCGUAGCUCGUCAUGUACGCCUCCUCCGGCUUGCACCCGCCGCACUGCUCGAAUGCCACGAGGUUCGUGAACCGCGAUAACGUCGAGUUCUCCACCGAGAGGAAUGGGAUCUCGAGCACGCCGUCGUGAAAUGCGACGUCCAGGAACGAACCGGGAUGAUGCUGAUCACUCUCGUUCCUUUUCCUCUUCUCGCCCUUCCUCUUAAACGUCACUCCGGCCUCCUCGAGCUCGGUCGCGGACGGGAUCGUAUUCGGCGAUCGUUUCUUAUCCGCCGGCGCCUGCGAUCGGGAAAUCUUUAUUCGGAGAUAAGAGAGGAGGGAGGCGAAGAUCUUAGUCGGGUUUAACCAUUUGAGAAUAGUACCGCAGAUGGUACUGCCCCUCGGGUCAGUUUGUGGUUUCGGGAUGUAGCAGCGGUAGUAGAGAUGCAACAGGUGGUGGAAAUCUUUGGCUUCGCCGUGCACCGAAACGGCGGCGGAGACGCGACUGGCGAGCAUCUCUUCCUCGGGCCUCUCGACGUUUCUGCUCGCGAGGUAGUUCACGAGAAGCUCCAUCAGGGAGGGUAUCUCCUCGUCGUCCAUGGUGAACGUGACGAGCUCGAACAGCUUCUCGAGCACGAAGAGGGGGAUCUGGUUCUCGAGCAGGAGCAGGUCGCCGCGCACGAGCGGCAAGCUCCAUCCGGCGGUGCAGACGCUGUCGUCGUCCCCCUGGCUCCACUUGAUGAUGAACUCGAGGACGAAGCACCCGUCGAGGAGCAGCAUCUCCACGAACGCAUCGGCGCUGAGGUCGACGGGCUCGAAGUAGCACCGCCGCGCCCGAGGCUCCAGCACCCUGAUCUCGGCUAUGUAGUGAUCGAUGCAGUUGUAGGGGUUGCGGGAGAGGAAGUCCUGCAGGUAGCGCCACUUGUGCUGCUCCAUGGCGCGGAGGACGGGGCCGUCGCCGCGGCCGUAGGGGCCGACGGAGACCAUCCGGGGCUCGUAGAGGUGCGUGUUGCGCUGCCGGACGUGCGCCGGAACGCGGAAGAUGGUGAAGCUCUCCGGCGCCAUCGGGUUGCGGUGUAAGGCGUUGAUGUUCGACCUGACGGAGCUCAGCACGGCAUCCUCGAUGUCUACGGCGACCGCCUCUCCCUGAUCCUGUGCCAUCGCCGGCCGGCAGCUAUCCUGUGCAGUCAACGAUCGUCCUCGGUAUGUAACCUCCCUCCCUACAUUACCUGUUCCAGAUCCAGUCGGCCGGCACAAAGGGCAAUAAAUUAAGUCCUUCUAAAAAGAGUUGUUUUUCUUUCCCCUAAAAAGCUUGUAGGGGAAAUCGCACGAAAUUUAUUUGAACUGUUCCUUUUUAAAAUGUUACUAAUAUACUAUCUAAUUUUUAGUUUAUUUAAUUAUAAUUAAUUGAUAUUUUUUUAAACAUAUAGGUUAAACUAUAUUUGUGAGGCGUCACAGUGCUAUAGAGUAUGGAGUCGAUAAUAUUCUGCAAAAUUUACUGCUUUUUUAGGUAGGCAAAGCUUAUUCCUUUUCCUGUCUUUCCGGACGUUUCCCCAUCUCUCCUCAACUUCACUCGGCCUUCGGCCCACUACGCACCGCUCGGAUGCCAAGUAUAGAUUAAUUAUUUAUUAUAAUAAAUUUAUUAUUAGAAAAAUUAUAUAAAAUAUAUUAAAUAAAUUUAUAUACAUACAUAAUAUAUUUAAAUUUGAAAGUUAAAAUAUCGUUUGCUGACUCAAAUCAAAUAAAAUAAAAAAUUGUGUGACAAAAUCAAACUCUUGAAAAGAUUGAUUAACUAAAUUAAAAUAGUUCAUAGACUAGAUAAGUUUUUAUAUUAAUUUUUUAAGUAAAGUAUACGAAACUUAUCUGAACUAUAGAUUGUUUUGAGUUGGUUUACUCAACCUUUUAAAAUUUUAAUUUUACUAUCUAAUAUUUCAAUUUGUUUGAUUUUGAUUCAGCUAACAGUAUUUUGAUUUCAAAAUUUGAAUGUAUUAUUUAUUUUUAUAGGUUUAGUUAGUAUACUUUAUAUAAUUCGCACAAUUAUAAAUUUAUUAAAUUAAAUAGUUAGCUUAAAUUUUGAAGUCAAAAAAUCGUUGAUUGGCUCAAAUUAAGGAAAUUAAAAGAUUAGAUAGUAAAAUUUAAAAUUUAAAAAUUUAGAUAUUUGAUUUAAAAUAAUUUAUAAUUUAGAUAAAUUUUGUAUGCUUUUAUCUUUUUUUUUUAUACAUUUUUUUCAACCAAAAUGAAAGCAAGUAAAUGCCUAGAGUGUCAUUGUCCAUUGAUUGUGAGAAGUGGGCCUUAGAGAUGUGGGUUGGGUGAAUUUGAGCUGUCAACAAGUCCUUUUGAAUGUGGUCGAUAUUCAGAAUACUUAAAAUGAGUUGGAUUCUUUUUGCGGAUUUCAAGUUCUCCACCUGUUCGAGUCUUAAAUGAUUCAGUUCUAAUGAGAGAGGAGACAUCUUUUUCUUUACUAUCGGUGGUUUCAUGACCAUUGAUUCAAAGAAACUCGUGUUAACAGAUUUGAAUUGAAUCUUUCCAUUUGGAAUGAAUGAGAUUAUAUCGGAUUCACUUCUUUUAUUUUUUCCAAGAGGAAAUGGGUUUAGCCCCCAUUGGAUUCAUUUCACCAAAAGAGAAGUUAUAAGAAACAUAUACCACUAGAAUUCCAAUCUCAAGUUAUCGGAUUCAUAAAUAAAAUCCACACAAAUAUGGUGAAAUCAAUCCUAAUCAUGAAGGUUCUAAAAAAAGAAAUCAAUGAUAAUUGAAUUGGAAUUAAUAAAUUGAAGGUACUCUAUGUAGAAAGUGUAAAUUAACACAGAGCAACCUAUAUUCCAGCUACAGAAACAUCAAAUUUAAAUACAAAAAAAAUGAAGGACCAAGAAAGGGGUAGCUACGUAGACUAUAAUUUAUCAGUUUGUGCACUCAAGGUGAAGUAUGGACCCAUCUAUAAAAAAUUGUGUGAAAGAGAAUAGCUUUUUACAUAAGGCCAUGUUUGGUUCGACGUAAAAGUGGACCGAAAAAAAUUUUUCUCCGAAAAACAACUUUGUAGCGUGUUUGGUUGGAAGUAAAAAAUUUUUCUGGAAAAACUUAUUUUACAUAUGUUAGGAAAAACUUACUUUUCGUUUUCCGCAUAAGAGCCGCGGAAAACGAAAAGGCAGCGGCUAGCAAAACAGCAGUAGCCACAGAUACGAUUCUCAAUCAAAAAGGGCAAAAUGUAAUAUGUGUUUAUGAGCUAUCGAUCAAAAAGGCAAUUUCUGUGGGUUCAUGGUAGUGGUAUUUCUAGGACGAGGGGCCUGAAGUACAUAUUGUCUUUGCGUGAACGGCGGAUUAUGCUACAUUACAAAUACCUCGCCCUUUAUACGGGAGCAAGCUGUUGGCUGAAUAUUUUAUGUUACGGUCCCAAUGGUUGUGGACUGAGGUAGGUUGAAAAAAGAAUUUGUUUACAGCCUUGGGCAGACGAGUUCAGCAAAAUAUGAUCAUGCAUACCUUUUAGGUUUUAAUUAUAUAAUGAAGGGGGCGGGGGUGGGUAGCUACGAGUCAAUGCCUAGUCAAGUUUAUGGUCUUCUAGAAGUUGACUUAGCUACCGUCUCAAUUUUUGUUCUAGGAUUCUUCUUUUUUGUGGGGAAUUUUUUGGCAUGGGGAAGGGCACCGCGCAGCCUGCUGCAGGUUUUGAAAAAGAAUUGUCGAUUAUUUUGGAACACUUCAGGGGGUCAUUAGGAGGCAAAACAAUUGGCGGUCACGAGGCCAUUUGGCUCGUGGAACGGGUGGCGAGAUCGAGGGUCCACCGGGUUCAUGUGGACCUCCUUCAUUAUAUAUAUAUAGUAUAUAUAGUAUAUUAUUAUAUUAUAUAUACUAUAUAUAUAUAUAUUAUAGUAUUUUAUUAUAAAAUAUCUAUUUAUUAUAUAUAAUAAUGUAUUUUAUAAUUAAUAAUAGUAUGUAUAUAUAUGGAUUGUAUAAACUUGAAUUUAUUUUAAUAUUCUUAAAUAUAUAAUGGCCAUUUUGCAUAAAAUCCACGUUUUCUGGGCUUUUGGCAAAUAUCGGGCCACUUUUUAUUUUUGCAGAUUCCGGUCGCUAUUUAGACAAACUGACAAAAUUACGUUAUUACUUGUUUCUCUUUCUUUCUCUCUCUUUCUUGUUUCUCUCGUUCUUUUUUUCUACGGGGUAGAUGGAGCGGAAGUGGAGGCAGAAAUGGUGCGUCGGUUGACUCUGUGACCUUUCUGCUAGUGCCCUCGCCCGUUGCCCUCGUCCAUGCAACGACCCAUUUUCCCUCGACGGGUUAGGCCGCGCGCGUGAUUUUUUUUUUUUUGCUUUUUUCUUUCUUUUCCUCGACUCUUGUCCCAUGUGCUUCGACGACGACGCUCUCGUUUCCCGCCCUUUUCUCUCUCCUGCUAGCCUCUUUUCUGCGCCCUCGACGACGAUUUAUUUCGCAAGGCGGCCGGACGUCUGACACGUAGAGGUUAUUGCGGGCUACAGCUCGGAGCGGCGUCGAUUAGGGUGUCGGUCACCGGCUGACGAUAGCUCGUGGCAGGAGAAUGGGUGACAAAAAAUUUAUAGAAAAAAAAACAGAAAAAAAAAUAAAGAUAAAGAAAUUAUAGUAAAAGAAGGAUGAAGAUUGAAAUUACAUCGUUUAAUUAUUAAAAAAAUUAAAGCUUGCACUAUUUAAGAUGUAAGCUGCUGCUUUAAUGAUAUAAAAAUUUACUUUUGAAUGAAAAUUAGCUAUUUUUUAUUUAAACUGUAUCCUUGUUAAGUGUAUUUAUAAUAUUAUUUUUUGUUGCACUGUUUUUCUGGUUGUUACUUAUUGGUCCUUGUUUCACAGAAUGUUGCAACAAGAAGGGAAAGACAGGGCAACAGAGGAGAAGACAAGUAUAAAUAUCUUCUAAAAAGGGUACAGGUUUCCUCUUAUUGAUAGUGUUUCUUUUUCUUGUUACUUUUGCUAUUUGUUUACAGAAAUGGUGAAAGAGAGGAAACAGUGACAACAGAGAUAGAAACAGUAGUAUGAUCUCUUAAACAGUACGAGUUUUUUAUUUGAUAUUUUCCUUAUUUAACGAAAUGUGCAAAAGAGGAAAGAUAUAUAUCUCUCUAAACAGUGCCGUUUUUUCUUCUUUUGCAUUGUUUUCCUCUUGUUUUGCAUAUUUCUUUAUGUAACAGAGAAUGGUGCUAAUAAGAGGAGAACAGUAUAAAGUAUCUCUUAAAAGGUGUGCCAGUUUAAGAGAAAAAAUAGAAUUGUAACAGAGAAGAAAUGUGAACGAGAGGAGAAACGUGCAACUUUUUUUAAAGAGUGUAACUUAUUUAAUGGUAUGCAGUUUAUAUAUGAAAGGUGUAAAUAAGAAGAGAAACAAUGUAAAUAUUUCAAAGAGUGUAAUUUGUUUAGGGGUAUAGUUUUCAUUUAUAAGCAGUGCAGUUUACAGUCUUAAAGUGCCAGUUUAAUCGUUAAAUAGGUACAAGCUUAUAAAUUUUUUUGCAGUUAACGAUACAAUUUGAAUGUUAUCUUUCUUUUUAUAUAAUUUUUAUAUCUUUAUUUUUUUUAAGCAGUUUGUUUUUUCAGAUUUUUGUUGUCACCAUAUCUCUGGCAAAGACGGUGGUACGACACGCUAACAGGACCCUCUGCUCCUGAGCUGUAGCGCGCACAGGGGACUCCACGGUAUGAGGGUGGUCACGUCGCUGCGGCGAAGAUUGCAUCGUUAGUCGGGGCCACGGAGAGAAUGAGGAGAGGGAAACGAGAAGGGCGGGGAAAGACGAGGCAAGUGACGAGAGAGGCAUCGUGUCGACGAGAUGGUGGACGAAGAGUCUGCGAAAAGAAAAGAAAGAAAAAAGCAAAAAAAAUUAAAGUUGGUGGCGCGGCGCUUGCGGGGGUUGAGGCCGUAGGAAGGUGAGGGUGCUUGCUGUGGGCACGAGGGCAAAGGGCGGAAGGGGCGAUGGCGAGUAAGAGAAUGAUGGAGUGAGAGCGAGAGGUACUGUUUUCGGCUCCGCUUGCCGGCAGAGAAAGAAAAAGAACGAGAGAAACGAAAGAGAGAGGAAGAGGAAGGGAAAAGUAAAAGGUAUUUUGUGUCAGUUUGCCUGAAAAGUGGAGCGAAUCGUUAUUGCCGAUAAAACGAAAGAUGACAGGAUUUUGAAAAGUCAAAUAGUGUAGAUUUUUUUGCAAAUUGGCAUAAUUAAUUAUUGUAAAAUAUUUAUUUUAUUUUAAUAUAUUUUAAUCUAUAAUAAAAAUUUAUAAUAAUUUAUUUAAGAUAAUAAUGUAUUAUCUAUAAUAAUAUAUAAAAUAAAAAAUAUGAUUAAAUUAUUUUUAUUACUUUUUUUUUUUGCAAGCAAACAAUGUCAUGAAAAAUAAUUUUUUUUCUAAAAUCCAACACCAAACGAGUAAAACUUUUUCACGGAAAUUUUUUUUCAUCAAAAUUUUUUUUCAUGGCGUGGAACAAAACACUAAUUAACAAAAGGAAAUUCAAUAAGAAACUAAUGCUCAGUAUAUAAUCAAAUUCUAAAGUAGAUAUCUAAGAGCUUAACCGGUUGAAAUUAUUGAAUUAUUACUAGUAGCUUAUUUGUGAGUUAUUCACAAGAUAAUAGAUAGUAUGUUAACACAAUACACAUUUAACAACUAUACAUAUUUAAAUAAUGAGAAAUGAGAUAUAUGUGAAAAAUACCAAUAGUAUAUUGCAAGCUCCAUCAAGGGACGAAUGUUACCGAUAGUUCUAGUGAGCAUAGUGGCAAAGAGUGAGUGUUGUACCCGGACCCAAAUUCGAUUAUGAUUCAACUUCAGCUAAGUUUAGUUUCUAAUGAAAUUGAAACGAAGGGAGUAGCGUGUACAUAUCCUCUAAAAAAAGGUACGAGUAUUAUGCGAAUAAUGUUUAGAUCUUAUGAGUAGGGAAUAGAUAGAUUAAACAUGUGCUCUUUUUUCAAAACAAUUAGUCAUUUGAAAUACGAGUUUAUAUUUUGUAUGGCAAACAGAGAUUUCCAUAAUAUCACAUUAUGGGAUUGCUCUCGUUCGGUUAGAGGCCUCGCGUCGGAUUUUCUGUGUUAAAGGAGAGAAAGUUGAAUAAUUAGACUUAUACUAAAUCUUGAAAUUAGUAUGUAUGUCUUGAUAUAUUAUGGUCAAUUCACAUCUGGUAGCAAUUUAUAAUGAAUUUUAUCGAUCCAGGGUAAACUUUGGAUGAUUGCUGAUGACGGUUCAUAUAGAUGAUAUUAGGUCGAUAAAGUGAAACUCAGAAAAUGUAACAGAUGGAAACUACAGAGAAUAUGUGAAUAGCCGGUAGUGUAGAAGCCAGAGUGAGUUGUGUUUACUGCAAGGCCAUGUUGUUCAUUGAACUUGGCUACUAGAUGUUGCACCAAGAAUCUCUCCACCGUGUAGUAUAUUUUCUCCCUGACAUUUGAAAUUUUGCUGCCACAACAAGAUAAGCAUAUUUAUCAUGCUCUUUUUCCGUAUAUUGUAAAGGCUGAUUUGUAUUUAAUCUUUUUUUUUCCGGAAUUAAUUGUCGUCUUAUUAUAUAUUGUAAACAAAAGAAAACAAGUUACAUUUAAGAAAUUGUGCAAAGAAAGAAAGAAUUUCUGAUCUUAAGGAAAAAAUAAAUUUAAACAUCAUAUAUGAGAAGUUAGUUCUAAGUGGUUGCUGGAAUACCAAGUAGCCUUAUGUGACAUCAUAUAAAUGAAUUUUUGCUAGUAAAGGAAAGUAUGCCGCGCGGUAAUAUGUAAUGUUCUUUAGGAAAAUGAAACGCACUUGUUUUCGUUCUGUGUGAGGGACUAUUGAAAAAGAGCUGAUGUUGAUCAGUGUUAAGACGAGAAUGGAUUCGAGUAUGAUUCAAUCUAACAAAUAGUUGACUUUGACAUGAAGUAAGAUAUAAAUCUUUUUUUCAUUGAAGCUGGAGAUGAUGUUUUUAUGUUAUGUAGUAUAUAAGAAACUGAAGAUUUAAAAGUUAAGGUACGUUUGUGGUGAUAGGUGAAAAGCUCUUUGACUUCGAUUAUUGGCACCCUUCAGCAAGGGUAAAUGAAAAUUCAUCAACUGAUUUAUUGUUGCUUUUCACAGAGAAAAGAGAAGAAACAGAGUCGGUCAAUAUUAAAUUUGAUUUAGGGGGAAUUUGUAAAUAUUAUUUGAAGGAUGAGCAGGAAAACUUAGUUAGGAUACUACAUGACAUUGUUUUCAAUUCAACCCUGGAGAAUACUAGUUAAACAAAGUAAUUAGUCCCUUGUGAAUCCUUAGGGAUUUUGGUUCUGAGCUUCUAUGCAGGAUGCUCUCGCAGUACCAUUCACUAAUAACACGAGCAUAUGCUGUAACUAAUAAGGAUUGGGAGUACAAUAAAAAAAAAAAAAAAAAAAAAAAAAAAAAAAAAAAUUAAUUGUGAAUUUUUGUAUUGUAGUUGUUGCAGUGGUAAUUAGGUUAGUUACUUUGGGCGAACAACUUCGGAAGUCAAGUUUCUCCCAUCAAGGAGUUGAUCCGAUGAAGCGCUCAUUUAUCUGCUUCGCAAGAGAUUUUAAAAUUCGUAACAGGUUCUCUGUUGGAAUCCCUUCCUAUGAAACCUAACGAAAAUUGUCCUUCCAGCUUGUAUUCUGUAGGUUCAGUUUAGAAGUCAUGAUAUCAUGUAGUUACAUGUAUAGGGGGCGUAGAUGUCUGGAUAGGUAUGAGAAUAAUAUUUGUAGGUACAGAUUUAUUAUUAUCGAUGUCUUUAUUCGUAGGAAGUUGGUGGAUAUAUAAUUUAUAAUGAAAAUUUGAUAGUAAAUAUAUUAUGUACAUCUAUAUGCUUAUAAUAGUCAUUAUAUGACUAUAAUAUUAUAUAGAGUUGAGCUAGAAUACUUGUAAAAGUAUUAUGUGAGUGGUGCUUUUAAGUUUUUAGCCAUUGGAUGGAGAGAUGUGAGGUUGAGAUGAUGGUGGUAGGUGGUGGUAGGUGGAAUAGUGUUUGAUCCAAGGGCUAUUAGUAAUCAAUGAGUAGAUCCAAUGGCUAAAAACCUAAUAGCAUCAUGGGGGUAAUACUUGUAAAAGUACUCUAUAUGUAUAGGAUAGUUUUCUCCUGGUUUUCUUAUUGACUUCUCAAAUUACCGAUAUACCUUGUGAAACACGAUCGGCACGAACUACACUGAAGCAGAAGAGUGGUUCUCGAAUUACUCUGUAAUAUUUCAAUAGUCUCACAUCGGAUGAGAAUGGAGUUAGGAUUCGGUAUAUACAAGAUCAUGAACAUUAGUAAUAAUAAUUGAGUUUAAGAAUUUGAGCUAGUGUUUUAGGCCUAAUGAGUCAUGGUGGUUUCAUGACCAUUGAUUCAAGGAACUUAUGUUAACCGAUUUGAGUUAAUCCUUCCGGCCCUUUGGAAUGAAAUGAGAUUGUAUAGGAUUCACUUCUUUCUAUAUUUCUUUGAAAAGAGUGCUCAACCUACAAGAACUGUUUAUGAUAUUUAAGGUAGAAGGUAGAAUUCUUUAAAGAAAGAACUUCGAGUUAUUUAAAGUAAAAAACAAAAUUUAUAAAUAAAUGAAAUAAAGUAGGGAUCUAUGGAAUCAUUGCAAUUGAUGUUCGAUCCCUUUUCUUUUCUUUUCUUUUCUUUUUUUCUCAAGGAAAUGGGUUUAGCCUCGUUUACAUAUUGGAUUCACUUUCACCUACAGAAAAGUUGUAAGAAACUCGAACAGCUACAACUCCAACCUCAACUUAUCAGAUUCACCCAAAACAAGAGAAAUCAAUUUAAAUCAUGGCCUAGCUAGUUAAGAUUCCAAACAGAAAAAUCAGUGAUAAAUGAUUUGAAAUUCAAGAACAGUAGAUACUCUAAGCCAGAAAGUGGAAAUUUACACAAAGCAACCUAUAUUCCAGCUAUUAAAACAUCAAAUUAGGAAUAAAAAAUUAGACUGAGGAGAGGGAAGCUACGUACAUAUGGACCAAAUUGAGCUCGAAGACGUCAAGGUGAAGGAUGGACCCAUCCUCAAUGCUGUAGUCCGCCAGAGAUUUGGCCGUCUCAAGUAGACGAUGGCCAUUGAAAUAAAGCGCCCCAGGCCAUUUACCAAGAACAGUGAUUAACACAUCCUCGAUGGUGUUAGAGCUGUUCACCUCAAGCGCAUAAUUUCCAUAAUCUUCUGACUGCACAUAGAUUUUCAUUUCACCAUCCCCACUGGGUCUCAUAGAAGAGCUAGACUCUGCAUAUCCCUUGUUGGCUAUUUUUGUUGGACUAUCAAAGUUGCAUAUGUAAUGCACGUUAGUUUCUUUGUAAUAGAAUUUCACAUAGAUUGAUCCUAACAUAUUUCAGGCACCAGUACAUAUAUAACAAACAUUAAUAUUACUUCGGCAAAAAGGAAAAUUAAGUUACAAUUUCGAUGGCUUUUGCCACAUGUAAAACAGAUACAGGAUAAUUUGUUUAAAUUUUCUUCUUUCUUUUUUUUUUUUUUUCCUCUAGCCAUCUUAUCGAGCUGAUAUUCGGUUUCUGAUCGAAAUAAUCAAAAAAAUUCAAUUCAUUUGUUGGCUUCAUGACUAUUCAAUUCAUCACGAUGUUAAAGAAAGUAACAAUUCAAGAAACUCAUGCGAAGUAGACAUGUAGUUGAAUCUCUUUGCUUGCAACGAGAAUGUAAUUUCCAUCUUUAGGUAAGAUCUUUAAAUCUGGGACUAAAAUUAAUCAUAACCAAACUAAUUUAAAACGAACCAUACGAAAUCAAAAUCUAAGUUACUUAAUUCCAAACAAAAAGGGAACAAAAAGGGAAUAAGUGAUACUCAUAGGUGUGUGCCAACACCCGCGGCGUGCAGUUCAGAUGAAGCACGGAGCCGUGUUCGAUUCCGUAUUCGGCCAGGGUUUUCUGCUUCUGCAACUCCAGGUCAUUGAAAGAAAGCCGCGGCUCCGGCGCUCGGCCCGCCCUGUCGCUGCCGAGAAUCUUGACCAGCACGUCCACGACAGUGUUACGGCAGCACACUAGGAGAUGGUAGUUGUGGGUAGCGUCGGACUGCACAGUGAUCUUCAUCUCACUGGCGAACUGAUCAGGUUCCCCGGCGGAGUCCCACUUGGAGUUCCACAGUUCCGCGACGGAGGCCGGCAGCUCUGCAGUAUAUAAAUGACUAAACCAAUUAAGCAACAACAAUUGCAAUAUCAUGAUGUUCACAUGCAAACAUUUGGAUCAAUUAAUUACAGCGAGUCAAGUAUCACUGGCCACAGCAACUCCGAGACUGAGAGAGAAUUAAAGAGAGAUACACAAAAAAAAAAA